GGUAGUUCUGUUCCGUUUGUUAGGAACCCGGUUUAGUAGAUAACAAGCCGUAAGCAUGGCUUCACCCCAAAACUCAUUACUCAAACCUGAGUAUGACAACAUCGAAUUUACCAUCUCUUUCAAUGUUUGAUUCUACUUCUCAGCCACACCAUUCUGAUGUGGUGUGUAUGGAGCAGUGGUUUCAUGGAUGAUCCCCGCACUUUGAAAGUAUGUUGGAUCAUAGAAUUCCCCUCCUCGAUCAGUACAAAAUACUUUGAUCGAGAUACCUUGUUGCAAUUCAACUUCGGUUUUAAACACACGAAUUCAACUUCGGUUUUGAACACACGAAACUUCUCAAGGGCUUCAUCCUUUGAAUUUAACAAGUAUAGCAAUACCGAGAGUAGUCAUCAAUGAAGUUGAUGACAUACCUCUUACCUCCGAUAGUCGGAGUGCUAUGCAAGUCACACAAAUCGCUAUGUAUAAACUCAAGCAUCAGUGAUUUCUGUUGGAUACUAGUGAAAGGCUGACGAGUAAUUUUAGUGAGCAUACACGUUUUACAUCGUUCAGCAUUGACAUCAAAGGAGGGCAGAAUCCCUUCUUUCGACAUUUCAGUUAGACGUUUGUAGUUAACGUGUCCUAACCGACCAUGUCAUAAGGAGAAGUCAGAGGUACCAACCAAGAAAGCAUGAUCAUUAAUAAUAGUAUUAUUAAUAUUCAGCAUAAACAUGCCAUUGUUAUAGUGGCCGAAGCCUACAAACACACCACCUUUAGAUAAUACAUAUCUAUCAGAUUCGUACACUUAUUUGUAGCGUAUAGCCAUAUCUAUUAAGCAUACUGUCUGACACUAAGUUCUUCCUAAUCUUAGAGACGUGAAGUACAUCUCUAAGCUCUAGAUAUUUUCCAGAACCAAGUUCCAACAUCACCAAUCCACGUCCAACAAUAGGGGUUGUGACUCGUUGCCCAUGUGAAGUACAACAUCAUCAUCUGAUGCCUCGUAUGUUUUGAACCAGUGACGAUCCUUGCAUACAUGUCUGUUGGCACCUGAGUCAAUCCACCAUGCCACUUCAUCAUCCUGCACAUAGAAUGCUUCCGAUAUUAGUGAAACAGAAUUCACAGCAAUAUCUAAAUUAAGGUCUAAGAACCGACCUUUCGAAGUGGAUGUCCCUUGAUCUUUCGAUCCAGACUUGUGACGCUGUUUGUCGUGAUUCAGACUCUUGUUCGUGGGACAGUCACGUUUGAAGUGCCCCGCUUUCCCACAUAUCUAACAAGAAACUUUCGUUUUCUUGUUCGAGUCUCCUUUGGUGUUUCUCCAAGGGCGUUUCUUGCCCUUCCGUCAAGCAGAUUGCUCUUCUUCUUCUGUCAUAUGAACAGAUGAAGAAUCCUUUCGUUUCCCACUUUCUUGCAUCCGUAGAGCCUCCUCUAUCCGCAAGUGGCUUCCAAGUUGGAUCAGGGACAGUUCCUCCUUCUCUUGCUUAAGCAUGUGCUUAAAGUCCUUCCAUGAAUAAGGAAGCUUGUCGAUUAUGCAUGACACCGAGAUGGCCUCAUCCAUCUUCAUAUCAUGUUGGGAAAACUGUCCCAAAAUCCGAAGCAUCUCAUUGUAUUGCUCCAUGAUCGGUCUGGUCUCGACCAUUUUGUAAUUUAGGAAAUUACUAACCAGGAACUUCGUGCUAGAAGCGUCCUCAGCCAAAUACUUUGACUCCAGUGCAUCCCACAACUCGUGGGCCGAUUCAUAAUUUUGAUAGAUAUCAAACAAUGAAUCCGCCAUGCCAUUCAGAAUAUGGCCAUGACAUAUGUAGUCGUCAUUGUCCCAUUUUUGCUGCUUCCGUACUCGUUCCUCCUUCUUCUUCUCGUCCGUCUCUGCCUCCUCCUCAAGCUCCGAAGGAUAAGGUGUAGAGAGAACAUACACAACCUUCAAAGUAGUGAGAAGGAAGUGCAUCUUCUUCUGCCACCAACGGAAAUCCACACCUUCAAACUUCUCUAGUUUGCCAAAUGACGAUGUCAUUUCCUUGAUUGCUGCAACCUUGGACAUGGCAAAUACUCUUUUCAAAAGUGGUGUCGACGAUUCCGUCUUGAUCCUAGAUCUCAUCACCUAUCAAAACUCGAACGAUUGCUACUUGGAACCUCCUAAGCUAACACUCAGCAAUUAAUCUCACAAGAAACCCAAAUUAGGAAAACUGAGAAAACUACGAAUCGAAUGAAAAUAGGACAAUCGAGGCAACAAACUAAUAAAACACAUCAUCAAUCAAUAUGAAUCCACAAUCCUAUCACUACACACAAGAACAAUUUCACAAAUCCAAAGGAUUUCACCAAACCCGAAUAAGAAGAAAACCUAGCUAUCCAUAAGAACUGUAGAGAAUUUUAUCGAAGUAGGAAGUAGAUUCUUUCUCGGACUUCAAAUCUUUGACUAUUUAGUUUCAAAUCUUCAUUUUUAUGGUGCUCCUAGACUGUCAAGCAAUCACCCCUUUAUCACUUUGUGGUUUAAUUUUAUCUUCAUGGCUCUUUUUCCGCAAUAAUUCUAAAUUGGAGCUAAAAUAAAGUUUUUGUCCAGACUAGGCAUCACGACUGUAACAGCUUAACCAUCAUGGCCGUGACAAGUUGUGUCACGGCCGUGACUGGUCAACAACAGAAUCACCCGACUUCUUUCGGCCAUAAAUUCUUCAUCCGAACUCUGAUUUCGCUUCAGAAGGUAUCAUUGCCUUCGUAGUCAAACCCUCUUUCCAACGGAUACCUGCACUCAAGGAAGAAACUCCAAGAAACAAAUGAAACGAACUAAAAUGAUUCGUUCAAAAGAAAACAAGCACGAAAUGCAAUAAUAAUCAAAUCGGACACUUCUACCAAGCAAAUAUCUUCAAAAUCGAAACAACCAUAAGUCACAGUGGGAUCAAAACGGCUACCAAUAAUCAAGCUAUGAGUGAGCAAACUUAAGCUUCUUCGAAACUUUCUGAUAUCGUACUCUCGAUUUUUGAAAUGGUAACAGAGCCUAGGUAAUCCACCAUCCAGAAAUGCUUUAAAAAUUGCUAACUUACAAGAUGUGAUUGAUGCGUGUAGCCAGGAACCGUUGUCUGUGACGCAGUAUUAUACUAUCAUUAAGGCCUCGUGGGAGGAGUAUAGUCAGUUUGCUCCAAUUGUUCCUUGUACUUGUGCCCCUACGAAUACUGCAGCUAUUUGUCCAGCAGUGGUUACUUUUCAGGAAAAACAAGAUACAGAUUACUUCAUCAAGUUCAUUCGAGGUUUGAAUGCGGAGUUUGACAUUGUGAAGACUCAUUUGCUCAUUAUGGAACCCUUGCCUUCGAUCACUAUAGCCUAUGAUCACGCAUUGCAACAUGAAGAAAAAAUUAAAGGGGGAGUCACCUUAGGCAAGGAAGCCAUGCAUGGCACACCAACAGCGUUUGUAGUGUCCUCUCCCCCUGGUAAAGAGGUUCCUACAGCUCUAGCUGUCUUCAAUUCAAAAUUUUCUGCAUCUGAAAAGUCAGCCCCAAAGAAGUUUUUUCGAUACUGUCUCAAGGAAGGGCACAUAUUGGAGGAAUGCAACAAACUGAAGUGGAAAACGAAGCAGCAAGAGCAAGAACGUCUAGCUGGUGGGAACCCUAACCAUUUUGCUGGUACUGUGAGUCAGGGAGGAACCAUGCCUAUCGCCUCUUCACCAUCAGCAAAUCCUUCUUUCACUCCAGAAGAGUUCAACCAGCUUAGACUCCUGCUGCAAGGCUCAAAAUCAGUACCUAGAGGACAUGCUGGUACUCAGGCCAUGCCCCCACCACAACCUUCAAACUCCUCUGGUAAUUACGUUCUGUCUUCUGCUUGUAACAACUUUGACAAGGUUUGGAUUCUAGACACAGGGGCAUCAGAUCAUAUUGCCUCUUCCCUUGACCAAUUCACAGCCUUUAAACCCGUAUAUGAUAUGUAUGUUUAUUUGACAAUCUUUGAGUGUAUUGUUGUUAGCCAUGUAGCAGACAUCACUUUACCUAUUGGUCUUACCUUUCAUGGUGUUAUGCAUGUCCCUCAUUUUACAUUUAACCUCAUAUCAAUCAGCAAAUUGACCGAUGCCUUACCUAUCUCUAUUUCUUUUCAUUCCAACCAAUCUCAAAUUCAGGACUUACUCACCAAGAAGACGAUUGGUUCAGCUAUAGAACAUAAAGGCCUCUACCAUCCCCAUAACCCCAACCUCGAGCAAUGUCAAACAUAGCCAGGAUAGACUCAAACUGUUAGAAGCAUGUAAUAAUGGUGUUGUUAGUGAGAAAAUCACACAUUGUCAUGUUUGUCAUCUUGCUAAACAGAAAUGCCUUCCUUUUCAAUCAAGUAUUAAUAGAGCCUCUGGCAUUUUUUAGUUAAUUCAUGUCGACAUAUAGGGUCUCUUAGCCACAGAUUCAUAUGAUCAUUAUUCAUACUACUUGAUAUGGGUGUAUCUAAUGAGGCAAAAUCAGAACCUAGAGGUCACCUGAAAUCAUUUCAUCAUAUGGUUAAAACACAGUUUAACAAAGUCAUUAAAAUUAAACGAAGUGAUCAAGGGCAGGAAUUUCAUAUGUCUGAAUUAUUUUCUAAUCAAGGUAUCAUCCACCAAAUGUCAUGUGUUCAGACCCAGAACAAAAUGUAAAAGUAGAGAGAAAACAUCAACACAUUUUGAACGUAGCUAGAGCCCUUAGGUUUCAGUCAGGACUCCCUCUACCUAUUGGAGUGCUUGUGUUUUGCAUGCUGUUUAUUUGAUCAACCGCAUGCCCGCUCCUAUUUUAGACAAUCACUCUCCUCAUUAAAAUAUUUUCAAAGUCUCUCCAAGUUUCAGUAAUUUGAAAGUGUUUGUAUGUGUAUGCUAUGCAUCUACUCUAGCGCAUCAUAUAACUAAAUUCCAAAGUAGAGCUAGACUAUGCAUUCUCUUGGGCAUACCUGCAGGAAUCAAAGGUUAUAAACUGCUGGAUAUAGAGUCCAAGCAGGUUUUCAUAUCACGAGACAUGGUUUUCUACAAGAAGAUCAUACCACUCAAAGGUUCUUGUGACACCAAUCAACCUACCUUACCUCAGAACCUACCAAGACCAAAUGAACCAUCAAACUUCACUGAAACUCUACCCCUUCAAGCUCCACCAGAAAUGCCUAUCCCAACUAACCAAACUCCACCACACUAUGACCCUGAUGGUUCUAAUCUGAGUUUGCCCUUGUCGAGUUCUUCUUGUCAGAUGCAGGAUGUUUUAGCUGAGGAUGAGGAAGAAGUGGAGAAAGAAGAAAUUCCCUGUGAAUGAGGAGACGCCACAAACAGUAUACCAACUGUUGAAUUCAGGAAGUCCAAACGAGCCACCAAGCUGCCAAUUUACCUGCAAGAUUAUCAUCUAAGCAACAGUGUUAGCAAACACCCCUUGGCUGCUGUUUUAUCAUAUGAUAAUCUGUCAGAUAAUUUCAGAAGAUAUGCGUUAAAAUUGAUCACUCAUCAAGAGCCAGCCACAUAUGAAGAAGCAGGACAGAUCAUGUGUUGGAUUGCAGCCAUGAAUGAAGAAUUAGCAGCACUAGAGGGAAAUCAAACAUGGGAAAUAAUCGCAUUACCAACAGGGAAGAAGGAAAUUGGUUGCAAAUGGGUGUACAAGAUAAAACUAAGGUCAGAUGGCACUAUAGAGAGGCACAAAGCAAGGCUAGUGGUGAAGGGUUUUACACAGAUAUAUGGAAUUGACUUCAUGGAUACCUUUUCAUCGGUGGCUAAAAUCAAUUCAGUUAAGACCAUCUUAGCAGUUUCAGCUUCUAAGGGAUGGUACUUGGAGCAAAUGGACGUUUCCAACACUUUUCUCCGUAGAGAUCUUGACGAAGAAGUAUAUAUGUAAGCUCCUCCCGGCCUUGAAAUACCUCCUGGAAUGUGCUGCAAGCUGAAGAAGUCCCUAUAUGGACUCAAACAAGCUAGCCGCCAGUGGUUUGCUAAGCUAACCACAUCAUUGCUCAGACCAUGGAUUUAGGCAAUCCAGCUCCGGUUAUUCACUUUUCAUCAAAGAUACUCAACAGGAUCAAUGAAGCUUUUGGUAUACGUGGAUGAUAUCAUCCUUGAUGGAGAAAAUAUGACGGAUAUUGCAGCGGUGAAAGCAUAUCUUCAGUCAGUGUUCAAGAUCAAGGAUGUGGGAACAUUAAAUUACUUUCUAGGUUUGGAAGUGGCCAGAUCAAAACAGGGCAUCCCUGUGAAUCACUGAAAGUAUUGUGUGGAACUUCUAGCUGAUGCAGGAUCCCUAGAAGCAAAGGGAACUAAAUCACCUAUAGUAAAGCAGGGAGAACCAUUGGAUGAUCCAAGUCGAUAUAGACAACUUGUUGGGAAAUUGCAUUACAUGACCAUUACUAGGCACGACAUUGCUUUUGUUGUACAACAAUUGAGCCAAUUCCAGUCAGACCCUUAUACCGAGCAUAUGAAUGCUGCUUGUAGAGUUCUGAGAUAUCUAAAAAUGGUUCCUGGACAAGGUCUAUUUUACAAAGUUGCAAUGCACUGGAAUUGCAGGGAUAUUGCGACUCUGACUGGGCUACAUGUCCAUAUACCAGGAGAUCCAUAUCCGGUUAUUGCACGUAUAUUGGAGGCUUUCUACUCAUAUGGAAGUAAAUAAAAAAACUAAUGUAUCCAGAUCUUCAUUUGAAGCAGAGUAUAGGGCAUUAGCACAUCUAGUCUGUGAAGUACAGUGGCUGAACUCAUUAUUGGCAGAAAUGGGAAUACAAAUUCCUACACCUAUUAAUAUUCGAUGUGAUAAUAAAUCUGCUAUUAAUAUUGCUGAAAAUCCUGUGUUUCAUGAGCGUACGAAACACAUCAAGUUGACUGCCAUGUGACCAGGGAGCGAAUCAAAUCAGGACUGAUCACCUUGAGGUAUAUGUUCCUACAAAAUUUCAGUUAGCCGGAAAAAAUCUACGGCAAAUUUUUUCGAUGACCGGAAAAAAUCGCCGGCAAAUUUUUCGAUGACCGGAAAAAGUGUCGGCAAUUUUUUUGAUCACCGGAAAAAAUCGUCGGUAAUUUUUUCGGUUGACAAAUGUUUUCAAACUCCUGGUCUAACUUCAGAUGUUCCGCUUAGACUUGACAGAGUAUCAUUCGUAACUUAUGGAUUUCAAAUCAUCGGAAUUUUGUUUACAUUUGAAAUUACAAAGGAAUUGGGGUAAAAUGAAAAUCUCAAAUGUCAUCCAAACACCAACGUUUGAUAUUUAAAAUACCAAAUGCAACCGCCACUAUUUAGGUAUAAUUAGAUUCAUAGAUUGAUGUUGGAUAACCAAUCUUGAGUGGGGGGAGGAGCAUGUUGAUUUCAGUUUACAGUGUUGACACGAUGGGAAGUUGAUGACUUUGUAUUGUCUCUACAAUGUAUGUCCUAAUAGGGGUUUAUGGGCAUGUUGAUGUGGGUCAUAUCUAAUCUUAUUGUCUAGAGAUGUGCAUGUUUACUUCAUUUGACGUUCUGAUUUAAUGAAAAGGCUGAUGAGGUUCUUCAUGAUUUAAAUUUUAUAUUACAAUGAAUCGGGUAUCACUGGGAAAUUUCAAUUGGUCACUUUUGGAUUCAAGCUCCGAGCACAUGUCAGUGGAUGCAUCUGCCAGAAAUCAGAUUACAGAAUUACAAAGAUAUCUAAUGGAUAGAGAGAUUCCAAGCAUACGAAACAACAACCGAAGUUUCAAAAUAAAAAACAGAAAACAGCACACUGAGAGGCUAUCGUUCUGUAGCCACCGUCAAGUCUUGCCUGAGCCCAACACCUGCCAAAAAUCAGUUCCCCUACUUCAUAAUAUCCACCAUUUAAAUAAACGGACUAAGACACGGAGAAGGAGGAGGCAUGCGACAAGAAUAUGCUCGUAAUUUGAGACCCUCAUCAAAAACGAGAACCUCGUCGAAUUGUUGACCAUUUUAAUUAUGAUUCAUGUUGAUGCAAUUCAUAGCCCUAAAAAAAGUUGAAUUAGGAUGAAAAUUCAGAUUAGGAUAUACACAGGCGCUCGCUUUAUGAGCACUAUCAGCGACGAUAACGGCUAGCUUUCCAUUCCCACCCCUUGCCUUCUCUGCGUACCAACUUGGAGUUGGACUUUAUACGUACUAGUAAGUAUACAUCAUGAAACAUAAAACAUCCUCCAGCCAGUAUAUGGCCAGCCAAACACACCUAAGUCACCUAUAUAUUGAAUUCAUUCGAGAACCAACAAAGUCAACCGAAAUCCAUUGAACACGAAAUUAAGCAUCCAUCCAUCAAGCUGUUGGUGAUUAACAUUAAUCCUGGAUAAGAACAAGACUCAGGUACAUGGAACAUCAUCCAUCAACACCUCGUUGUGCAAAAAUACACUACUUAUGUUUAGUUGGUUUACAUCAACAGAGGGUUUCCUUCAACCCAGAAAUUCAUCCGGCGCCAUUUCAGGAUGGCACUCACAAAAGUACGUGUGUUCGGGAUACUGACCAACCACAUAGUGUCCUGCGGGAUGGAGAAUCGGAGUCUCAAAGUUUCCCAAGCACAUUGUACAACGAUCAGAGAUGUCUGCAACAUUCAAUUAAAGAUCCAUAAGCUAUUUAGUAGAAAAGAUUGAUGCCAAUAACAUACACAGAAACUGCGAGGUACAUUUAGUAACAAAAGGGUAAAUAGAAAGGAUCAUAUACUAGCCAUCUAUGAUAUACAUACCAUGCAAUAAAGAAAUUCAUAACCACAUGAAGAGCAUACAAAGUGUACAAAAGCUAACUUCCUGAAUACAUAGCUAUCAAUUAAUAAAAAAACAAACGACGACGAGGAGUAAUUGAUACUUACUAGGUUCAUCAUCAGGAUCAAAAGUAACACAGUCCCAAACAUGACAGUCUUCAAACGGCUGAUUCCCUGACCCUGAGCCCUCUUUCUUAGCCGUAAAGUUGACAUGUACGACAUCCAGACCAAUACGAUGUCGGCCAUUGCUGUUCAAGGGAAGAACAAGCGUGUAGGAGAGGCCCUGAGAUUAAACCCAGCAGAUAGAGAAAUUACAGUCGCAGCAAGGUAAGCCAUGUUGGAAAAAAGAGAGCCGUUUGAUGACGGGAAGAAAACAAAACUACCGUCUUUUGGUUGUAGUACUCCAAAGCAUUGUUAGCAGAUGUUGUGGUUUGGUCAAGAAGAUAUUUUUGAAGACGAGAAGCAGCAUUCAGCUGAUGAGUGGAAGGACUUCCAGAACUGCAAGUUUCAAAUGAUCCAAGAAGCAUAAGCAGUGCAUUAUUAAAUUCAUUAACUGGACACACAAGGGAAAGGUUGAAUCAACAAAUAAAACAGGUGAUAAAACACAACAAAUAAAACAGGUGAUAAUAAGAUUACAUUGCGCUCUUGCUAUAAUUUUUCCCCCUUCCCAUAAAACCUAGAUACAUUUGUCGGGUAGAUUUCUAAGGCCAUGAUUCCGAUGCAGUUUCCAGCUCUCUGUUUUCCAUGUCGUAAAUUCUUUAAAAUUACUGAAUGAGUUGAUUCAAGGGGGGUUAGUAUCUCAAUUUUCAUGAUAAUGUGAUACUUCGACUUCUCUUGAUAACAUGUUAAGUCUGCAUAGAUUAAUGUCGAAUCAAUGUGGUUGAAUGGGUUUUAUCUACCUGGCUACCAGAAAUGCAAGGUAUUUGGAAUUUCCAAGUUAUUUUAGUAUUUGAAAAGUAAAGAUAGGGCAUUUAAUUAGUGGUGGGGUGUGUUUGAGUUGUAUUGCUUCCUGAUUCCAAAAAGGUACCAAAUAAUGGUUUAAUAUGUAUUUAUUUCUCAUUAAUGUGCUUCGUGGGUUAGGAAGUUUUGGUCAUGUGAUGGUGCAUACACACUAUUACAAUAUGGUGAUUGAACUUAUUAUCCAAUUGAAGUUGAUGGUUUUUUUUAGUAUUUAUCAUGGUGCUUAGGAGUUUUAACAUUCUCUAAAGAUAAUUAAUUUUCUCUGAUUCUUUUUGCAGUUAAUGUAAUAAAUUAUUUUAUUCUAACGAAGAACUUUUGAUGUUAUGGCUUAUUGUUAGGUUUUUUUUGUGGUUGGUCUUUUUGAAGAUAUUGUUGAUCUAAUGGUGCCAGUUAUGAAAAUGAAACCAAAUCCACAAAAGUCUUAUGCAUACAUUGAUGGUUUAGAUACUCAUAUACAGGAAAUCAAAGAAUCAGCUGAGCUUCCUUUGACUCACUAAAAACCAUAUAAAGGAAUGGUAAAAUUGAUAAUUAAUUUACAAAUUAAGAAAAAAUUACAAUAUAUAUUAAUAAUUAUAACUUAUAUAUUAUCCGAANNNNNNNNNNNNNNNNNNNNNNNNNNNNNNNNNNNNNNNNNNNNNNNNNNNNNNNNNNNNNNNNNNNNNNNNNNNNNNNNNNNNNNNNNNNNNNNNNNNNNNNNNNNNNNNNNNNNNNNNNNNNNNNNNNNNNNNNNNNNNNNNNNNNNNNNNNNNNNNNNNNNNNNNNNNNNNNNNNNNNNNNNNNNNNNNNNNNNNNNNNNNNNNNNNNNNNNNNNNNNNNNNNNNNNNNNNNNNNNNNNNNNNNNNNNNNNNNNNNAUAUAUAUAUAUUACCAAAUAUAUAUUUUUGGGCUAAGUAAUGAUUUGAUAUGCAUCAAAAGUACAAAAGUAAUAUUAUGAAUUUGCAUGGUCCAAAUCGAAACUGGUCUGUCAUCAAACCAGUUUAAGACAAUGGUGCUCAGGGAGGUUGUUCAUUUUUGGUAGAAGAAGAAAGUGAGAUUGAGUGUUCAUGCUUAACUACGAGAGUAAUUGAGUGUUGAGGGAGGUAUUUUUUGCUUCUCUGUGGGUUCCGAUUUUAGUGUGGCUGGGGGGUUUCUUUGUCGGGUGUGGCUGUUUGUUUCCAAUGCAGGUUUUUGGGCCUUUCUCUUUGUUCUUCGGUGUUCUUGGCUUCUUUUCCGUCUCCCUGGGCUAGGUACGAGUGCCUUAGCUGCUUGCUUUUGAUCACUCUGGCUGAGUUUUGAUCGUUCUUGGUCAGGGGGCUCAUUUUUGCCCCCCUUGUGUCUUCCUUUCUUUCCCCUCUGCAUUUUCCUUUUCUCUUGUGCAGCCGCAAGCUGUCUCUGUUUGUUGUAAGUGACUUUGUGUUUGCUGGCCCCUCCGUUUCUUUAGGCCCAUGUUUUUAUAAUAUACAUCUCAUUUAUAAAAUAAAUAAAAAACUACGAGAUUAAUAAAUAGAUAUUUAUCCCAAAUCAAGAUCAACGUGAGAAAUUUUCUUCCCAACUGAUCAGCUUAUGAAUUCCGGCUUGAUGAUCAUACGCCAACAACCAGGGGCGGAGGGAGGAGUCCAAGUGGUGUCACUUGGCCCAAAAAUAAAAUUAGACACCAUUUAACUUUAUUUCUAACUACGCCACCGCCAACAACUCGAUAAGAACCCAUAUUUAAUCUCAAUGAGUUGUUUCCACCAACUCCAAGGAUAUUAGACUUUCCAAGAAUCUAAUUUCCUUCGAAAUUGGUUUAGGACCGGAUCUCAAAUUACUCUACAAGAUGAGUUGCAACUAAAUGAUAGAUCAAGGUAAUUCGUAAGAAACGAAACAAUGUCGCCGUCGAAAAUGGUAGCAAAAUUAAUGAGAUAGGUCAGGAAUAUGCCCAAUUGCAAAUAACCUGCUCAUGACACUGCCACAAUCUCUCCAUUAGGUAUAGAUCUACCGUACAUAGUAGAUUAUAUACAUAGCUUCAGUUCUUGAUCGAUAUUAGAUAAUUUGUUUGUUUGAGAUCUGCUGGGUUGGGUAACCUAUAGCUAGCUUAUCGGAUUUACCAACUUAGCUUAUGUAAUGAAUCUCAUGCGGUGUUGUAGCUAAGAUUGAUGCUCUGGGCUUCAACUUCAUCCCUAAGUGAUAAUAUAUAUGGAUGUGGUGUUAAUUUUUCAUAAUUUUUUCUUCUUUAAUUUCUCCAGGGCAAUUCUUUGGGUCUAAUUUGUAUCAAGAACUUGAUGGGCAGUGAAAAGGAUCCUUGGUUCGAUUAAGAAUCCAUAACUUUAUGGAUGAAGAAAACACCAAUAACCCUAACACUUCUACUUUUGAAUUAUUUAUUAACUAGCUUUAUUUUUAUAUAUCUUCACUAUAUUUUAUUAGUUUUGUGUUUUAUCUUUUGGCAUUUAGGUAUGUUGUAGUUGAUGAUGGUCACAAUCUCUUUACAUCUGGGUUUAGAACUACAAGGAGGAGCUAAAUGGCGAGUUAUAGUUUGAGAAACAAAUUCAUCUACAAUGGCGAGGUCAGUGAAUCAGAGGAAGCUAAAAAGAACGGGGUGCAUGUUCUCUCCGACGUUAGGAUGAACAAAUCGAGUAAGUGAUUUUUUAUUUUUAUGAUUUAUCUUUCUUUUUAGCUUAAGUAUAGGAAUAUUAAUUUUCUUUCUUACCAUCAAAAUACUAUAUUUGUUUUGGCCGCCUAAUUAUAAUUUUUUUUAUAAUUUGUAUAUGAUAUAUUUGUAUAGGGAUAAUAUUAUUGAUUUACUUUCUUAUCAUUCAAUUUAUUAUAUAUACUGGCAAAAACACCAUACCAAAAGGAAUUGGCGACUCAAAAGCCUUGUCACUAGUCAGGCUCUCUCGAGAAAAAACACACCCUCAGCCAAAGCUUUUCAUUGCUGAUUCGAAAUUGCACUAGCAGCUUUCAACCCUGAUUCCACCGGCCAGAAGCAACCCUAAACGCCACCUCUUUCUCUGAACUACAAGUGUCACGAAAAACUCUAAUGUUUCUCUCUAAAUACCACAAAUUUUUAGGGUUAAUUGCAAAUUUAGGGCACUGAUCUUAGGGUUAAUUAUUUUUUAUUUUGUUGUUUCUCCUUGUAGAUUGUUGCUUAUAUAGGUCUUAUUUUGACCUCUGCGAUGCCAAAGCAAGAUUGUAUGAUAUAUUUGUAUAGGGAUAAUAUUAUUGAUUUACUUUCUUAUCAUUCAAUUUAUUAUAUAUACUGGCAAAAACACCAUGCCAAAAGGAAAUGGCGACUCAAAAGCCCUGUCACUAAUCAAGCUCUCUCGAGAAAAAACACACCCUCAGCCAAAGCUUUUCACUGCUGAUUCGAAAUUGCACUAGCAGCUUCAACCCUGAUUCCACCGGCCAGAAGCAACCCUAAACGCCACCUCUUUCUCUGAACUACAAGUGUCACGAAAAACUCUAAUGUUUCUCUCUAAAUACCACAAAUUUUUAGGGUUAAUUGCAAAUUUAGGGCACUGAUCUUAGGGUUAAUUAUUUUUUAUUUUGUUGUUUCUCCUUGUAGAUUGUUGCUUAUAUAGGUCUUAUUUUGACCUCUGCGAUGCCAAAGCAAGAUUGAAGACUCUUCAAAAUCCAUUCAAAUAUAGAUUUUCACUCAAAUGGCUAUUGUUAUUCGAGAAGCAGUGGCUGAUUACCAACAACCUAGGGCAUGUGGAGGAUUGCCUACAUUAUUUGCAAUAAGGCCCUCCCAAUGCAUCCAACAGAUGGAGAACCAAAGUGGACAGUAAAAAAUUACGAAGAAGUGAGAAUGUCUGUCUACAACGAUAUUGUCUCCAAAAAUGCUGUCUUCGAACGAGUGAAGACGAGUUUGAGGGAAGAAGGCCCAGUUAUCGGUGCUGUGAAGAUACAUGUUGACUAUUUUGACAAGCACAAGCUGGUGUAUUAUCCUCACAGGCAAUCUCUCAGCAAGAUACAUGUUGACUAUUUUGACAAACACAAGCUGGUGUAUUAUCCUCACAGGCAAUCUCUCAGCAACUCCAACAAACAUCUAAUUGAGGACCCCAAGAAAGUAAGUGAUUUGGAGGAGACUCCUCCUCCUACUCCACCAAAGCCCUCCAACCCUCCUCUUCCUCCACAAAUUGUGCCCUCCAACCCUCUUCCUCCAUUUGAUCCCUCCAAACCUGUUGAGGAAAAAAGGGGGCUCCGCGAGAUGAUGAUCAGAUCACUGGUCACGCGGUAUGUAUUGUUGGUUACUGUUAUGUGGACAGGCGACUGUGUUUUUUAGUGCAGGACAACCAUGGUAGACUGUUCAAGGAUGGAGGAUUUCAUUUGAUUGGUGCCAUAUCAUUUAAAAGGUUUUUUUUUGUAGAUGUGGAAGUUGUUGAGGCAAAAGUGGAUUAGAGAGUAUUAUUGUCUGUUCUAGUAGUAAUUAAUCUUUUGGUUUAAUUCCAUGUUUUAUUGUUUUUCUAAAUUUUUCAUGGUGGAUGUUGAUCAAGAAUACAUUAUUUUGUUAGUUGUUGAUCUUUGUUCUAUUUUGACUAUUAUUGUGGCCAUUUUCUCACUCACUCAAGUAUCCAUGUAUCCAAAGACCAUGCUUAGGUAGAGGUUUCUAAUUGGACUGCAUUUUUCCUUCAUCCAGAACCUCAUUUUGAAAUGGUUUGCAUUAUGUUAGUCGUCUCAUCAUAUUCAAACUAUAUUGGGGAGGAAGACAUUGGAUACCAUUUUGUAGUACCUUGGCAUCUUGAAAUGUUAUUGUGUGGAUAUUUAACGAAAGAUAGUGGAAUGUCAAUUUAUACACAUCUUAAUAGGUUGCCAGCAGCAGUCACUAUAUUAUGCAUCUACGCAUAAUCAGUGACAAAAGUGUUAUAGCUGCACAUACUACGUACUCGGCUCUUUGUCGGAUGCCCUAAGGGGCAGCAUAACUGCAAUGUCUAGGGUUCAUUUUAUCUCCCCAGGGAUGCUCAAUCACAAUCCAGUCAACUUCCUUGCUUCAUCAUGCACGAUGUCAUUUUAUUGUGAUGCGGUGGAUAUGAAAUUGUCAUUGCUAACUCCAAAAGGCAUAUUUUUGGUUCAUGUAAUUUUCAUCAAUUUUUCAAAUAUUAAGUAUAAAUUUUGAAAUUAUGAUUUUGGGACUAUUAUAAUUCGUCCUAUUUUUCUAUUUCACAACCCGUACGUAUCGAUUUCUGUUUUCAUCGUAGAGUAGUGUAGUUGAUUAUAUUUGGUUAUUAAAGACCUAGAGAUACCGGGAUCGAAUCUAGCCACACCUUACCUAGCGACACCAAUUUUUCUAAACAUAAUAAUUGAUCGCAUUGUUUUUUAACUCCCUGCAUCUUCCAUCCACCUCCCAUCUGGACCCUUCAGCUUGCAGAUGGUGUUCUUAUUCUUUCGAAAAACAAUAGAGGCAUGGAAAAAUGCCAUGUUUUGAUCUCCAUCUUUGUCUCAUUGGAUACAUACCAUUUGCCUCCAGAAGCUGUCCUCAGCAUGUAAAAUAGCCUCGAGCUCUUUAAGAAGCUCUUUCUCUUCCUCAAUCUCCUCACCGCUUUGCACACCCAUAGAAAGAGGAAGAGUUUUAUUUUUCAUUUUAUUUUGAUCAAGUUGGGGAGUUAAUAUAUUUUUGUUCUUCUUUCUUCCUCUCUCGUCCAUUUGGGAAUGAGAAAAAGUAGUACGUACGAGGUGAUGGGAUGAACAAAAUUUCCUUUUAAUUGUUAAAAUGAUGAAGUUAGACAUCAACCCAUCAACAACAUGUAUCAUUCCUCCGUUGCUAACCAACCGAACUCUUAACUAAAAUACGAUUGAAAUCAUGCUAAUCUUGGAGAAUAUUUUAGGUUCAGAAUUUAGAGAAUUGUAGAAUCCAUGCUUUGGCACACCCAUGUGACGGCACCAUAAGCCAUCUCCUCCACCAUAUUUUAUGCACAGAAGCUAAAAAUCUUAUGCCAUACAUUUUGAUUUUGACUAAUAAAUUUUUUUGAUAAGCAAGUGAUUUUAUAGCUAUGGAACCAAAAGUUCCAAAGGAAUACAAAAAAGCUCAAGAAUUCAAAAAAUUGAUUUCAUUAUCUACACAGAUUCGGAUCCAAAAGGAUUGGUAAGUGCAGAUGAGCACGAGUUAAGGACAUCGAGAAGAAACAAUAGAAACAUCCCAAAAUGGCCACAAAAACAUUAUGGUGUCUAAACUCAAUCACUCUCACAAAUCAUCUACGUGAGCCGUCAUCUUUAUCUAAACACGUUGUCGUAAUCCAAGAGUUGAUUUUAUUUCCGAUUUUAUUUGACUAAUAAAAUUAGUGUUGCACACUUGGCGCACUAACUGAUCUCAGUCCCGGAUACCGAUGGCGGGAGACACUACAAUACCCCAUCCAAUGUAUCAAAUCCUCUAGUUAUUGUUUAGCAUCGCAUAUGUAAUAUUGUUAAAUUCAAAUUCUCCAAAACUGAAUAAGUGAACAUAUAAUAUUAUAUUAUCAUUAAUUUCUUAAUUGAACCCAUCAAUCACGAACCCACCAAAUCUAGAUCUGCAUGCAAAAUAAGGAGAUGAUUGCCGAUGCUGAUGAGCUUAAGCAGCAACACUCAAUCAUCUCAGCAGCUUCUUCUCCAUUUAAUAAUACCAUCGGCUUCUUCUGGAACUCGAAUGCUCAUGACGCUGCCACCAUCACUCCAUCAAGUAUAGAUCUACCGUAUAUAGUAGAUUAUAUAUAUAGCUUUAGUUCUUGAUCGAUAUUCGAUAAUUUAUUUGUUUGAGAUCUGCUGGGUUGGGUAACCUAUAGCUAGCUUAUCGGAUUUACCAACUUAGCUUAAGUAAUGAAUCUCAUGCGGUGUUGUAGUUAAGAUUGAUGCUCUGGGCUUCAACUUCAUCCCUAAGUGAUAAUAUAUAUGGAUGUGGAGUUAAUUUUUCAUAAUUUUUCUUCUUUAAUUUCUCCAGGGCAAUUCUUUGGGUCGAAUUUCUAUCAAGAACUCGAUGGGCAGUGAGGAGGAUCCUUGGUUCAAUUAAGAAUCCAUUACUUUAUGGAUGAAGAAAACACCAAUAACCCUAACACUUCUACUUUUGAAUUAUUGAUUAACUAGCUUUAUUUUUAUAUAUCUUCACUAUAUUUUAUUAGUUUUGUGUUUUAUCUUUUGGCAUUUAGGUAUGUUGUAGUUGAUGAUGGUCACAAUAUGCAUCGUAGUUGGUACUAUGUUGUCCCUUUGAUGUGAAAAGCCUAGUAUUAGCUGGUACUAUGUUGUCCCUUUGAUGUGAAAAGCCUACUAUUAGCUAGGGACGGAAUGAUGUCAUUUCUUUUGGUUAGAGGAAGAGAGAUUGAUGUCUUAGUAACACAUAUUGUAUUAUUAUAUAUUUUAAUAAUACUUAUAUUCACAUAGUAUAUAUUAUUUUCUUAUAUAUUGUAAUUAUUUUAUGAACAUUCUUGAUCAUUAAUGUAUUAAUUAUACCAUCAUGGUUUCAAUCACCAACUUCUCUAAUAUAUUUACUUACUGGUGACAUCAAUUACCAAUAUAAUUAAUCCUUAAAUUGUAUAGCUUUAAAUUCUAAACACUAAGCAAAAACCCACGGCCCUAAAUUAUAUUCUAACAUGCACUCCCUCAAACAUUUAAUGAUGGGAAAUAUUGCCCAGAUAUGUUCAUUAGUUGCUAGGCUAAGUUCAUUUUCCUUAAAGGAAGAAAGAGAGAUUAAGUGUUGAUGCUUAAGUACCACAUUAAUAAAUGGUUAGUUCUUUAAGAAUAGAAGUACUUUAGAUUAUAAUCUUUCUAUUUACAUCUGGGUUUAGAACUACAUGGAGGAGCUAAAUGGCGAGUUAUAGUUUGAAAAACAAAUUCAUCUACAAUGGCGAGGUCAGAGGAAGCUAAAAAGAACGGGGUGCAUGUUCUCUCCGACGUCAGGACGAACAAAUCGAGUAAGUGAUUUUUUAUUUUUAUGAUUUAUCUAUCUUUUUAGCUUAAGUAUAGGGAUAUUAAUUUUCUUUCUUACCAUCAAAAUGCUAUAUUUGUUUUGGCCGCCUAAUUAUAAUUUUUUUUAUAAUUUGUAUAUGAUAUAUUUGUAUAGGGAUAAUAUUAUUGAUUUACUUUCUUAUCAUUCAAUUUAUUAUAUAUACUGGCAAAAACACCAUACCAAAAGGAAUUGGCGACUCAAAAGCCUUGUCACUAGUCAGGCUCUCUCGAGAAAAAACACACCCUCAGCCAAAGCUUUUCAUUGCUGAUUCGAAAUUGCACUAGCAGCUUUCACCCCUGAUCCCCCCGGCCAGAAGCAACCCUAAACGCCACCUCUUUCUCUGAACUACAAGUGUCACGAAAAACUCUAAUGUUUCUCUCUAAAUACCACAAAUUUUUAGGGUUAAUUGCAAAUUUAGGGCACUGAUCUUAGGGUUAAUUAUUUUUUAUUUUGUUGUUUCUCCUUGUAGAUUGUUGCUUAUAUAGGUCUUAUUUUGACCUCUGCGAUGCCAAAGCAAGAUUGAAGACUCUUCCAAAUCCAUUCAAAUAUAGAUUUUCACUCAAAUGGCUAUUGUUAUUCGAGAAGCAGUGGCUGAUUAGCAACAACCUAGGGCAUGUGGAGGAUUGCCUACAUUAUUUGCAAUAAGGCCCUCCCAAUGCAUCCAACAGAUGGAGAACCAAAGUGGACAGUAAAAAAUUACGAAGAAGUGAGAAUGUCUGUCUACAACGAUACUGUCUCCAAAAAUGCUGUCUUCGAACGAGUGAAGACGAGUUUGAGGGAAGAUGGCCCAGUUAUCGGUGUUGUGAAGAUACACGUUGAUUAUUUUGAUAAAAACAAGCUGGUGUAUUAUCCUCACAGGCAAUCUCUCAGCAACUCCAACAAACAUCUAAUUGAGUACCCCAAGAAAGUAAGUGAUUUGGAGGAGACUCCUUCUCCUCCUACUCCACCAGAGCCAUCCAACCCUCCUCUUGCUCCACAAACGGUGCCCUCCAAGCCUCCUCCUCCAUCCGAUCCCUCCAAAGCUGUUGCGGAUAAAAGGGGGCUCAGCGAGAUGAUGAUCGGAUCACUGGUCAUGCGGUAUGUAUUGUUGGUUACUGCUAUGUGGACAGGCGACUGUGUUUUUUAUUGCAGGACAACCCUGGGAGACUGUUCAAGGAUGGGGGAUUUCAUUUGAUUGGUGCCAUAUCAUUUAAAAGGUUUUUUUUUAGAUGUGGAAGUUGUUGAGGCAAAAGUGGAUUAGAGAGUAUUAUUGUCUAUUCUAGUAGUAAUUAGCCUUUUGGUUUAAUUCCAUGUUUUAUUGUUUUUCAUAACUUCUAAACUUAUCAUGGUGGAUGUUGAUCAAGAAUACAUUAUUUUGUUAGUUGUUGAUGUUUAUUGUAUUUUGACUAUUACUGUGGCCAUUUUCUCACUCAGUCAAGUAUCCAUGUAUCCAAAGACCAUGCUUAGGUUGAGGUUUCUGGUGUGACAGCAUUUUUCCUUCAUCCAGAACCUCAUUUUGAAAUGGUUUGCAUUAUGUUAGUCGUCUCAUCAUAUUCAAACUAUAUUGGGGAGGAAGACAUUGGGUACCACUUUACAGUACAUUGGCAUCUUGAAAUGUUAUUGUGUGGAUAUUUAACGAAAGAUAGUGGAAUGUCAAUUUAUACACAUCUUAAUAGGUUGCCAGCAGCAGUCACUAUGUUAUGCAUCUACGCAUAAUCAGUGACAAAAGUGUUAUGGCUGCACAUACUACGUAUUCGGCUCUUUGUCGGACGCCCUAAGGGGCAGCAUAACUGCAAUUUCCAGGGUUCAUUUUAUCUCCCUAGGGAUGCUCAAUCACAAUCCAGUCAACUUCCUUGCUUCAUCCUGCACGAUGACAUUUUAUUGUGAUGCAGUGGAUAUGAAAUUGUCAUUGCUAACUCCAAUAGACAUAUUUUUUGUUCAUGUAAUUUUCAUCAAUUUUUCAAAUAUUAAGUAUCAAUUUCGAAAUUAUGAUUUUGGGACUAUUUUAAUUCGUCCUAUAUUUCUAUUUCACAACCCGUACGUAUCAAUUUUUGUUUUCAUCGUAGAGUAGCGUAGUUGAUUGUAUUUGGUUAUUAAAGACCUAGAGAUACCGGGAUCGAAUCUAGACACACCUUACCUAGCGACACCAAUUUUUCUAAAUAUAAUAAUUGAUCGCUUUAUUUUUUAACUCCCCUACAUCUUCCAUCCACCUCCCAUCUGGACCCUUCAGCUUGCAGAUGGUGUUCUUAUUCUUCCGGAAAACAGUAGAUGUAUGGAAAAACGCCAUGUUUCGAUCUCCAUCUUUGUCCCAUUGGAUACAUACCCUUUGCCUCCAGAAGUUGUUCUCAGCAUGCAAAAUAGCCUCUAGUUCUUUAAGAAGCUCUUUCUCUUCCUCAAUCUCCCCACCGCUUUGCACCCCCAUAGAGAGAGGAAGAUUUUUAUUUUUCAUUUCAUUUUGAUCAAGUUGUGGAGUUAAUAUAUUUUUCUUCUUCUUUCUUCCUCUCUCGUCCAUAUGGGAAUGAGAAAAAGUAGUAUGUAUGAGGUGAUGGGAUGAACAAAAUUUCCUUUUAAUUGUUAAAAUGAUGAAGUUAGACAUCAACCCAUCAACAACAUGUAUCAUUCCUCCGUUGCUAACCAACCGAACUCUUAACUAAAAUACGAUUGAAAUCAUGCUAAUCUUGGAGAAUAUUUUAGGUUCAGAAUUUAGAGACUUGGAGAAUUGUAGAAUCCAUGCUUUGGCACACCCAUGUGACGGCACCAUAAGGCAUCUCCUCCACCAUAUCAUAUGCACAGAAGCUAAAAAUCUUACGCCAUAAAUUUUGACUAAUAAUUUUUUUUUAUAAGUAAGUGAUUUUAUUGCUAUGGAACCAAAAGUUCCAAAGGAAUACAAAAAAGCUCAAGAAUCCAAAAAAAUGAUUUCAUUAUCUACACAGAUUCGGAUCCAAAAGGAUUGGUAAGUGCAGAUGAGCACGAGUUAAGGACAUCGAGAAGAAACAAUAGAAACAUCCCAAAAUGGCCACAAAAACAUUAUGGUGUCUAAACUCAAUCACUCUCACAAAUCAUCUACGUGAGCCGUCAUCUUUAUCUAAACACGUUGUCGUAAUCCAAGAGUUGAUUUUAUUUCCGAUUUUAUUUGACUAAUAAAAUUAGUGUUGCACACUUGGCGCACUAACUGAUCUCAGUCCCGGAUACCGAUGGCGGGAGACACUACAAUACCCCAUCCAAUGUAUCAAAUCCUCUAGUUAUUGUUUAGCAUCGCAUAUGUAAUAUUGUUAAAGUCAAAUUCUCCAAAACUGAACAAGUGAACAUAUAAUAUUAUAUUAUCAUUAAUUUCUUAAUUGAACCCAUCAAUCACGAACCCACCAAAUCUAGAUCUGCAUGCAAAAUAAGGAGAUGAUUGCCGAUGCUGAUGAGCUUAAGCAGCAACACUCAAUCAUCUCAGCAGCUUCUUCUCCAUUUAAUAAUACCAUCGGCUUCUUCUGGAACUCGAAUGCUCAUGACGCUGCCACCAUCACUCCAUCAAGUAUAGAUCUACCGUAUAUAGUAGAUUAUAUAUAUAGCUUUAGUUCUUGAUCGAUAUUCGAUAAUUUAUUUGUUUGAGAUCUGCUGGGUUGGGUAACCUAUAGCUAGCUUAUCGGAUUUACCAACUUAGCUUAAGUAAUGAAUCUCAUGCGGUGUUGUAGUUAAGAUUGAUGCUCUGGGCUUCAACUUCAUCCCUAAGUGAUAAUAUAUAUGGAUGUGGAGUUAAUUUUUCAUAAUUUUUCUUCUUUAAUUUCUCCAGGGCAAUUCUUUGGGUCGAAUUUCUAUCAAGAACUCGAUGGGCAGUGAGGAGGAUCCUUGGUUCAAUUAAGAAUCCAUUACUUUAUGGAUGAAGAAAACACCAAUAACCCUAACACUUCUACUUUUGAAUUAUUUAUUAACUAGCUUUAUUUUUAUAUAUCUUCACUAUAUUUUAUUAGUUUUGUGUUUUAUCUUUUGGCAUUUAGGUAUGUUGUAGUUGAUGAUGGUCACAAUAUGCAUCGUAGUUGGUACUAUGUUGUCCCUUUGAUGUGAAAAGCCUAGUAUUAGCCUAGUAUUUUGUUUUUCAUAGAACUGGAGAUGGUUUGAAUUUGUGAUGCAAUCGCAAAUCAGUGUCGACUAAUCGUCAAACUGACUUAAUUGUUUUCUUUCUUGCAGAUACAUGUUUCUACCGGUCAUUGUGUUCUACAUGCGAUGCACAGGGGAGGCUGCUCACUCGUUCUGAACCGUUUGAGGAUCGGUUUUCGGUCAAAGGGAUCCUUCGACUAGAGAGAAAAUGGCUGUCUAUCAAGCUUCCACAUCCAAGAAAAGUGCAUCACUGCUUGGGGUAUUUUUCUGGCAAAGGUGGUCCUAAUCUGCCAAUGCAGCCAGAAAAUGGAGUCCAGAAGUUCAAAAUUUCAGACUUCCAAGUGUUUCCAAAUGAAGGGACUCUCGUCAUCCCUUACGUGAAGAGGGUUGUGCAAAAUUUCAGUCCAAUCAUUGGAAGUCUAAAGUUGCGUUUCGACUAUUUCAGUGGAGUUGAUGAGGUGUAUUUGGGUGAGGAGGAGAAGAUAACAAUGGAGACUUUACAUGCAGUGCAAAGGCCGCCAUACGUCAAGUCUCCGGUGACAAGGACCCCCACCCCGCCUCCAUUGACACCUUCCCCGCCCAAGAAAGGAGAAAAAGGCACACAACCAUAGACGGAUGAGGAGGUGAAAGAGGAGGAGAAAAAGAAAAAGGAGAAGGAGGAGGAGGAGAAGAAGGCGGAAGAAAUAUCAGAUCAGCGAAUACGCGUCACUGCACACGUUGUCUGCAUCGUAGGGUUCCGCAUUGCAAAUGAUAAGUAUGGAAUCCCUCAUGAUUGUUUUAUUGUGCAGGACAGUUACGGUUCGAAGUUCAGGGAUGGUGGGUUUAGUGUGAUUCCUAUCAACAUGUUUGAUAAAUUUUUUAUCGCCAAACUUGUGAAGAAAUGACUCGGUUCGGAGGAACCGGCCGGUUUGGGGUGUCUAUGGGGUUUAUGUUUUUGUUGUUAUGCUUAUGCUUGUCUAGACUAUUGUACUGUUUCCAUUCAGAAAUAAAUUGAAAUAGUUGGCAUUCCAGUUUAGCCGACAUGAUCACUGUGUCAAGACAGGUUCCACCAUGCAUAUUGUCCAUAUUCCAAUUUUCAUGCUUCAGCAUUACAAGCAACUAACUACUCUGAAUCAUUUGAUCUCGACUGUAGUUCGCUUUCUCCGGGUUUCAGUUUUUAUUCAAAAGUAAGGCCACGAUGGCAUUAGGAGUAGACCCUCUUUGGAGGUAUAGAAACGUGGUGUGUAUGUGAUGAGUUAGUUAAUUCCAUUGGCUACGAUUUAAUUCAUUAAUAAAAAAGGAACUAAGGCCAUGGUAACCGGGGAAAGAAACAUGGGAACCUCACAAAAAGAAAACACUUAACUGCCUUCAGACUAUUGUUGAACUCGAAAAUCAAAGGGGCGUAGAACUUGACAACGUUCAAGUCGUGAUUGCUGACAGUUUCUGUAAGAUUUGAGUGGUCGGGUGUGGGCACGAUCUCCUUAGACGCAGCCUCUUCAGAAUCCGAACCAGAGGCAGCCAUAAAAAUGCCUUUUCUUGCUGAACAAGAUUGUCAAGCGGGCGAGGGAUAGGGCGGUUGAGGUCAAUAUGGAGAUCUACACUGAUAAUAACAAAACAGAACAAAUCUAAUGUAAUAGAAAUGGAUGUGGAAGCUUGAUAGACAGCCAUUUUCUCUCUAGUCGAAGGAUCCCUUUGACCGAAAACCGAUCCUCAAACGGUUCAGAACGAGUGAGCAGCCUCGCCUGUGCAUCGCAUGUAGAACACAAUGACCGGUAGAAACAUGUAUCUGCAAGAAAAAAAAACAAUUAAGUCAAUUUGACGAUUAGUCGACACUGAUUUGCGAUUACAUCACAAAUUCAAACCAUCUCCAGUUCUAUGAAAAACAAAAUAGUAUUAUUAGUACAGUAGCUACUUGUCACUUUAGCUCAGAAACACAAGUAUUAUUAGUACAGUAGUGAGCAUGUUUUUAGGAAGCCGGUAGUAAAGCCUAACAAAACACAUAAUCAGACUAAAUGUUAAAUCAUACAAAAAUAUUGAAUGGAAACAUGGCAAUAAGCACAAUACGUAAAGCACAUCAGAUUCCUUGUUUUAUAAUAAUUAAUAACCAUAAAAAAAUUACUUUGUGAGAUGUAGAACUAGGCGAUCUCACAUUGAAUCAACGAUUUGACUAUUAUUUGAAUGCUUAUGUAUACAAUGCAGGUAUUAUUACUGUUGUUAUUAUUAUUAUUAUUAUAGUAUACACCUUGGCAAGUACAGCUGUUGACACCUGGCCACCGGAGUACAUUGAAAGAGGAUAAUGGAAAGUCUAAUAUCCUUGGAGUUGGUGGAGACAACUCAUUGAGAUUAAAUAUGGGUUAUUAUUGAGUUGUUGGCGGUGGCGUAAUUAGAAAUAAAGUUAAAUGGUGUCUAUAUAUGAUGAAAAAAAUAAAAAAUCAAACAUUUCACUUUUUAUAAUACCCGUGGUGAGUUUUCAUAUUUUUUCAAUGUUAAAAUUAGAAUUUAAUAAUGUUAAAUAAGGUGUUAAGUUUAUAUUUUUUAAAUUUUAUAUAUUUAAAUUAAAAUAGUAUAACUCAAAAGUGUAUUGUAACAGAGUGUUAAUGGCUUCAAAUGAAUUCAAGUGGUGUACAUCAAAACGCAUUUCAUUAAGAACUAUUUUAAUUGCUUGCAACAUUGCGAAAUGGUACCACUGCCAUGGGCAGCAACAUCUGCCCCAAGUAUGAGAGGUCCAUUUUUUAGUAGAAACCAAACCAUACUGACUAACCGGGCAAAAAGAAAACACUUAACGGCCUCAUUUGUGCCAAAGUACACCAGUUAAGUUUAAUUGGUUACAUUAACUCAGGAUACAAAAUGGUAGAACCCGCAUAGGAAUAGUGAUCAUCAUCAUCCGAAGAAUAAUCAAGAUCGUACUCAAAAUCAAUGUAGUGGUCUUCGUCAUACUGACCAAGCACAUAGCUUCCAGCAGGAUGGAGGAUGGGGAUACUAUAUCUUUCCGAGCACAUUGAACAACGAUCGGAAAUGUCUGCAACCAUCAAGGAUCCGUAAGCUAUUAGACUCAACUUCAUGUAUCCAUUCAUUAGACACAUAGACUACUAAUUACUAAUCAGAAGGAUAAAGGAUGAGGAUCGGUUUUCACUUACUCGUUUCAUCAGCAGGGUUAAAAGUCACACAUGCCCUAAUACUCCAUUGGUCAAACGGCUAAUUAUAAGUUAACUCCGAAAAGAAAUAUUCAAUAUUGUUGGAGCCAUCAUUUUUCGUCGCAGUAAAGUUGACAUGUAUGACAUGUUUAGACAUACGAUAAAUGCCAUUGCUGUUCAAGGGACGAACAAGCGUGUAAGAGACACCCUGAGAUCAAACCCAGAUUAAGAAAUCAGAAUCAGAUCAGCCAGGUGAGUGAAAAGAGACAGUUGAUACUUGGAAGAAAACAAAACUACCGUCUUUCGCUGGUAGCCUCCCAAACUAAUCUCAGCAGCUGUUUUGAUUAAUGCUCACUAAGAAAUUGUUUAUGAGUGGCAUCAUCCAACUGAUGGGUGGCUUCAUUCGGGAUAGGACUUCCAGAACUGCAGAUUCAAAUGAUAAUUAAGAAGCAUAAGCAGGACAUUCCAUAAUCAUUAACCGGAAAUAUCAGGGAAACUAACGAUGAUUCAAAGGGAUCAACGAAUAAGAAAGGUUAAAAAUACUCGCAAUACAUGACGUCUUCAAACAGAGAGUCGAAAUGAAACACACAGUACAGUCCUAAACAUAUAGCAAUCCGAUAUGAAGAGACCCCCCCCCCCCUCCCCCACACGAACAACAACACAAUUCCUUCAGGAUGAAAACAACCAUUGAUUCGAUAGAUUGGGAAAACAGAAACGAAACCCUAAUUCGAAGGAAAAGUAAGAACAACAAGACCUCUUCAGCUUCUGUCUCUUGUCAUCAUGCACCAACUCUCGAUCGACCAUCUUCUGUGGUUCUCCCAUCUUCAAUCGAUCCCUCGUGUCGAUCUCGUCAAACCCCUUUUCGUCUUCUGGUUUUUUCUUUUUGGUUUCUCGUCUUGUGUUUCAGCAGAAAAGGCAAGGAGAGGAGAGGGGAGAAAUAGGCAUAAUAAAAUAUUAGCAAUCCCGGCACUUAGGUACAAGCCUAAGCCUACCUUCUUCUUUAGCGGGCUGUAUUUCUUGGGCCCACGCUUCUCUGGCUUUUCUAAUGAAUUAGCCCAAUUUUUCAUUUUAAAAACUAAGAUAUCACACUACCCACGCGCCUCAGACCCAGGAGGUGGGAGUGGCCUGGUGGUGUGCGAUGGGCCUGGUGGUGCACAGUGUAGGGUGUGGCCAUGUGGUGUUGCACUGUAUUGGACGGAUUUUUCUAUCUCCUUAAUUGCUAACUAGAUGUACAUUGGCCGAAAUUUGAAUGGACUCACCGUCUGUUUUAAAAAAUUAAAAUAUAAAUAUAGUUACAUUUUAAUUAAUUUGUUUUUAAACAGAAAUCUAAAAAAUAAAUAACCAUCACAUUAUCGCGUCAUCAUCACAUUAGCUAGUCUUUCGGAAUCUUGAUGUGAUUUUAUAAAUUUAAUCAUGUGCAAUUUGAAUGAUGAUGUUAACUGUUAUUAGGGUUAUUCGCGCAAACCAGAUCAGAUGAAACAAAGUAAAAGUGAUAGAGUACUUUUAGGGUGUAUGUAGAUACAAAAAUUAUUACAUACGUGUAUGGGUAAGAUGUGGAUAGUAAAGUAUCAUCUAUUAACCGUAAUAUAACUUUAAACAUUAUAUAACUCUUACGGUGAAGACUUCGUCCCGACUUAUUGAAUACUCCCACUUUUAGAAUUUGAUCUCAGCCGUUCAUUAUGAAAUUAAAUCUCAAAUAUUGAUUUUAUUUAAUUUUCUAAUCUAAUUUAUUUCUUAAAACAAAUUAAUUAAUGACCAAUUGACUUAAUUCCAAUUAAUAUGCGGUCAUUUUUUAUUUUUACAAUUUGAUGUUCCGUCUUAUUUUUUUCGCAUGUGAACAUCUUAAUAUCAACAUUGCACUUUAAAUCACUUUAAAUUUGUGAAUUAAAUUUAUAAAUGGAUGAACCUAACAUCAUCCAUCAAUAUUUGAACUCUUCUUCACCGGUAGACUUCUCAUUCUUCACCAAUAGAAACCCUAUCUUUCCAUAUCUAUUUAUAGUUUCUACAUCUCGACCUCAAAGUCUUCGAUUUAACUAAGGUUUUAGUGCUUACUCUAUACUCGCAGCUCUUCUCUUCUCCAACCUCAAAAAGACCCCGUCGCCGCUUUGUUACUCCGUCCAGCAAUCAUGGGGUAUGUUUCAUUGAUCUAGCAAUCUGAGUUCUUUCUUACACUGGAUUGUAGCCUUGUAAGAAGCAAAAUAACCAGCGGAACAAAAAUUUAUCGGAAUUUAGAUUCAGCAUACCCUUCAAAUAGCACAUUCAUCGUCAUAUGCUCGUAGCUUAUCAGAUGUUGCAUGGGGAAGUGCUGCAUGAAGAGCACCUAAAGCCAUUCUCAGUUUAAUAAACCCCUUUACACGCUUUAUAAUGGCACUUAGCAAGGCCUGCAAAAUAUAAUCGAACUUAUAUUUUUACCUUUUCUCAGAAGAACCAUGAUUCAAACAUCUUCAAGAUAAGCACUUAUCCACAUUCCAGACAAAACAAGAAGGGAAGCGUGGAUGUUGAUUCAUAAUGAGAAAGAGAGAUCACUGGUAAAAUUGACUGAGUAGCAUCAAGCUUACCUUGUAAAUAACAUAAUGGACAAGGCGCUCUACAAGUGUCCUAGUUUCAGAAGGAUACAAGUCCACAAAGAAUAUACUCAGCAAUGCAAAACAAGUACUGUAACCAUAAAUUUCAAUCAUGGAGGUGAAAGGAAAGACCUUCUGACGCAGUAGGAACACAAGAAGAAAAGCUCUAGAUUUCUUCUCUGGAAUCCACCAGAAAGUGAUUGAGAGUUGUGGCUGGCCGUGGCAGGGGUGCUGCAGCAGUUGCAGGCAUGAAGUGCCAAUUAUUUUAUUAUUAAUUAGUGACAAAAGCUAAAAAAACAUUUAUAUUUACUUAAAAAAAGAAACAUGGGGAUGAGUAAAGUAGUACGAGGUGAUGGGUUGAUCAAAAUUUUUAUUUCCCUUGAUACAAAUCAUCCUCUGGGUAAUGUGAUGAAGUAGCUAGGCAUCAACCCAUCAACAUACAUAUAUACCAAGCUACUAGCCGGAUUGAAAAUAAUGUAGUUUGUACUUUAUACAAAAUGUUAAAACUAGUAUAUUGUGUGAAAUCUUCAUUGAUGACCUUUUUUAUCAUAAAUUCUUCAUUUCAUCAUAAAAAGGUUAUACCAGCGAUUCUUAUGGCUACAAUCCAACAAGAACAAUAUUGGAAAACCAGUCUUGAUGCUAAGUGUGAGCUUUUGAAGAGGUUGCCACCCAGUCAGCUAGUUAAUUUGUUGUGCUUUGUAGGGGUGAACACAAACACGAUUUUUAUCACGCCAAUACUUAGGUGGAAGAUCGAACUGAGUUCAACAUAACAAUCCUACAACCAAGGAAGAGAACAGUUGUUGAUGUGUUGACGAUUGUAAUGUUGUCCGAAAAAAUAGUUGAAGGUAACAAAACGUGCAAGCUUGAGAGUUGUGAUUACACAGCAUCUCUUACAACCAUUGUUAUCAGAACAGGACCCAACUGAUCGAUCAGACCAGUUCGACCAUGAACCGAUAAGUUAGUUGGUAUUUGGCGGUUUGGGCAAUUGAUCAAAUUUGGGCAUUAAUCCAGUUGGACUUCGGUUGGACCUUCCAUUACUUACAAAAUCUCCUGUUCAUUGUCCAAAAAUAAUAACCACAUUCCAAUAUCCCAUACAAACUGAUCCAAACAGAGAACAUACACACAAAUACACACAUCAAUCAUCUCUUCAAGCACGUGUCAUUAUUGAAUAUUCAAUAAAUUAUUCAACAAUGAAUAAACAGAGCAGGAGGAGGAAGCUACCCGUUGGAAUCCGAAUUUGUGACGGAGGAGCUGGCAGAGAGGAGGAACUGCCGGCUGAGUACUGCAAAGAGACGCCGGCUGGUCAAGAGGCCAGAGGAGACGCCGGUCGAGAGGUCAGAGAAGACACCGGCCGAUCUGCGGCUACUUAACAUUAAAAAGUGACAUCUUAUUAUAAAUUAAAUAAAGUAUACAUUAAAUCUCAAUAAUUUUAUCAAUAAAAACCUUCAAAUCAUUUAUAUAUAUUUUGAAACUUCUUAAAAAAUGAUUUAAUAACUAUAUUUUUGACAAAUUAGAUUAUGACAUUGAACUCUAUAUAUUGCCGGUUUGAUCCGGUUCAAUUUAAAAGUUGUCCGGUCCGACUCAACUUUCUUCAUUUAUUUAUUUAAUAAUUAAAACGAUCCAAUCCGAUUUAAAAAACGGUCGAACCCCGGUCGAACCAUCAAACCUUAACCCGUAACCUCACCAAUUUUGAAAACAUUGGUUACAACUAAUUAAGGACUAAAGAACACAUAAGCCACUUGUCCUUGUGUCACAUCAUAAUGAUAAAAGCCAUGGAAUGAAUGUUCGUAUGCAUGCUCUUUCAAUCGAUCGGAUUGGUGACCUUGGCAAUAUAUAUUACGCAUGCAUGGAUUAGUUGUAUUAAAGAGUUUCUCUUGCCAGCUGAUUUUAUUUCCUUUUCGUUUGUCCCUACAAGGCAAAAUAAAGAACCAUGGACACUAAGUUGCGAAAUGCUUAAUUGCGUAUGUAAACUCCGCCUAUCUUUGUACUAAUAAUGCCUUUGCUUGAUUUUGAUGAAUGAAAGAUCCAUUUCUUUUUCAAGAAAUUAAGUUGACUAAUUAUAGUAGUCGGACAGGCAACUCCAUCACACUUUCUCCUGUUUUAAUUUGCGACUUCCGGAGACUGUUUCCGAUUGUGGGAGUCGGAGUUUUUAUUGUAAAACAAAUUCUGGCCGCCAAAUUACUAUCACCUUGCCGCCCGCCGCCCUAUAUUUCUACAGAUUUUUCCCACUAAACUUUCAUAGUAGUUUCUUUACGUACGCACUACUCUCUUUUUUAUCUUCUUUGUACUCUCUUCAUGAAUUAGAAUUUGAGUUGAGUGAGAUCAUUAUUCUAAUCGAGUUUUUAUAUUAUGAAAAUACUGUAUAAUAUAUUUUUUGUUUACAAACAACACGUUUUUAAUAUACCAUUUUUUAUAUUCGGUAUUGUAACUUCUAUUUAGACCUUGCUUCAUUAUUAGUUAUAAAGAAUAUGGUUGAGUGGAGAAACCAAGAUCAAACAUUCAUUGAGAUAAUUUUGAAUUAAACAUCUGUGUAUCGAGGAAUAAAUUAACCAAUAUAGUGUUUCAAACAUAAUAUUGUUAAAAAAUAUAUAUAAAUAUUCUUUUUCAGUUAAAGGAAAAUUAAAUGUAUCACCGACAAUUUUUUUAUAUCUAGAUUGCUUAAACUAAAUUUAUGAUCAUUACUUAGUAAAUAGGUAGUUUUAUUAGAAUAUUAUAUCACAAAUUUAAGGUAGAUAAACGAAUGAUAUGAAUUCGAAAUAAAUUCAAAUGGGGUCCUAGGUUUGAAUCUAGUCAUUUGCACAAAAUUAUCCAUUAUUUUUAUUUCACAAUGUAUUGUCCGAGUGGUGUUAUGUGCAUCCACUUGGGCUCCAUGCUCCGCCCCUGACUCUAAUCAUACACUAGCUAUACACACAGCCAUGUACAUGAGUACAUUACAAUUGUGCAAGGUACAUGUAUAUGAGUACACAAUGGUACACAUAUGACAUAUACAUAUGCAAGUAACUCCGACCCCUUUUAAUGUGUUGUGUGCCUGUGUUCAUUAUCUAGAUAGUAACAAAAGCUAUAGCUCACUUGCUCGAAUUACGAUUGUUUCUAAUAAAAAAUUUUGAUUUAAAUACGUCGAAAAUAUACUACAUUUAUUAUUAAUCUUUGUAUUUUCAUCGAAUACCACUAAUUUGAAAUUAGUGUUAACCGUAUGCCACACUACCCAAAACUUGACCGGAAAAUGACGUGGACAUAUCAGAGUGUCUUUCUUUUUCUCUAAUUUUUUUCAAUUUUUUUGUUACGAAACUACACCAUUUAAGUCAUUCGUUUGACUUAUUUUGAGUCGUUGGAUAAAAAGUUGAUCCAAAACUAGCCUGAUCCAAUGAUCAUGAUUUAUCGAAAUAAUCUCGAAACCGGCUCCGGUUAGUGAUGAGGCUAACUCCGAUCUGUCCACAUUAUAUUUCUGGUCAAGUUUUGAGCAGAGUGAUAUAUAGUUAACACUAACUCAAGAUUAGUGGCAUCUGAUGCUGUAUAAAAGAAGAUUAGUUGUAAGUUCUAAAUAGUAUAAAUUAUUCGGUUCAAGUCUGAAAGUUUCUCUAUCUCAUGGUAUAUAGAAUAUAGAAUAGUGAAAUUGAUUAUUUUGAUCUUAAAAUUUUACAAUUUUAUGAUUUUAUUAGUUUAUGAUGAUUUUGAUUUCAAUACUCAAAAUUUUUUGUUAGUAGAAUCAGGUAAAAUCUCGAUUAACAUUUUAGAAUCUUGUAAAAUCAACGAUCUUUCACGUAUUUUACGAUUUCACUUUCUAAGUAAGAAUUAUUGAUUUAUCAUUUUGUCUCACUCGGUUUGGAUAAGAAUAAAAAAAUGUUAUUAGUAAUUUAUUUAUUUUAUUGAUAGAUUUUGAUUAUUUAAACAAUGUCCUAGAUUACAUAGAGACUGAAUCAUCCUUAUCGUAAAAAAGACAAAGAAUUUACUAAUUUCAUUAAAUUGAACUAUUUUCAGUAUGUGUUUAGUUGAUCGACUUGUCCGAAAAAUCUCGGCCAAUCCAAUCUAAGUAAAAAUUCAAAAAUGUCCGACGAAUCAAUCAACCGAAUGGACAGACCGAACCGAAGGGAUUUCCAUCCUGCGAGACAAAAAGACGGACGUGAUUUCUAUCUAGCCCAACUCGCUAGACAGACUCACUGUCCGUCCGGCCGAUCAUACCAGACGGACGGUGUGUCCGUUGGGUGAGGUGGGCCAUACGGAAAUCCCAUCUUUCUGGUUAUUAUUGCCGAAAUUUGACCUCGACAUUAACAUCAAUGUUGUAGCUAAUCGAACUAGCUUUCAAACAUAAACCAUUUUUGUAUCAAUCAGACUUCUGAGCGAUGAGUUAUGUCAAAAAUACUAAACUACGACGUUUUCCGACCUGGCCGGCGAGUUGGGCCAGACGGAAUUUGGCCUCAAGAUGAACAUAAAAGUUGUAGCCAAUCGAACUAACUUUUCAACACCGUCGGUCUUGUAUCAAUCGAAAUUUCAAUCAAUGAGUUAUGUCAAAAUUACUAAACAGCAACGUUUUCCGACCAAAUCGACCGUCUGAGUUGUUCCAGCCUCCCCGUUAUGGUUUAGUUCAUCUCAAGACAUCAUAUGGCACCUGAAAUGCACCAAAAAUAUGGGAAAAAAUGUAACGCCCCAAGGGGAUAAGGGGAACCAAAUAUGCAUAAAACGUCACAAAUUCGAUAAAGUGACUCAAUACUUGGAAAUGAGAUGGUUCUAUUCAAACUACCUAACGGGUCGUGAUGGAUACACAAGACAACGGAUGCGAUGAUGCAUCUCCACUAGACAUUACUAGGAAUCCAAAGCACGAUCAUGCCCAUGCACUACCAUUACUAAUUCACUUAAAAUCAAAUUACCUAGAAAUGAACAUAAACAGCUUGCUGGAGUGUUCGAUGAAAUGCUCUUACGGCAAUUCUAUUUUAGUAACUAGUGUUGAGAGUGGCUUUAGGUCGUGCAGUUAACAGACCUGAUCCUAAGACCCGAAACUUAUCGUUAUCCAUGUUCCUAUUUAUUCUGCAGCUGAACAGUUUCUCAUAGUCCUUAGGAUGAUCAAAAACCCGAACAAGGCCUUUCCCCACAGUCGUUCUAAUUUUAAUUUGAUCUGUAGCCGCCGAGUGAUAUAUUUGCAUUCCUGGUUUCCUGUUUCCCUUAGUAGUUGUUUUGUUUUCAUUUUAUAGUUUAGGAUAAAACUGUCUCCAAAUUAUGAUCGACUAACCAUCAAAUCAAAGCUGAGUAGUGAAGGCCAAGUGACCCGGGAGAAUUUGACUCUGAAUUAUCUCAGGAUCAUUUGAUUGUUUGGGCUUGAAAACCCUGACAUCAAAUUGGCGCCGUUGUCGGGAACAUACUUGACUUCACAAAAGGUGUAGGAUUACUCGCUUAGUCUUUGUUUUCAUAUUUGUACAUAUUUGAUUUCUUAGUUGGUUUUUGUUUCUAUUUGUGCAAUUUGUUUUUUUUUCUGUUUCACCCCACUGUAUUUGUUGUUUUGGAUAGUUCAGGUUUGUUUGCAAGACAAAGUAUGGAUAACCAUGCACAAAUGCAGUUUGACUCCCCCAAUCAAGCCUUCCCAUCGGUUCAUUAUGGUUAUGUUGAUUCACUAAUAGGAGUUCAAAUAAUCAGGACUAUUCAAAUUGGCAAGACCAAUAUGGAUUUCAUGGUGAUUCUCACUUUCAUGACUCCAUGAAUCAGAAUUUUGGUCCCUCCACUUCCAAUGAAGAUAUUGUUAAGCUAAUCCAAGAUAUUAAAGCUCGUUACCGUGCCAAUAUAGCUAUUCAAGCAGCUCACAAUACAAGGAUUGAAGCAUCUUUGGGAGAGCUUCAAGAGUCCAUCAAUUUCAUUGCUUUCCAACUCAAAGAAGAAAGAAAUAGUCACUGAGCAUCUCAACAAGAAACUAGCUCUUCAUGCCGUAUCAUGGAAACAACAAGUGUUGAGAAGUUAUUAAGUGAUUUUACAAGACAAUUUGGGGAUAGAUUGAUAAAGUAAGAAGAUGAGAUUGAUCGCUUGUCAAGUAAAAUGGAAAUCCUCCAAGAUGCUUUCUUUGAAUUGGAACACAAGACUCGAGCUUGGCAUACUGACAUUGUAGAAAGAAUUAAGUGGCGGGACCAAUUGAAGAUGUUGGUGCGAUCGAGGAAGAGUCUAAAGACGAGAAGGCUUUUUUGGCUAGGCUGAGACAGGGUGACAUUGAAGAAUUUCCGUUCUACUUCUCCGACGAAGAAGAGGGGAAUUCUUAUAUGGAUAAGUUAAGAAAGGGUACGAUUCCUAGUCCUCCUCUUUUGGUCGAAGACAUUGACAUUCCGUCCUAUUUUUCGGAAGUUUAGAGGAUGAGGAGCUUUAUGGAGUUCACAAUGUUAGCACCACUCCCCUGGUAAUAGAUGCUCAUAAUACACCCGAAGAGCAUAAAGUCUUAGAAAAGUCAACCACUUCAAAUGGCGACUCUACCUCCUCUUCAAAUGAAACAUCAACGAAAUUCCCCGAACCUACUACUAGGACAACCAAAAGGAAGCGUCUAAGUAGAAGUAAAAGAAAGAAACGCCGCAAAGAAUUGAUGAUGGUUGAGCAAGCAAAGAGUAAGGAAGAUGAACAUUACGUAGUCCUUUGAUGAAGAAGAUUGAUACUACUCCUACCGGUUGUAUUGAGUUUACUCAUCCGCAAUGGGGAAGUAUUCAAGUUACUUUUCCUAACCACGUCUACUCAAAGACCAACGAUGAUAUGAACUACAAGGAGCUUCUUGGAUGGGAUGGUGAUUGCUAGUCUACCUCCGCUUCACCACGUCAAGCUAAUGACGUUAACUAAGCGCUUCCGGGAGGCAACCCAAGUUUCUAUCCUUUUCUUUUAAUUCGUGUGCAUGAUCGUUCUCUAGAUGUCUUGAGUGUCAAACUUUUUUGAUUGAUAUGUCGUGUCAAUUUGGGGUAUUGUCGGUCUUGAUAUGAGUGAAUUUGAUGAUUGUUUGGUGUUUAGUUGGGUGAAAAUGUGUUUUUCUUUUUCUCUAGAAACGUACAGAGUUGCUACUGUCUGAAAGCUAGUCACGGCCGCGAUGCCUCUUGUGUCACGGUCGUGAUUCGUCCUUUCAAAAACUUGCUGUUUCAUUUAAAAUCAGAGCGGGGAUUGGGAGUUUGAAAACCCGUCAUGGCCGUGACGCCCAACCUGUCACGGCUGUGAUGCGUAUCGUAUCCAGCAGCCUCUUUCCCUUUCUAGACACAGAGAACAACCGAAACCACACACUUUCAACGUCGGUUCCCCCAUACUUCUUCUCUACCACUCCUCCACCUAUCUCACCGGCGCCGGAACUCUUCCACCGAUGUCGGUCGUCCCUUCUUCUCCUCCUCUACUCCUUAUCGACCUCCCAACUUCCACCAAAACUCCCAAAACUCCCACAAGUCCCCAACCAACCAAUAACAAUCCAAGUACCCAAAACCUUCAACUUCACACCAACUCCGAUCAGCUGUCUUCUCCAGCCUCCUAAAGCUUCUCUGGAGGCUUCCUCAACCCAAGGGAGCUUCCAAUUUCUUCCUCCAACCUCCAAUUUCGGAAUUCCCCAAUUUUUGGUGAGUUUUCGAUUUUUAGGUCGAAAUUUUGAUUAUCAGAAUUUAUGCCAUUGAGUUGCAAUUGAUGUGAACAUUAUGAUUGGAAUAAUGUAUAUGAUUGCCUAGGAUGAUUUUUGCAUGAUCAGAACGUGUCGUCCACUUGAUUUUUCAUGUUUUUCGAAGCGGUGAAAUUUUUGGGUUACCCAAUUUUGGAGAAUCUGAAAUUUUAAGUUGUUAUUGAUGUCCAGGUGUUUCAUGUGACUUGUUGUCAUCGUUGUAUACUCGUGAUUCUUCUUGUUUGAUUGAAGUCAUACGUUUACCUUGAAUUGUGAUUUCGCCAACAUCGGUAGAAUUUUGAUGUUUUGCCAAUUUUGAGAAUCUGAAAUUUUGAAAGUUGUUGUUGACUUCUUCGUAUUCAUUGUGACUACAUGCAUCUCUUUGUGCAAAUUCUACUUAUUGUUUGAUCAUAAUCAUUGAUAUGAAUUGUUCUUGAAUUUUGUCAAAAUCGACCAAGUUUCGACUUGUCCAUUUCGAGUUCAUUGUUGAUGUUUCUGUUUUGUUAUACUUUUGGUAUGGUGAUCGGUAUUUAUUGUGAAUUGUGAUUUCAUUGAACUUCACUUGUUCUAGGAUGUUAGUUUGUUCUCACUUUGAAUAACUAGUCAUUCUAGUCACUUUUAGAGCUAUCUUUUGAGCUUUCCAUUUCCCAUGACUUGUGCUUAUUUAGGUUCAUUUGCUUUACUUGUGUUAUGCUAUUCUUGCAAAGUAGUCUAUGUCGAGCAAAUGAUCUAUUUCUUUUUGUCGCUUGGGAUUCUUUAAACUUGUUCGAGAGUUUGAUGGAUUGGGAAGCAUUGUGCAAUAUAUUAUUAGAUUGUGAUUUUUGGCAUUUUGGAUUACGUUUGGAUGGCUUAAUUUUGCAGAUGUCAGGUGAGGGUUCUUCUCAGUCGCGGGAUGACCAAGGAGGAAGAGACAUGUUUCUAAUGAUGAUGAGAGAACAGCUUGUACUGUAGCUGCUAUGCAUCAGGCUAGGGAGCAGCAUAUUCAGGAGGUUACGGCCGCUGCUUUUGAGGCCUUCUUGACUUUCAACAAUCCGAUCUUUCGGAGUCGCUGCCAGAUUGCCAGGGGGAAGAGGAUUGUAGCCACGAGACUGUUUGAUUGGACAUCUAUUGAUGCUACUCCUCUUAUUGGCUGGACUUUUCAAAUGCGUUAGCUGUUGCAGUCGCCUUGACCGGGCUCUUUCUGUUGAUGAGCCCAGUCGUGAGGUACUCACCCAGGAGUUAUUCUCCACUCUGAUGGUGGACCUUCAGGCUGAUAGGGAUGAUACGUCAGCUAUCAGAUUCCGCAUGGCGGGAGAGUCUUGGCACUUCUCUUUCUAUCAGUUUGUCGUCGCUUGUGGUUGUUAUGACGAGGCGGAAACUGAGGAGUUCAGCAGCUGUUGAUCUAUCGAGGUAAUGAUACUUUGACUGCUGCCAAUGCCUCAUUCUGGUCUCGAAUGCGGAGAGAUGCUAUACCAUUUGCUGCUGGGAGGAUCAAGGCGAUACUUUUCAAGAACCCUCUUCACAGAUUCCUCAGGGAGGGUUGGCUAUGAUUAUCACUGCUCGCCAUGAGAGUCUUGGCACAUCCUAGCUGGAGACUUGUUCCUGAUUCAGAUGAUGGUAAACGGUACACCGGCACAUUUGGGCUAUCUAGUGGCUCAUCACUUGCAGUUCAUGUGCGCUCCGUCUUCCUCAGCUCUUCUUGGCGGUGCUUACAUCGCUCGGGUGGCCAGAUACUUGUGGCUACUCGACCGGUUCAGAGACUUCCCGACCUACCCGUCGAUGAUGAUGGAUUCUGCUUUGCUCGUCUGCAUGAAGCUGCUUCGUGCGGUGCGUGGUUUAGGUGGUAGGGCCUACGAGGUGACUGCUGAUGCCCACAUUCCAGAACAUGAUGUGGAUGAGGAGGCGGAGAUGGAUGCCAUGGAUGCCCCUGUUUCUCCACCACAUCCCGAUGAGAACUUAUCUCUUCCAGAUGCAGUGCGCCGUCUCACGGAUCAGCAGGCACAGUUUCAGGCAGAGACUCGAGCUGCAAUGGCUGAUCUCACCUCUCGAGUCUACUAGUUGCAGCGUCGAGAUUAUGAGAGGCAUGGUGAAUCUCUCCCACCCGGGCUACCACCAUUCGAGUGACUCUAGUGUGGCUUUUCAGGACAUUUAGUGUUUGAUCUUUAUUUUUCUUUUUCUUUCAUUUGAACUUUGUGAUAUCCUCUAUUAUGAUGUUACGGAUUUGUUUUCACCCCAUUAAGCACUUGUGCUUAUGGUGGGUGAUGUCCGUACUCUACUCUUUUCUUCUUUUCUUAUGUUUGUUUCAGGUUUCCCAACAUUUCUCUAAUCAUCGACUUGGAUUACUCUAUUAUGGAUCAUCUUUGUGAGUUGUUCCACCCUUCAUCCUUUGUGCUUGUUUUUUACGGUACACUUUCUCCUACUCUAUUAUAUUUUGGUCCCAUUGAGGACAAUGUGAUGUUCAAGUGUGGGGGGAUUAUGAAAGUGUACCAUGCUUGUUAUUGUUGGAUGUUUAGGGUGCUAGUUCAUUUUGCCUUCUUCUUUGGAUUGAUGCCAGUUCAUGUUGGCCUCUUAUUUUGAUUGAUGCAUAUUGUGGCUUAGUCUUGCUUUUCGAAACUCCCUCUCGAAUUUGAAUAUGUGGAUGUCUUUGGAUACAUUCUUAGUAUUUUCAUACUGCUCGAGGAUGAAUAGGUUGUUAAGUAGAUCAUUUGUGGACCACCUCCCAUUUUUCUGAAAUUAGUUUGCUUCGAACUUGUGCAUAUGGAAGUUAUGAGUUUUUGCAUGUACUUGUUUGAUACGUAUGAUAGAUUCUCUUUAUCGAGCUUGUUUGUGGUGUUAUGAAGUCAAAAUGGACGGGACGGAUCCGAAUGAGGAUGCUUGAAUAAAAAUGCAUUUGGGUUUGUUUACAUCCUAAACACGUGUGGCGACCCUUGAGGUCCGCCUUCUUCACAACCUUUAUGAGGUUUGGGUUGUGGGAAACAGAGACUGGUUACUUCCGAGUCCGGCCAUGGUUGUAACAAUUCUCUCUAAAAAAAAAAAAAAAAAAAAAAAAAAAAAAAAAAAAAAAAAAAAAAAAAAAAAAAAAAAAAAAAAAAAAAAAAAAAAAAAAAAAAAAAAAAAAAAAAAAAAAAAAAAAAAAAAAAAAAAAAAAAAAAAGAAAAAAAAAAAAAAAAAAGGGGAGAGGGGGGGUGCUAGUAUUUUUGGUGAUAGUAGUGCUACGAUUAGACACCCCCUCCCUCAGCCCAGCCAGGACCGUCCGUCCGUCCAUUUCUUCCGCUAGUACCACAAGACAUAAGUGCGAUGGAGAAACUCUUGUAUAUUCGCGUGUAUAGGUGUUUAGUCAUAAUCUCUAUAUGUUUGAGUUUGGUGUGAACUUUUCUAAGGGAUUCGGUGUCUUGUACAUAAUUGAGUGGUUUGGUGUUCGACUUGCAAUUUUGGCAUCGUGAAGUAGGCUUGAAAUUCUAAGCUAUGUAUUUCCUUUCACCAUGAUUCGAGUUCUUUUUUUGCGUGUGAUUAGUAGAUUUGCUUGAGGACAAGCAAUGUUUAAGUGUGGGGGGAUUUGAUAGCUUGAUUAUUGGUAGCCAUGUUGACCCUAUGGUAGUCAUAUUGACCCUACCUUGACCAGUUUUUGCUCCGAUUUUGAUGAUAUUUGAUGGUUAUAAGUGCCCGGUUUGAUCAUAAGUGCAUUUCGUGCUCGUUUCCUCUCGAACGGAUCUGUUUCACUUGUUUCUUGGAGUCUCUUCCUUGAUUGCAGGUAUCUGUUGGAUAGAGGGUUCGAAUACGAAACCGAUGGUACCUGUCGAUUAAUGUUGCUGUUGACCGAAAGAAGAAGUUAUGACCGAAGAAGUCGAUCAAUGCUGCUAUUGACCAGUCAAUAGGUGUCACGGUCGUGAUGGGUAACCUGUCACGGCCGUGACGCCUAGUCUGGACAGCAAAAUUAAUUCAACACCAGACGCGAUUUCAGAAGGGGGAAGACAGAAAAUGACGAACUAAAACAUAUUUUGACGAAGGGGAAAGUGCUUGGGAGCCUAGGAACGGCAUGUGAAUGAAGAUUUGAAGCCAAAUAGUCGAGGAAUCGAAGCCCAACGGAGGAUUAACCUUCUAUUUCGGUGGAUUGGCGGUUUGAACCUUUCUCUACAUCUUCCAUGAAAAAAUAGGUUUUCUUCUUGUUUGGGUUUUGUGAAUUCUUUUGGAUUUAUGGGAUCGUUCUUGUGUGUAGUGAUAGGAUUGUGGAUUCAUGUUGAUUGAUGAUGUAUUUUGUUAUCUCGUUGCCUCGAUUGUCCUGUUUCCAUUCUUUCGCAGUUUUCUCAGUUUCCCUGAUUUGGGUUUUCUUAUGAGAUUGUUGUCGAGUUGUUUGUUGAGCGGAUACUUGCGGGUGUUGAGAGUGGUUUUAGGUUGUUCAGUUGACAGACCCGAUCCUAAGACCCGAAACUUAUCGUUAUCCAUGUUCAUGUUUAUUCUGCAGCUGAACAGUUUCCCAUAGUUCUUAGGAUGAUCCAAAACCUGAACAAGGCCUUUCCCCACAGUCGUUCUAACCUUAAUUUGAUCUGUAGCCGUCGAGUGAUAUAUUUGCAUUCUUGGUUUCCUGUUUCCAUUAGUAGUUGUUUUGUUUUCAUUUUAUAAUUUAGGAUAAAACUGUCUCCAAAUUGUGAUCGACUAACCAGCGAACCAAAACUGAGUAGUGAAAGUCAAGUGACCCGAGAGAAUUUGACUCUGAAUUAUCUCAGGAUCAUUUGAUUGUUUGGGCUUGAAAACCCUAACGUCACACACUUUUACUUGUUUAACGGUGUUUAAUUUCCUGAAAUUUAAUGUAGUUAGAAGGGUAAGUCUCGAAAGCUCAAGCUAUGAAAGAGAUGUUUGGAAAGCUACGAAGAAAACUUGCAAGGGCGACUUUGAACUAUUUGGAGUCCCAGGUCUUGCUUUUUCCUUUCUCUUUUAUGGAUGUUUUGUUUUUCUUGUUGAAAGGUUACUCAUGAGAGCCUCAUCAAUAUAACUAAACCUUGUGCUCGCUCGCUGUUUAUCUGAUUUUGAUUUUGAUGAUAGGGUGUCCAUUAUGAGCUUGAGAGCACCAUGCCCCACGUGCUCUUUUGUUGAUUUUGCAAAUCGUAAGGGUGUCAUACAUGGAAACUUCACUGCUAUAAAGAAAUCAGACUAAAGCUCCGGAGAAAGGCCUCCAGCUGAAAUGUUUUUUGCUGAGGCGGUGUACAAGAAGGAUGGAUUUGGGGUGGACAUUAGUUGUUGGAGCAUCGUUGAUCCUGCUGUAAAGGGUGGUAAUCAUUUUAUCAAAUCUCUGGAUCCUAUAUGUUGGUCUGUGAAAAUCAUUAAGUUCACAUCAGUAGCUGCUGCUUAUGGUAUUAUGGAUCUUUGUUUUUGUAGGACGUUGUGAGUGUUGUUCUGUGAAUGAUUAUGAACCCGGAGAAAGUGAAUCAGAGUAGUUGCCUGCAAUUCUCAAGCAUGGAAACUGGAACAUGGACACUCUCUCGCAAUUACAAAAGAGGGUUCGUUGUUCUCGUUUUAUUAUUCCCAUAGUUUAGUCUGAUGGACAGUUAUGUACGUAUAAAUGAUAGAUAACUAUUUUAUUCUAGCACAAGGGGAUGUGAAUAAUAAAAUGUAAUAGUAGGCUCGUAAGAUUGAUCCUGUGCCGACCACUCUGAGCUUCAAUUUUAAUCCUUGAAAUGGUUAUGACAUUGUAUAGGAUCUAAUGAAGGUCCUAUCAAGGGAUGGACAACCGAAAUUGUUUGUCUACAGCGGGGUCAUGAAUGUAUGGAAUGAUGUCAGUUGUGUGAAAGGUGUUUCAAUAUAGCUUGUAAGAAAGGAUCAGUGAAGGCAGGCAAACAUGCAAGUCGACUCUCAAGGACUUAGCUGCCAAAUGGAUACAAUGCAUCAACUCUCGCUUCACAAAUCCUUAUUCCUAUGAGUAAUGACAAGCGGAAAGUACCCUAAACGCAACGUUAUAUACAGAAUGAUAAGUAGGAGAACACCGACUGGAUCCAUGACGCAAUUGGUAACGCGUGCGACUUCAGAUCAGAAGGUUGCUUGUUCGAUUCAUGUCGGGUUCAAUCUCCUGGUCUUUCAAAUUGGACUUUCAAGAAGCCCAGCCGACAUUGCUGGUGGGGCAAGUUUGAAAGAGACAAAAAAUAUGAACUUGGGUUAAAUAAAAAAAAACCCAGUCGUCAUUGGGUAAGCGAAUUGAGGAUAAGAUUCCUGAAAAGCUUUGGUGGGGGGGGGGGAAUUUGUUGCUUUAUUUUUUGGUUUAAAUUUUAUCGGAAUAACGAAAAUUGUUACAUCCUCUGUAAAAACAAAAUUGUUUCUCGUCUGGAGUAUGAAUGAAUGAAUCUGAGGUAAGCAGUAGCAUGUUCAUAUAUAGAAGAAGAGCACCAGACAAGUACAAAAGUACGUUACACCGUCCAAUCAUUUCCAAUCAUACUGAAAUUUUUUGCCCAAAUUAUGUGUGUACUACUUACUACUAAGUUCAUUGAAUCUGCACCUAAUCCUAAUACUCUUGUUCAAUUGCAUGUAAUUGUAUCUGCAAUAGUGCAUGAUUUCAAUGUCAGAAUUAUCGGACAAACGAAAUUUCAAUAUAAUCCAUUAAUUAUUAAAUUUGACGAUCUUCAAGAUAUCAGUAAUGAGAUUCGUUAGAGCGUGUGCAUGUCUCGUCCUGAUAUUGUCUGGAUAUUUUUUUAACAAAAUUAAGUUUGACAAUCAUCAAGAUAAUAUAAGUGACGAGAUUCAUUAGGGAGUUUGCGUGUGUGUCUCGUCCUUAUAUUGUCUUUUUUUAACUAGAUUUAUAAAUAUGCGUCAUGUAAAGAAAAAAAAGGUAUAAAAAAUCCUGAGUGUAGUCAAACUCACAGUGACCACCAUCGGUUAUAUUGUUAGAAUCUCUUUAGGUUGAGCAUUGUCUCAAUAACAUUAAAUGAGGUGCUUUCUUAGUGAUUUGAUAAAUCGUCGAAUAAUUGUUAAAAUAAUUUAAUGAUCUUUCAUUAUGUGAUUGCAUAUUUAUUAUUGUCAUCGAGGUCAAUACUAUACAUAGACAUUAUAGAAAAUAUCCAAAACAAUCGCUGAAUCGAUAAAUUAACGGAUCAUAAACAAUCAUUUAACUCGAUACUUAACCGAUAAGAUUCCGUCGUACAACUAACUACAAGAGGUCGGCUGGCUAGUUGACAAAUACAUCCUAGGCAGUUUGGUCUCAAAUAUUAUGAAAUAUUAUAAGAAAGGCCUACUAGCUAGCUAGUUGGGAGUUGGAAACUUAUGGUUACAUAUAAAUUAGAAAGGGGGGAAGGCACUCAUAAGUCAUAAGAAUAAUUUUUUUAAAAAAAACGUAUACUUUUGUUAUUGUACGUACAGCUAAGAUGUUUACAUGUGUAGUGACAAGUUGCCUAAUUACAUCCCCAACUUGGGGAGUGUUCCCUUAAUUAAUUAAAAUGGCUUAAAUAAACUAAGUAUGUAUGCGUAUAUGAUGCAUAUGCUAGUGACUGUCUCAAUACUGGAGCACUCACUAGUUACAUUACAUCCCAUCUCUCUCUAAUCCUUUAACAGCUCAGUUUAUAGCUUUCAACAACGUGACCAUCAUUCAUUGUAUCGUGCAAUUAUUAGUUUUCAUCUAUUUUCUCAUUUCAUUUUUUUCCAAUUUAAUUUGCAACUUAGUGAUAUUUUUAUAUUAUAGAUAAAUUGAAAAAUAAUUAUUUGUGUUGCGGGUAAAUAUUAACAAUUAAAGUAUCACAUAAGAGAAGUUUGUCUUUUUUAUAAGUGUUUACCAACCAAACUAGUAUAAAAGGAAUUCAAAAUACAGGUGCGUGCAAUUCAAAAGUGGAUCGGCGAGCCUAACAAAUAUUGAAAUAUUUGAAUUGAUGUUUUUCCAACCGGUCAAUUUAACUUUUAUAAAAAUAUGUUUAUAAUGUGAUUUUUUUUAUUAUUAGAAUGGCUAAUUAGAUAGUUACAGUGCAUUUGCACCGGAAUUUUAGCAAAAAUACAAACAAUCAUCUCCUCCGGCGGCUUCCCCUCCCUCCCACACAGCUCCACUUUGCUUUUGGUUGAAAGCAUUUAAAUUUCCAUAGUCGGAGGAAGUGGAGCCCACCAGUGGUGGGUGGAGCAAAACGGCACGGACCACGUGACCGUCCGGUAGCGAGUUUUGGAAAGGUUGUCUAAAACGUCACGUCUGUAAAUUUCCCGGCCGACGUGGAGCUCGUCGGAAGUGGGUUGGCCUGGUCCCUCCCGUGUCCUCCUCCUCCUCCAAUUAUUAUAAUACGUUUCCAAGUCAUUGAUAUUUCUCUUUUUUUUCACGUACUUUUGAGCGGUUAAUAUGUUUGUUUGAGAUUUACAAUAUAAUUACAUAAAUCAGUGAUACCAUUUAAAUCAUUAGAUCUCUACUAGCCCGGAGAUCAUCUGAUACGGCAAGAACACCUCUAAAACAAGAUGGUGAUCGUAUGUUAAAAAGUUUCCAGUCCUAUUAAGGACGUAUUAAUACAUAAAAAGAUUUAUGAUACAUUGAUAUGGACGAAUGUCUAUAACAUGCAAUAUGAGACGAAAAACCCACAACUAAAAAUGAACCCGAACAUAUUCAAAUUGAAACAUGUAAACAAGCUAAAUCAAGAUGGUAAAAGUCACACUUGAAACAUAUCGUCUCCAAUGAUAACCUCCCUCGGAACUGUUGUCAAUUUCAAAACAAGAGAAAACCCCACACAAAAGAGAAGCAUGGAGGUCGAGCAAAUGCAAAAAACAACAAAAAAAAAAACUGUCCCAUCUUAAAAGCAGCGGCAUCGCCAACCUAAAAAGCUGGUAAAAAUGAGACUGCCAAAAAAGCUAAUACACAACACAACCCUAUUGGCUAACACUUGUAAAUAAUAAUUACAAGAAAUAUGCAUCUCUUUGUUGUUGGGAAGCUAAUCCUAGCAGCUAACUAGCUAGUAAAGCUCUCUCUGCUUCCCAUGAUUUGGAAGCUUUUCUUCACUUCUUUCCUCCUGGGAUCAGAUUAAACUAAUCAACCAUAAUUCAUUAGUAAAAAGUGGAGAAAUUAUGGGUUGGAGGAAAGGGUUUUUGCCCAAAUGCACAAGAGAAUAUACUUAAAGCAGCAGAGGUUCUUUUUUAAUUAUUUACUUUAUUAAGCUGCUACAAUCCAUCCUUGCUUCUUUUCGCAGCUUUUUUCUUGCACUCCAGUCCUCUUUUUUUUUAUUACCACAAGACAAGUUACUAUGCUAGCCUUGUUCAACUUUGAAUCCUGUCAUUUUAACUUUAGUUACUAUAAGAGAAUCAUUAAUUCAUAAUGCUUUAGUUCUCAUGGUAAAAAUCCCUCUAUUUUAGAGUGAUUUAGGGUAUAACAUGGAACAUACGGCAUCGUUCGGUUCUUACAAUCGAGAUUUCUUAAGCACAUUAAUUUUGUCUAUAUAUAGCCACAAUCCUUCUAAUUUAGUCCAUUCCUCCAAUGUAUCUUGAAUACCAUUUGUUUGAUAUAACAAGUAUGUUAAUAUAACUACAAAGGAGGUGAUCACCUGUAACGUACGAGCCAACGGUGGAUUCAAGGGGUCUUCCCGGACUCGGUUCAAUGUAUUUUUAAUUUUUGAAGUUUAAUGCUAUGUACUUUCCUUUAUACUUUUCAGUUUGUUGGCAUUUUUUCUACAUGUGGCGGCCCAGGUAGAUGUUUAACUCACAUAGAAUCACAUAGUAGAUUGCAACCAAGCAUGCCAUUAAUUUAUCAACGUCAAAUCAUUAUUAUACAUUUUCAUUCAAACAUUAGACAAACUAGCAAUAAAGCUCAAGAUUUAAAUUGAAAGGUAAGUAGUUCGAAUCCUAUACCCAUCAUAUGAAGAAACUUGUUCGACGUGACAACAUUCGAGUCAUAUCCUCUAAAUGAAACAAAUUAGUCAUUUACCAACUAGUGACAUACACCUUUUUUGUAUAGUCGAUCGAACGAUAUGAUAAGUCGAGUAUAUAAAUACGCCUAGUUACAUAACCGUUUCGAUGAGUCGAUGAAUAUACACCCGUUACAUUAAAACAAUCAUGUUGACAACGCAAUGAUACUAAACAUAAUAUUGACAUAUAUAUAUAUAUAAUGUGUUUGAUUUGAACUCGAUAUCUCUAAAUUAUCAACAAAUAACGUAACCAAUUAUGCUAUUUCACGUACAAAUAUUGAUUAAUGAACAGAGAUGGAAAAUUGAAGGGUAAAAUAAAUAAGGGAGAAUGAGUGAGGGAGAGAGAGAGAGAGAGAGAGAGAGAGUGGGGUAUUAUAUGGUGUCUCUCUCUCGCUAUCUCUGGGCUCUGCAGUCAGCAGCUAGCAAUUGUAUACAGAGAAAUGAAAACGAAAGGAUAUAGGCCAAAUGCAACCUUAUCUAACCCACGGCGUCACCACAAGACACGUGUCUCUCCAGGGGAAGUGAAAGACUUUUGGAGUGUGGGAAUGGAAGGCCUCUGUAAAAAGUAAAGGCAGGUUUAGAAGAUAGGUAAACAAGUAAAAAGCCUGCAGUAAAAAAGAAAAUAUAACUCCGAAUCCCCACUUCAUCGCAAUUAAAAUGCGGUAUUAGAGUGAUGCUGGAUCUCCUCCAUUCUCCAAUACUAUGUUAAUGCGAUUACGAAGGAUGUUUGUGUUUCCUGCUGGUUUAGUGGAAAGCUUAACCAAACUCCACAUCUGCAUAAACAUUCAUCUAUGUUUGCUGACCAAACCAUCCAUUACGGAAUUGUUUUUUGUUUUUCUUCUACUUCAAACUUAUUAACUUAAUUAAGAUCAACUCUACCGAUAUUUGUAAUCCCAGCAAAAAUUAACUCACAUCAAUCGUUAUCAUAAACGAGGGGGUCGUAAAUCCAACCAUAUUGAUAAAUUUUGUAAAUAUCUAUAAUUUAUAAAUUAAUAUUACAGACAUAAUAUUUUCACACUCAUAACAUGUGCUCAUCUAGAUUGGUGAUUUAAUACAAAUGGUUACAUUUUUUCCACCCUUAAAGCUAUGGUUCGUCACUCGCAAUCAAUGGUGGAAUUAAGGGUGGACGAACUUAGACUUUCAUCUGACGUAAUUAUUUAAGAUUCUUCGAUUAUGAAAUAUACAAUUUUAUGAGAUUUUCAUAAUUAAUUUUUUUUUAAUAUGUUUUUGAAUUUAGUUCAAUAUAUUUUUAAAUACACUUAAAANNNNNNNNNNNNNNNNNNNNNNNNNNNNNNNNNNNNNNNNNNNNNNNNNNNNNNNNNNNNNNNNNNNNNNNNNNNNNNNNNNNNNNNNNNNNNNNNNNNNNNNNNNNNNNNNNNNNNNNNNNNNNNNNNNNNNNNNNNNNNNNNNNNNNNNNNNNNNNNNCUCUUACAGGUCUCCCCCCCCCCCCCCCCCCCCCUUAUUUUAUUUAUAAAAUAAUAAAUAACCCCAGACCAAAAACAGAGAAAUUGAGCUUGAAGCUCAUACAUGCCACGUCAUACUUCACAUUUUUUCUUCAUUCAAUAUAAUUAAUUAAUAAUUUAUUUUUCAUCAUCAAAUAAUCCAAAAUUCACUCUCUCAUUCAUUUCUCAUCUGGGGGACUUUUUUUCUUCCAACUCACAGAGCUUUCUUCGCCUUUCCUUUCCUCUCUUUCUUUUUUCCCUUCACUUUCCUUUCUUUGAUUCCCAACUUCCCAACUUCAAGCUAAUGUAAUUCUGCUUACUUCCCACUUUUUCUUAUCUCCAGUGGUGGUGGUGAGUUCUCCCUAGUUCUUGUUCUUCCCUGGUGGUGGUGGGGAUCACAUUUUUUUUUUUGUUUCUUUCUUCUUUGCUGGUGGAAGGAGCUAUGAAUCCCCUUAAUGGAAAGGGAUCCCUCUCCGCUUCUGUUUCCAGAGUCAACUGGAAAUCCGGCGAACCAGUCGCGGAUCAGUUCCCCGCCGGACUCCGUGUUAUGGUCGUUGACGACGAUCCCACUUGCCUCAUGAUUUUGGAGAAGAUGCUCAGAACCUGUCUUUAUCAAGGUAGUUUACCGGCUUCAUGCUCAAAAGUAGAGUGAUGGGUUUUAAGAUCUAUUUGGAAUUAGCUUUGUUUUGCGACCAAUUUUCGGAAUCUAAUUUGAAUUUGGUUUGACUUGUGAUUAUCUUUGAGAUUUCUGCUGCCUUUUUUCAAUUGGAUUGAUCUCCUUUAUCUUCUUUUCCUUGUAAAUUUCCAAUCUUCAGUGAAGAAAUGCAGUAGAGCAGAGGAGGCCUUGUCAAUCUUGAGAGAGAACAGAAAUGGGUACGAUAUAGUGAUAAGUGAUGUACAUAUGCCGGAUAUGGAUGGGUUUAAGCUGCUGGAGCUUGUUGGUCUGGAAAUGGAUCUGCCUGUUAUCAGUAAGUAUAUUAUCUGCAAUCUUUGUUUGUGAUUUAGGGUGUGAUAGAUGAUGAUGAUGAUGAUGAUUGUGGAACUUUAUUGUGUGAAAAUCUUGAAGUGAUGUCUGCGGAUGACUCGAAGAGUGUGGUAAUGAAGGGAGUCACUCAUGGUGCUUGUGACUAUCUGAUAAAGCCGGUUCGGAUCGAGGCUUUGAAGAACAUAUGGCAGCAUGUUGUUCGUAAGAAGAGGAGUGAGUUGAAGGAAGUGGAGCAAUCUGAGAGUGCUGAGGAAGGGGAUUCUAGGCAGCCUAAACAGUCUGAGGAUGCCGAUUAUUCUUCCUCGAUUAAUGAAAGUAACUGGAGAAAUUCCAAGAGACGGAAGGAUGACGAUGAGGAAGGAGAGGAUAGGGAUGACACCUCCUCGUUGAAGAAGCCUCGAGUCGUUUGGUCUGUUGAGCUGCAUCAACAGUUUGUCGCUGCGGUUAACCAGCUUGGCGUAGACAGUAUGUCUCUUCUUACUCAUUACCGGACCGAUCCCUUCAUUUUGUUAGCAACUUUUCUAAAUUAUGUAUCCGUUGAUUCUUAAUGUCUUAUGUGUUUGUUGGAUCUGAUCAUACAGAGGCCGUGCCGAAGAAGAUUCUUGAGUUGAUGAACGUACCUGGACUCACUAGAGAAAACGUUGCUAGCCACCUUCAGGUAUGCUCUAAAUGAACUAUUUACAAUGUCAAUUCUUGUUCAUACAGUCUAUUUUUUCCCGGUUGAUGCAUCAGAGCUUGAGAAAGUUUGAUGUGUUUCUAAUUUGAUGCCCCGGUUUUGUGAGGUACAGAAAUAUCGAUUGUAUCUGAGAAGGUUAAGUGGUGUUUCUCAGCAUCAAAACAAUUUGGGGAACUCGUUUAUGUCCCAAGACCCAGGUUAUGGACCAUUGUCCACACUUAAUGGACUAGAUCUUCAAACGCUUGCUGCCACUGGCCAGCUCCCAGCUCAAAGUCUUGCAACCCUUCAAGGUGCAGGAUUAGGUCGAGCGGUUCCAAAGUCCAGGAUCCCAAUCCCUGUAGUUGAUCAGAGGAGCCUGUUCAGCUUUGAGAACCCGAAAUUGGCUUACGGAGAUAGCCAACAGCAACAGCAACAUCAUUUGGGUGGUGGUAUGCAGAUGAACUUGCUUCAUGGAAUUCCAACAAAUAUGGAGCCAAAGCAGCUUGUGAAUUUGCACCAUUCGGGAUCAUCUCAUGGAAGCAUGAACGUGCAAGUUAAUUCUCAGAGUGGGUCUCUGCUAAUGCAAAUGUCUCAACCACAGUCUAGAGCACAGAUGCUAAAUGAUCAUACUGUAGCCAACCAAGUUCCUAGGAUUCCUUCGACUGUAGGUCAGCCGAUCAUGUCAAAUACCCUUGCUGGCGGUAUCAUGUCGAGAAAUGGUAUGGACGAAAGCAACAGACCAAUGGGAUAUAAUAAUCCAGCUUCACAGUCUUCAUCAAUCAUGAACUUCCCCUUGCACAGCUCAGCAGAACUGCGAAGUAAUAAUAGCUACCCUCUUCAGAAUAAUCCAGUUGUAGCCAACCUCUCGUCAAAAGGUGCUUUUCAAGAAGACGUGGCCUCAGAAAUGAAAGGAGCGCCAGGAUUCAUGCCUAGCUAUGACAUUUUUGGUGACUUGAACCAGCAGAAGGCCCAUAAUUGGGAGCUGCAGAAUGUUGGCUUGACCUUUAAUGCCUCGCAACAAGGCAAUAUUGAGGUGGGCUCUUCGGGUGUAUCUCGUCAAGGUUUUCCCUCUGGUCAAGGAAGUGGCCAAUCCAGGAAUUCAGCAGCUAUUGUAAGCAGGCCGCCUAUGUUCUCUGCUGCUGGCGUGGAACAUGUGAACAACACAAUAAGUGUCGGCCAGCAUAUGAAUAACCUCUAUUCCGAGAAUAAUCCGGUUAGUAUUAAAGUUGAAAGGAUUGAUACAGGCAAUCAGACUACUCUCUUUCACGAGCAAUUUGGUCAAGAUGAUCUCAUGACUGCAUUACUCAAGCAAGUAUGUAGCUUUUCUCCUUGAUUUGACUCUUUCUGAUUCAAUGUCCUGCUCUUGAACUCUCGACUCUUUCUGAUUCAAUGUCUUGCUCUUGAACUUUGGUUUGACCAUAUUCUCACUUUUUGCAGCAGCAGGGAGGCAUUGGACCAGCAGAUAAUGAGUUUGACUUAGACGGGUAUACCUUCGACAAUAUUCAUGUAUAGGAAUGUCGAUCAAGCUCCAAUACGGCCUUGGUUGGUCAAUGCAGUUGCUGAUGUACAUACAUGCAGUCGCCUGUGGACCCUGAUCUCUUCAAGUGACAGCAUAGUGAUUCAAAGUUAGAUGGAAUUGUUCAGGAAGGAAAAUAUUUGGUUGCUUUUUCAGGUAGCUGCAUUUCAUCUGUCAAUAUUGAGAGUUCUGCUGGGUAUAAAGGUGGUGGGGGCAUAAAAGAACCAGAAUGGGGAAGUUGCUAUCACUACGAGGCAUGAUAUGAGAAGGCAUAGCAUGCAAAUUUUUGGAAGGAAAGUCUGUCUAGUAUUUGAAGCAGCAAAGAAACUAAUUAUUAGGAGGGAGCAAAUUGUGGUUAUCUUGGGCUAGAUGAUGUGCUUCAGUAGAAGUUUGCAGAAGAAAAGUAGCUAGCUAGGAAAACCUGUUUUUCUAACUCUAAUAACUCAGUUUGUGAUCAUUUGAUUUUGAGUUUGCUCUCUUGCUUUUUUUUUCCAGAUUUGUUAUUUCAGGAACUGACCUUGAUUGUACAUAUUCUAUUCCCCCAUUUGUUUGCUCUUUAGACAUAAGUCCUUCCUGGGUAUAUUUUUCUCCAGGAUGUUUUCCUCUUGUAUUUGAAUGAAUAUUCCAGCAACUCUCUUUUAUUUUAUCUCAUCUAAUCAUCAUACCCCUAUCUGUUUUUAGCCUUUUAGGGUUGGUUUGGCAAUGGAAAUCAAGAUUUUUAAGAAAAUUAAGUGGAAGGAAAUUGAGUUGAGAUUGGUAAAGGUUGUGUUGUUCCCGUAUAAUACAUUUAUCGUUUCCUUGUCAUCUAAACAAAACAUGUAUGAAUGAAUGUAGUUUUUCAUCAGGAUAAAACAAUAGAAUAGAACUCUCGUCAGAUAUUACACCUCCCAAACAGAGCCUUAAAUCGAAACCAUGGAAUUUGGGAGCAAAAUAUAUUCAAGAUGAAGCCAAUAAAGCAAGCAAACAGACAAGAUACAAUACAAUGCUGAUCAGUUCAAGAUUGAUCUUUGUAAGAGCAUAUAACUUGGAAGGAAAAUUACAAAGAAAUAGAGUAAUAGUAGUAGCAGAAGUAGUACUAAAGACCCAAACUUGAAAUCCUGUUAGGGACAACAUCUACAGGAACAGGUUUUACAUUUUAAGCUUCAGUUCUUCAGUAUGUCUGUCACAGUGCAGCAGUUUUCAACUGGGGAUCCUGCUGUCCCCAUCAUCAAACUUGGAAUAGUAUUUACCAAUCUCUCGACUUCAAUGCCUGCUCAAUUGUACCGAUCAUUGAACAUAAACCAAAAGAAUGAAAAAAUCUUCACAUCACCCAACAGCUACCAUAGAUCCUGCCUCAGUAGGGAUGCCACCAGUGUUCCUAGUAUUAGAGACAGAAUUGUCACAGGAGCCCUUCGGUUAACGCUGCUCGUUGGGUACAUUGUAGGAAGAGAACAUUCUUCACCAUUGAAGAACACUUUAGUAGGGAAACCAUCUCCGAGUGGCACAUUAAUUCCAGGUGUGGUUCUCUUGGUAAAUGAGACCACAGACUGCUGUUUUCCGGGGACUCUUGGAUCCUUGCUUGGGUUGAGACCAUCAGUCUCCCCAACUAGGUAGUUCAGUCCAGGAAGACCCUGCAUGAAUAUGGUGUUGUUGGAAUUCGGCAGCAUGGUUCCAUUAAAUGAAUACAUGGCUUCGAAACCUCCGGCUGCUUUGUCCAUUUCGACGGCAACAAACCAAUCAGGGAAAGGAAUCUCCGCCCAGUUGAAGAGCGUGAUCCUAGAACUCCAUCCUCGACUGUAAUCAGUAUUCACAUGCCAAUUGAUGCUCACCCCACAGUUAUCAGCACACGGCAUCGGGUUGGGGAGUGCUCGAUGCUUGAUGUUGGCCCAAGCAGCGGUCAUGGCGGAACGAUUCUCAAAAGGAACCAGGAGAGCAUUGGGCGGAAGAAGAACCGCCGGAGUAUUUGCACUACAAGUCUGAGAAGCUGCUUUAUUAGGGCACCCACAAGCACAGGUAUUGCAUGGGACAACCGAAUCGUUGUAGAAUGCGGAGAAUGAAACGCAGCAACGAGGGCUCGAUCCCUUCUGUUGCGUGAUGUUGCACACCACCUGCCAAGUAGCAACUGCAGUAGAAUUCGAUGGUAAACCACUUGGGUCCAGGAACUCACUUGGGCUCACCCUAACAGGAGGUCCACAUUGAUAAUCAGGGUUCAACGUGCCAUUGAUCUUCCAGUUCUGUGGCGGGGAAAGCUCUGAGCGGGUCAGAUUAGGAGGCAUUUUGAAAACCUGCAUCUGGAAAGAAGAGACCGACUUGCUGGGGUCCAUAGAUGGUGGCAAGAUUGUGCCGUUCCGGCAACAAAAAGGGAUCAUUCCGAGUGUGGUGUCGUUGAACUUGGUUGGGGGCAGAUCGAUAAUUGUCGGUCUCCUUUCACAGUUCAGCACGGUGGAGAAGUCCAGCUGUUUGUAGUAUUCGCCCUGAGGACCAAAUAUGCAGGGAGAGGAAUCUACGAGUGAAGGAUACGCACCCUUCAUUGAGUUGAUGAACUCAUCCUGCAUCCAGUCCCAGCUCAGUUUCCAGUUAUCGAGACGGCCUAAGUGAUUGUGGUUGGUGAUGGUAACUUGUGCCCAGUAACUCGAAUCAUAAGCUCGGAUCACAUCGUAAGCUAUCGUCAAAUCGCCACUCUGGCGAGGCAAGAAAUCCCCAUCUAGUAAUGUGAUGUUCGAUUUGGCUUUCUCGUCUUUGACGCAGCAAGUCGACAUAGCACCGCCUGCCAAAUCCACAAACAAAAUAUAAUAGCUGUCCAUCAUCAACAUCAAUGAUAGCAAUUACAAACAUUCAAAGGAAACAAAAGAACAAACAUGAAGCAUUCACUACUAUCCAUCAAACAACUUUCUAGUUACAUCACAAUUUCAUAUUGCUACAAUUCAUGUCCUAAAUCAUAUCUCAAUGGGGCAAAAACAAAAGCUGCAAUUCAAGUCAACGAUAAUUCACUAGUCAAUUCAAUCCCUAGUCUAAUUCAAUGAUCGUCCAAUCAACCCGAAAUCAUCGCCGAAAAUGAGAUCUAAUCCCACACAGAAAAAGAAAACCCUGAUAAUCGUAAUUCUGAUUACCUAGAGUGGUGGUAGCAGGGCAAGACCAUCCAUCAUUCACCAGAGUAAUAUUAGUCGGCCAAGGAAUCGCCGGCGGCUUGACCCCGAACUGAGUCCCCAAGAGCUUAACCUCGACGGAAGUCUGAGUGGAGUCCCCAGCGGUCUCAAUCGCGGUCUUCAAGUCAGUCAUAGGGAACCCGGCGAAAACGGUACCGUUCCCGACUAAAGCAGGGUAGCUGGAGCCGUCAGCUAGAAUCGCAUUGGUGGCAGAGACAAGGAUCUCAUCGUGCUUAAACCCUACAAAGGCUUGCCAGGACUUGAGCUUCUCGAUCCCGUUGUUCUGGACGGUGAGUGUGGACUCGAAUCGGUAAGGCUGGUGUUUCGGAUCAGUAGGCCUGAUCUUGGAUCCGGACCCGUAGCGGUAAGACAGGAAAAUCCCGUUGCAGUUGUCCGCCGCGGGUGCCGGAGCGGCGUCAUCCCCCGCCGGAGCUGGAGGCGUCGUCUGGGAAAUCGUGUGAAACGGUAGGAAGAGGAGGAAGACGGGGAGAGCUAGAGAGAAGGAGAUAGCUGACGGAGGCAUGGUUAUGGGGGAUAGUGGGGUUUCUCCGGCGGAGAUGGAUGGAGGAGGAAGAGAAAGAGACGUGGAGAAAAUGGAAGCUGGGUUUUAGUUUUUGUAGCAGAGAGGAAGAGAGUGGGAAACGCGUCCGGGAGUGGGUAUAUUUUUUCGAAGAAGGGAGAAGACGACAGCUUAGUAAAAGCUGUUAUUUUAUUAUGCGGAGAAGAUUAUGGUGUUUGCUUUUUGGUUCUGUUUUUAAGGGGUUUUUUUAAAUGUUUUAAGGAGGGUAUUUUCUUUUUAUGAAAAACCAACAAACUUUGAAUUUUUUUUUAUUUUUACAAAUACUUUAUGACCAAUUAUAUUAGUUCUCAAAUUCUCUUUUACAUUCGAAUUGAAUUUCAGUCCUUUAAAGAAUCAGCUAUAUUCUUCCAUAAAAUUCAUAGGUUUGAGGUGGGAAGUGGGAGAAAAUCAGAAGGAGAGAGAUGGAAAGCGAAGUGAGAGAGAAAGUCCCGUUGAGUUUGAACAAACAAUACUUUGGCCCACGCUUUCUUUGCUAUUUUGAAUUCAAAUACCGACCCAGUCAUGGGUGGCCCAGCGCCAGUUUGCAUUGAAUUUUUGUGCCACGAUGGACGGUGAGGAUUAGUAAACUACCAUCUCUUACUUUAAUCAAGUUUUUUCUAACUAAUAACAUCUGCAAAAUCCUUACAACAUCUUUGUACAAGUAUAUACAUUUCGGUACAUUUGUACAAAACAUAUACUACUGCUGUUCAUAUUCUUAUACAUACUCUGGAGCAGCUUUAGAGAGCGCGUAAAUCAUUCAUUCUUAGGGGGUAAGCCCUUCCACUUACGCAUUACCUAUUUCCUGUCCUAAAAAAAGAAAUCUGUUGGCGGAACGAACAUUCAAACAUUCGCUGAACACAAACACAAUCUCGAUGAGAAUCAGUACACGGAAGUCGAUCAAUCCACGAAGGUAUGACACUUCUACACCCUCUGCUAGCAGUUUUCUUCUCUUAAGAGAUUUUCGAAAACAAGGGUUCAAUGUAUAUAGACGAUCAAGUUACCAUAGACAACUCAAAUGGAUUGGUUGAGUCCAUUGACUUAACCCAACCGGUAGUUAAACCCAAGAGAGAGGCCUUAUCCCACAAGCAGACGGAAAAAAAAUCCCAUGAUCACACACUUACAUCUGAGUUUGAGUUUAUAUAAAGGUUGUUAUAUCACGCCUGGAUUUUUACUAUAAAACAUCCUAAUAUUUUAAUUUUAUAGGUAGAAUUAUGUGAAUGUCCUUCGAAUAUAAUGUAUAAAUACACCCGAUCUAAUUCAGAACAAAUACAUGACCUAACUCGCACCUUCCGGUCGCCGUCACUGUUGCAUCCGCCGCCGACGCCGCCAUUACGAGGUACCUUUCUUCGGAAUAAAUUAUUUUCGUUGUCGCCGUGGCCGCAUCCGCCGUCGCCAUUACGUAUAUUCCCUUUUAAAAAAAUCGAUUACCGUCAGCGACCAAUUAUAUAACACCGUCGCCAUUGAACGACGGCCAAACCGUGUAUCCAUUGCACAAGUGGAUUUUGAUUGGCUGCGAGAUGAGACAUUCAUUAGUUGAGGGAUUUUAUAAAUAAAUGUAUCAGAACAUUUGCAUAAUUUUCUAUACCAAAUUUAAAUUUUAAAACAUUUAUAAGUAAAAAUUAAAGCGUUAUAUAUUCAGUUAUAUAGAUACGUACAGAGUUUAUGAAUACACAACUCUAUAUGGGUAUACGAUGUGAAGGUUGUACGGUAAAGAUGGAAGUCUGACAACUAUUCAACAAUGUAAUUAUGAGGAGAGAGACAUUUCUAAUUUGCUUAUCUUUUAUAAUCAUUGUUAAGAAUAAUGAAAUUAUGGUUUUAUGAAUAGCAUUUAACCAACCAAGCAACCAACGUUAGAUAAAGAUUUUAUGUGUAGAAUGGGUUGAAAUGGUCAAUAAACGUGAAGUUUGUCUCGUCCCCUAAUCAAUACACUCUCACACAAGCCCAUGAAUACACACUAUCAUGUGUAAACUCUCGCACAAUAAUUUAAAACAAAUUCAGCUAUAUAACCAUCAUCUUCUACUAUAUAUUAUUCAUUUUUAUAUAUACUAAAAUUAUCCACAGUAUACUACAGAAAAAAUUUAAAAAUAAGUAAAGAUAAAUAAAUUUUUUUAUAAAAAAUAUAUUAACAAAAUCAAAACAUGAAAUAUUUUAAUACAUGUCAAUUGAAAAAUGAAAAAUACCACGACUUAUGAAGGUUAUUAUAUAAGUUCAAAAUAAAACUACCAUAAACUCAAAAUAAAAUUUCAAUAAAAUAAAAUUUCAAUAAACCCAAAAUAAAACUUUAAUAAACUCGAAAGAAAUCACUCCAUUUUGUCAUCAUCCGGAGCAAUAUAGCAGCUUUGGUUCAGCUGUUAACCGCAACUUCGCCGCGAAUUUGAGAAAAGACCGUUACUAUAAUCUGCUCGCUAGUCGAAUCGGGAAGCUGCUGCGAAAGUUGCCUGGUUUCGGAGAAUGUUCUGCCUCCUCUGAUCAGGCUGAUCGAAUCUGGAACAGAAAUGGGGGAAGGAAAAGGCCGUCUUUUCGCUCCAGACGCUUUCGAAGCAUCGAUCGUCGACCAUGGCGGAAUUCAGCCGCUGAUCGAGCUGUGUAAAACAGGGGACUCUUUUUCUCAUGCUGCAUCAGCUUGCACACUGAAGAACAUUUCCACCGUGCGGGAAGUUCGGCAGAGUCUCACUGAAAAAGGAGCUGUGAAGGUAAAAUUCGUGAAUCGCUUGUAAAAACUAACGAGGUCAUAAAAACCCUUACUUUUUCUUGUUCGGUUUCUAACAGGUAACCAUCGACCUUCUAGAAUGCGGGAUCCUGCUCGGAACGAAAGAAUACGCAGCGGAAUGCCUACAGAAUCUCACCGCAAGCAACAAGAGCUUGCGAAGAAUUGUGAUAUCGGAAGGCGGGAUUCGGUCCUCGUUAGCGUAUCUCGACAACACUUCUCUGCCUCAGGAAUCUCCAAUUGCAGCAUUGAGGAAUUUGGUCAACUCUGUUUCAAUGGAAACCCUGGUUUCGUCCGGGUUCUUCCCCCGAAUCGUCCACGUGCUAAAGUCGGGAUCUUUAGGAGCGCAACAGGCCGCCGCGUCAGCAAUCUGUCGAGUAUGCGUGUCGAAUUCGGAGAUGAAGAAGCUAGUGGGGGAAGCGCGGUGCAUUCCUUUACUCAUCAAACUACUGGAGGCAAAAUCGAACGGAGCGAGGGAGGCGUCCGCUCAGGCUAUUUCGAGCUUGAUGACGGUAUCACAGAACACGAAGGAGGUUAAGAAGGAUUUCGGGAGGAGCGUGCUGUGUUUGGUGCAGUUGUUGGAGGCUAGCCCGCAGUACGCGGUGGUGUGCCUUUCGGGGCUUUCGUCGACCAAGAAGUGUAGAAAGAUGAUGGUGUCGUACGGGGCAAGCGGGUACUUGAAGAAGCUGAUUGGGGCACAAACCAUGCCUUGUGUUACGGCCACGUUUCUGCAUAUUGUGGACCCUAAACGUACCCAUUCUUGUUCUCUUUCCUUUGAUCUUCUCAAGAUUGGACUCCCGUUGCAUGCAUUAUAUAAAAUCUUGAUUUUCUUUUCCUUAUUGAUUUUAUUGGGGGGUUCAGAUUUAUCUCUGCCGAUGGUGCAUUUAUUCAUUCCAAAUAAUUAAUGUACAUGGUAGACCACACUACAUUUGUCGUAUUGCAGACCUUUGUGAUACACCUUUGGAUUUAGCCCCUUAGACCUUAGUCAUCCUCUUUCCUGCAUCCAUAAUACUUUCUUCAAAUUGGACAUGCAAAACAAAAUAAAGAAAUAUUAGAGUUUGUUAUUCUAUUUUUUUGAAAAUAAUGUCCUAACAUUCAAAUUAUAUAUAUAUAUUAUUACGCAAAUGUUCUUUAUCCUUGUAUUAAAAACUCAAACACACAUCAAUUCGAAAAUAACACCUCCUCCUUCUCUUUAUCCCCACUGCGGCCUUCCCCUCCUUUGUAUCUUUCCAAGUUAACCUUCGACGUAGCAAAAACUAUAAAAAAAUUUAGGUUGGUCUCCCAAAGUGGAUGCCUGUUGAAGGUAGCCGUGGGCGGCCGUUCAAAGAAACAAGGCCCACCAUUUUUUAAAAAUAUAUUAUAUUAAUUUCGCAAUCUUAUGUUAUUAUUCAUUAUGAUAUAUUUCACAAAUCAUAUAUCGAUAAAUGAAUAACGUCAUAAGAUUAUGGUGUUUGGCUUAAAAGAGUCAACUAAUAGAAAUAACCGUUGUUUUUUAUGUGAAGUAUGAGAUUGUUCUUCAUAUGGUUUAAGUACUUGUUAUUUUCAACUCUUGAAGUACCCAUAGAUCGAUGAAGAAGAUCCAACAAUCAUUCACAUGUAAGCGUACAACUGAGUUGAAGAUCGAAAUGUCGUACCACAAUUAUCAUCAUGAAGUCAUCUUAUCGAUUAAGGAACACAUAUUAGCCAAAUAGUAGUGAACUUAAUUGGUUAAGCUCAUAAUAUAUCACACAUUGUCAUUGAUUCUUCUACAAAAUGUUGCCAUGAGCUAAUUUCAAUGUUAUUGGAAAAUAUUUGGGAUCAAAGGGGUAGGUAGGUAGGUGGGUUGUUGGAAUGAAAAGAUGGCGUAUAGGGAGAUGGCUUCUUACUUCUUAGUUCUACAUAUGUUUUGGAAAGUUGUAGAAUGUGUUUGGUUUCUCGUUUAUUUCAGAACAAAUUAGGGGAGUGGUCUAGUAGAAAACAACAGAAAGAUAGAAGGAACUCGACCCAAACUGUUUCACACCCCUCAACUGGGAAGAUACUUCGGCCAUGAAAUGAGGAUUUAAGUAGAACAAAGUUGUCUGGGGUGGUCAAUAUUUUUACAACUUGGAAACAGAGCAAUAUAUUAUUGUAAGAUUUGGCAGAAUAGAAGCCUUAGAUCAAAAAGACUUUGUAUGGAGUGAAUGAACGGUCUAAACAACAAUUAUCGAGUUGUAGAAUGUACAUACACUGAUUUAUAAAUAUGACAGCAGAGAUUUCUACAGUAUCAUAUGGGAAGAAGCUUAUAUUAUCAGUGGUCAGAAAGCGAAUCUGAAAUUUCCCAGCUCUAACUUGAUACUCCUUUUGUCUUCUAUUUACAUGUCUUUCGAAUUAGGAUUAAUUUGAAUAUAUUUUUAGGCUUAAAAAAGUUGCAGGCUAUAAGUAUAAUAGUUUGUGGUGCUGAUGUUAUCUAAGUUGGCCGCUACCGCAGCAGCAGCAGCACCAGUUUCGACGACCAGAAGAACAGAGUUCGUUGUUAAUAAAAAAAGGAUCCGAAGACCGGGGGAUUGAACCCGACGUGAAUCGAACACGCAACCUUCUGAUCUGGAGUCAGACGCGCUACCAUUGCGCCACGGAUCCGGUCGGUGUUCUCCUACUUACCUUUUGGAUUAUAAUACUUUUACAAAUCCAUGCAUUGAACCUUUUUUGUUUUCUUUAUAUAAUAGGCCUUUCAGUUUGGGCCAAAAAUGGAGUAGCAGACUUGCUCUUACAGGCCUUUUGACAUGGGCCUUGGAGGAUUACCCACCAGCACUUGGGCAGUACUCGAUCAAUGCUGCAUGUCCAAGAUCUCUUCUUGAGGAUUUUCAUAAGCAACAAUCCAUACUGGCACUGCACUGGUUUAUUGUAUUGGUUCAACCAUGUGUAAGGUACUACUCGAUACCAAUAUUCGAUGUUGUAUUGUUCUACAAUUAUAGUACCAAACCCUAAUUGAGUAAGUGGCGUUUGGGUGUGUACGAAUAUCUAGCGCGAUAGAGUUGAAUUCUUAUUUUACUAGUGGAAUUAAUAAAGAGAACAAUUUGAAGAUACAAACCAAGCAAAAAAAUCAAUGGUUCCAAAACGGUGAAGGUAGAAAAGAAAAACCGAACAACCAUAAUUCUGGUCAGGAAUCAACCGAACAAACUCAUGCAACCCUAAGAAACUGGAGAGUAACAACAUCAUUCGAAGUUUAGAAAACCUUAACGCCCACAUUAAUAAUAACCCCAAGAUGAUCACACGCCGCCCUCAGAAACCUUUGAAUUACGUGCAGUAAACUGGCAGGACAAAUCUGUAUAAAAAUACUCUAAUAAAUUGUCUGGUGAAAUUUAAACGGAUCCGUUACAGUGCGGUGACGACGACGUUUGUUCAUUGUUGGCUGGCUGGCUGAAUACGGAGGCUCCACUCCACCGCCGCAAGGCCAAGAAGGAAAUUAAAGAUGAUCCAAUCUUUCCUGUUAACGGUCACAAACCCCGUCAUUGUCACAAGAUUCAAUACCUUAAUCACCAUGAACAUGGCACUACCCACGUACAUUGUCCCCACAAUAAUGGAAAAUUAUGAACGCAACUUCUGCCUUUAGUUUCUUUUGGGCUUAUUUUGUUUUUGGAGAGUUUAAAAACAAAUAGUAAAGAAAUCAUGAUCAUGGAUCUUAUACGCUUCACAAAUUGGCGACAUGUUCCAUGUUUUGUGGUUAUUUCUAAUCCAACUCUCAUUAAUCUAUUGGUAUUAUGAAACUUAAAACGUUCUUCUCAUAGUUUUGACGUCUGUAUUGUUCUCCUAUGUUGUGAUGUUUUAGUUACUCUUUUUUCCGACGACCAUAAAGUGACAUGUAACAUAUAUUUUACGGUUCAUUUUGAAUCUAAUUUGAUUGUUUUUUUAUGAAUUUAUAUUCUCUUAUAUGCACAUUAUUGCUUGACAUGUACUUUGUGAUUUUCAUGUUUAAAACAUGGAUAAUCUUUCUAGAGAUGAUAAAGUUGAAAAUGGAAAAAAAUGUUGCUGGAUUCGAGAAUAUUUAUUUAAAAAUUUAGAGUAUUAGAGGGAGCACAUUGUAAAUUUUUUUUUUACAGGCAAAAGAAAAGAUACCCAGCAUGCAUAAACCAAAAUGAGCUAAAGAGUGUAUGAAUAAUAAUAUAAAUAAAUCAAUCACUUUCCAAGUAAGAAAAAGGAAGCAUUAUUGGAGAGGCUCAGCUGGAUCCACUUGUGUUUUUGCAGCUAAACACAAAAAGCAACCCCUGAAUGUGAAAGGCCGACCUGCAAAUGCAAAGGCAUGUGCGGAUGAUCAUGGCCACAAUGAACAAACUUAAGGAGCCUGUUAUAUAUUAUAAAUUGGGAAAUAAGCUAAAUGGAAAUAAAUUUAAACAGACGACACAAUUUAUCUUACAUGAAAAAUAAAUUUGAGAAAAUAUUAUGUACGAACGGUCGGUGAUUGGUGACGAUAAAAGCUCCACUAUAUCUGUUGAGUGUUAUUACACAUUUUCAUCCCAAAAUUUAAUUUAAAAAAAACCGUUUUUUCUUUUUUAUAUAAAAAAGAGGUUUUCUCUCACAUUUAAAGUGCACCUACCCUUUUUCACUCAUAAAAUAUUACAAGUUGUAUAGAUUUAAUGAUUUUGUGAUAUCUCAAAUGACUAAAACUGCGCAAAGAUAAUUAAAAUAGGUGAAACGAGUAGUACAAUGAAAAUAAAAAGUACAGAGUGAUCUAUACCACGAAUGCUCCUCCUAUGAGCUCGGUUGAUCAGUACCUUUGACACAGGAAGAUUUAGAUCGCUAAACUUCAACAAAAUCAAUUUGAACGACCAUCCAUGAUAUUCCGAUCACCGAGCAACAAAAUUUAAGGUAAAAUUGUCUGAGAUCAAAAUAUUUUAUUGCAUCUAUGUAUCUCGAGUGUGGUGUUUUCAAACUUACCGGACUCCGGUCAAUUGGUUCUCUGCUUCCUUGGCCACUUGCGGAACUCCAUGAAGAAUAUUCAAGCUAGGGGUGCUAACAGUAGAACAAGUGCAAGAGUGCAAAACAAACGUUUCAUUCUCAAACUCCCACCCACCUAAAUUUUGUCUUAGGUUGUUAUCCGCAACCAGUACGGAUUUGACGUGGAAUGUAACAAAUGUCUUAUUGACAGACGACAGGUUAAGAUAUAUACUAUUGGACAAAUGCCUAAUUAACGGCUAAUUGCAAUUAGCAGCACGGCUGUCGGCUGGUGUAUUCCAUGCUCUCUUUUGUCCAAAUAAUUAUUAGCCGCUAAGUAUAUUGUUGGAAAUAAUUAUUAUGUCUUGAAUGCAUAAUGAGACGAGUCGUAUGUAUCUUGAAGAUUCUCCAAUGUUGUUGUGAUCCAAGGGACAAAUAGAAGUGACAAAAGCUAGCUAGUGAUUCCUAAUGUAAUCGGGAUUAUAUUUCAGUCUUAAGUGUUAACCUAGAAAGUAAUGUUUCAUAAACAGUAAAAGUUGGACUCAAACUUGGAUUGGAGAGGGUACAGAGAGAGUCAUGACAUUAUUGAUUGGAGAUGGAUCCCACAAAUAUGAAAAAAGGAAGGGAAAGGCAAAUUUGGUUAGAAAGACUACAACUACAACUAGUUGUGGUGUGUUAGUGUGUAGUGUGGGUGGUGGUAGUAACAAAAAGAAAAGAGACAAUCCUCCACCGCCCAGCCUGGAAAAGGGGCCUUUGAAUUCACAGUAUAGUUUCCAUUCAUCUCUCUGUUGUUUAAUCGCCCCACAAAGAGAUGAAUUGAAUGGUUCAUGGGUGUGAAUCUGCAAAGAAACCCUACCCUUGUUGGGUUAAGUCAAAACACUUUUUCUAUUGUGUCUACACCUGCGUUGGAAACGUUAUGAACAGAGCAAGGAAGCAUUAUUGUGCAAGUAAAACUUAACAAAUAUAUAUGAUACAAUGUUGGGACCUCUGAAUCAAAUUGUUCCGAUCAUACAAUAAAUAAAAACACGUGUCUUCUAACAUUUUUGUUUCAGAAAUGACAAGAAAUCAUCAGCUGAACAUGGGCACAAAUGGACUGAUUGUCUGUCUGGUUUGGAGAAAUUCCUGGAUGAAAAUGUGGGGUUCAGAUCACCAUGCAUGCACCCCCCCUCUCUAUUAAACGUCACUACUGACUCUUUCAGUUACAUAACAUGUGGGUUUCCUAAAUUAGUCAUUCACCAGUUCUUACUGCUAAGUAAUAGCAGUUAAAAUGUGCGAGUACGAGGAAGAGAAUGUACCUAGUACCUGAAGAAUUGACAAUUAUCAUUGAGCUCUGAUCUGCGUCGACUGGCCAUGAAACAUCAUAUCUUUCGGAUAUUGUGGUUGAUGAAACAUCAUAUCUUUCGGAUAUUUACGCUAGCAGAACCAGAGAGAGCAACAAGAUGAAGAAGAAGACAAACAAAAGCAGCUCAGCAAAGCGGUUUCCUCUUUCUCAGAGAAGCCAACCAUGUGUAUGGAUCUUCCUUAGCGUCCGCGUCACGUCUGCGGGAAAUCUCAACUCUUGCCACCUCACCACCAUCCACGUGUACAACUAACUGUUCCACCUGGUCAAACUCUAUCUCCCAUAACCUCACCUCACUAACCCAAUCUGGCUUCUUCCGCUUUCCUUCCCAGUAUCAUUAAACCAAUUGAACGGAAAUAAAUUAUCUUAGAUAUAUAAAUAAUCUCCAUCUCCAUACCAUACCAUACCCUCCCCAAAAAUAAUUGAAAUUUCGUCAUGACCAUCACCGAGUUUUGGUGGUCCGCAUUCUGUUUCGACAUAACAGACUAAUUAUACAAUAGAGUUGAACUACACAUGUACUCUUUAUUGUCCUUUUUGAUCGAUUAUCAAAUGAAACAUAUACAUUAAAAAAGGAUGCAGACCACCAACGUUGUUCUGAAUAAUGAAAUGGUUGUUUGGAAUAGGAAUAAUCACAUAUACAUUGAGUUCAGUAGACAAGCAUGAGUAUGUGUUGUGACUUCGACUAUUAAAAAUGAUUCGAUUAAAUAACUAUAAAUAAUCGACUAAUCCUAUUAUAUUAAUAAUUGGAGGAGACAAGCUCCCUGCUAAGUAAAAAUCUAAAAGGUGCCGCUCUCUCUUGCUUUUCCUUCCUUUCUUUCUUUCUUUCUUUCUUUCUAUCUUCUUUCCCCCAUUUUUCAAUUGCUUUCAUCAUUGCUUUGGAUCAACUAUUCACACCAAUACCCAAUUCAAUACCACUAUGGUUAAUAUACAACCCGAGCCGAGAAGAGACAACCCGAGCUACAUAUGACUCGCUCUGUGAAUCGUAUUCAACCAUCCAAUGAGUCGAGCCGAGUCUUAUACAUCUCCAGCCAAACUCAUUUCAACUCAAAUUUAGUUAAUUUAGCUCUCGAGUAUGUUCACAAUAAUUUUAUUGAAUAUAAAUUUUAUCGAAUCAAACACCAAGCUAACCACGAGCGCUGUACGAGUAAAAUGCAACGUGGUUGAGAAAUAACAAGCAAACUUUCACUAGAAUACAAAGAACAAUCUCAUCCUCUUCUUCCUCCUUCUCUUCCUUUAUUUUACACCUAACAAGUAACACCUCUCCAUCCUCUGUCCACUCAUUUCCCUCUUCUUUCUCUCCCAAUUUCAUCAAACUUCAAACCUUGCUUCUCCUCCCAUGGCCACCGGAAUGGCCAUAACCAUCUUUUCCAUUCUCGCAUUCCUCCUAUCCAUCUCCUCCUCCGCCGAUGCACUGCCCAAUUCCAGGGCAUUGUACGAAAUCGCCUGCGAAAUGUGCACAACCUGCUGCGGAUCCACUCCAACCCCGUCUCUGCCACCUCCCUCUCCGCCGCCGCCGUCCCCACCUCCGCCGUCCACCACUCCUUACUGCCCACCUCCUCCUUCCCCGCCGUCCUCCGGAUCAGGUGGGUACUACAGCUCCCCGCCGCCGCCUUCUUCCAGCUCAGGAUACUACCCGCCCCCAGCCAAGGGCAGCGGUGGAGGAGGCGACGGCAUCGGAGGGACGUACAACUACCCGCCGCCGACGUACCAGAACUACCCGGGCCCUCCUCCGCCGAACCCGAUAGUGCCUUACUUCCCUUUUUACUUCCACAGUCCUCCGCCGCCUGGCUCCUCUGCCUCUAGCCUGAAGAUUGGAUCCCGAUUCGGAAUCCACCACUGGUGUAGCUCAGUCGUUGCUGCGGUCGCUAUUCUGCUCUGCUUUUCUUGAUUGCGACAUCAAGAAAAUGAAAAAAAGGAAGUUGUAGCGGAUUGGUAGAUCUGUGGGGAGUUCAGAGGGAACAGAGACUUUCGAGGAGUGGGAUCUCCGGCCGGUGGAAGUUUCCGGUUUCUUUGAUCUGGUAAUCUGUUGAACGACCAAAAAGAUGUUGUACCAUUAGAAAAAAAGGAUUCUUACUUUCUAUUUUAUUUUGUAGCUCUCUCUGCUUUUGGUUUCUGCAAAUUUGUAUGUAUGAAGAACAUCAUGAAUUCAGAUGAAUCCCAGUAAUUACUAAUUAGCCCCUAAUUUUGACAAUAAAAUGCUCUUUGUUAUGAUGAAAUGUUGUCCCCCUGCAGCUUAAUUAUUUCCAGUUUAUGCAUUUCACUAACGACGGAUUUCUGAAAUCGACGGAAUUCGUGUCGGUGGGUUUACUGAAUUGAAUUGGCAUGCAUGUUAAUUAAUAAUCUGGGGAGUCUGAUCUGGAAGAAAAAUGUUGGAUUAUCUGAUCAAAUUUUAUUAUUUUAUAUAUUUAGCAUCGGAGGACACUGCAUAGCUGUUACAGGUAGAUGAACGCCGCCUGCCGGAUCUCUCUGACAGAAUGGGAAAGUAAAACGUGUUCAGUCAAUCUUAGUCGCCGGCCGAGCGCCGGUGAUUUGUUCUUUUAUUGGGUUGCACAUGGAGUGUGAAAGUGAAAGUGCGGGUGUGUGCAAUUCCCAUUUUCUACGCGGGUGCUGUCGUCUUAGUGAUUAAUCGUUAUUAUUAAUUCAUGUGGUCAAAGAAAGUAAUCAUCGAUUAAUGGGCAUAAUCAUUUACUUCUCCACCACCCUUAACUAAUCACCCUUUACUCAAUAGGGUUGCUAAAUUAGUUUCAGAGCACGAGUCUAUGUUUAUUGGUGCGGGUCAUAUGGAGAUAUCGAAUUUUAAUUUAUACAUGCUUCAUAAAUUCAUAGAUACUUAUGUAAUGUUUAUUUACUUUUAUUUUGUCGUAUUUCUAUCUCGAAAGGUAAUUGAAUUCAUUGAAUUGGUUUGAAAAUUCAAUUAUUGAUAUGUUUUUAUUAAAUAGUUUUGAAAGAGAAAUUUUCUCAAUUGUGUUUCAUCUUAUGUAUUUAGAUAAUAUAAUUUUUAUAAAGAGUUAUGAUUUCUCCAUAUUAAACGGUUGGUUUCAUUGUCUAUCGAAUAUAAAAACCAAACUCGUUUAUCUUUACAUCCUUCCACUGUCUGUCGUCAAACAAAUUUCCAAGUGUCCUAUACCUUCACGUACCUUCUAAAUUGUGAAUACUCCACGCCAAAUUGCUGAAAAUGUAGGAUUGAGAAAGAAGAUAAAUAGAGGAAAAUAUCUAAGUUUGGGAAAAGCAAAUAGGAAUGAAAGGUGAGAUGUGAUAAGGCCAUUGAAUAAUGGUGGUGGGGGACAAAUCGAUAAUUAAUCCCAAACCCAAGUUGGUGCGCUUCCCCAACUUCUCUCUACAAUUUCCAGUCUAUUGUGUUUGGGAAUGAGACAAACUUUACUCACACAUUAGCUGGAUCUCACAUUCUACCUUGUGCCCUAUGUUCUCAUUCUUCAUAUCCUCCCUCCCCAUAAUACCCCUCAUUUUCACAAACUAUAAAUAGUUCUCCAACUAUUCAUUUCGGUGUAAUGCAUCAAAUCCUAUCAAAAUUUGAGACUUAUGUACUAGUACAAUUGUCUUUUUUUUUUUUGCCGUAGUAAACCGAAAUUCUUUAUAAAUACAAGAUAGAAAACAAUAAAUAAUAUAUUUGUGUCCGUUUAUAUAUAGAGUAUGUUGAAUUCAAAUCCACUUUCAAAUGACCGAAACAAAUCCAUUAGAGGGUACCAUUGUUAUGAGACUAAAAAAGGAAUUAAGAUGUGGGAGCUAUUGGAUUUCAGAUGCUGAACCUCAGAGACUCUGGCUGUUGGUUUUACCAAGGAGUGGAUAUGAGUCCUAAAAUCAUCAAAAUAGGCGUAGCUACACCUGCAGGCCCACUUAGAAUCAUCCGGGGUCCAACAUAGCUCUACAACCACAGGCCCAAUUUUCAUUGUGGGCUUAUACUAAUCUACUAAUCAGCUUAUGGGUUUCUAUUACUAAUCAAUGCCCUUCACUUGUCACCAAAAAAAAUCAUUCAUUAUUUAUAACAGAUUUACCAAGAUCAACCCAUUUAAAGAAUUAAAGACAACAGUUUUAUAACAUAGUUCUCACUUUUUGGGUAGAUUUAUAAUUGAUUUGCGGUUUAUUUUUUUAUUUUUGUAAAGGGCUAUCUAAAAAAUAAAAAAAUUUAAACUAUUAAAAAAAAUCCUCUACGUCCAACCACAUACUCCGACCACUAAAUAGAUUUAAUUUUUAGGUAAUUUUUUAGUUACGUCCUAAUGGAUGGGGAAGUAAAAUGUGUCGACUUCCACUUCUACCCGAGAUGACUCGACAUGUGUACAACAGUGGAUCACAAUGGUUCAAGCACUCGAUCUAUAGUUGUAUAGAAUUCAAAAUAUAAUGAUAACAAAAUUUCAUAUAUAAAAAGUUCCAAGCUUGAAAGAAAACUAGAUUAUGGUUCAAGGAAACUCCUUAUAGAUCUAUCUCUUCAUGUGCCCCAUUUCGACAGAAAGACCCGAAAACUAAAAAAAGAUGAACCUAAAUGGAAAAUGGGUCUAUGUUUAGUUAUUGGGACGUAAUGGUUCAUAGUAUUAUAUUAGAGUUUUGACUGAUAAACAAUAUUGUUUCAAAUAUCGAUAACCUUCUAUCCGUUACACAAAACUUAUGUACGAAAACUGUAAAAAUUAAUCUCAAUCUCUUAUGAGAACCUUCACGGUAGUGUUAUGGGAAUCUAGAAUGUAGCAACGUCAGCUGGUAAAAGUACUGGUAUGGCUAACUAGGUCAAGACGAUGUUAAGGGAGGCAUGUGAGGAAAAGCACACGCAUGCAUGCUUCUUUUCCCAAAAUCCUAUCCACAACCCCAAAAGAGGUCAUCACACUUUCUAGUUGAUGUUCUUUUGGCAACAACCGAGACAUUCUGUUAAGUCAUGAACAACUUUAUCAAGGGAAUGGGAACGGUGUUAACAAACCCACCCUCAUUGUUGUCUGAUUGUCUUUUAAGUGUAUGUCAACCUAUGUAGUCGCUGAUUUACCGCAGAACCGCCGUUUCUUUAUCACCGGAUUUGUCAUGAUGGUCUUUUUCUUCCCAGUAUAAUGUUGGAACAUUGGUUUUGCGUCUUGUUUGGUUGCUACGUACUUUUGUUGCGUCGGAUACUUUAGUCGUUUUUAGUGUCUCGAGUUAGUUACUUUUAACGAGUUAGUUACUUUUAAUGAGAUGUAUGUUAGGAGAGUAAAGAACAUGACAGUCAGCUUCUGCUUAUACUUAUGGUGAUUGAUUUUUACCAAAUCCUUUAAUGAAUGAGUGAGUUUUGCUUUGUCAAAAAAAUUAUUUGUUUCAAUUGUUACUUGUUUUCAAGUAAACUACAAGUAGUUGAAUGGUUGUUUGGAUAACUUAUUAAUUUUAUCGGAUUAAUUAUGAAGAUCUGGACCCCAACUCAUGUGAAUGGAGAUUUCGGUGUAAAGUAGAACAUUUGUUCAAGAGAACUGGUUCUCAUAUUUCAUAGGACUAAUUACGCAAAUUCGAUCAAACAAUGAAAGUUUGCUUAUUAAAACCAUUUAGUUUGUUUUUGUCAGAUUGAUAAAAUUUUUAUCCUACUUCUUCACAUAAGAAAUCAUACUAAAAAAAUUAAAUUGAAAAAAUCAUAAUCUGAUUCACAAAUCAUUAACAAGACUAUGGAAACACUUCUAAACCAUGUCCAAAUUCAUUUUGAUUAGAAUUAUAAUAUUAUAGGUUUAUUCAUAGAUAUUUGUGAGUAUAUUUUCUAUGUAUUAACUCAUACAUUUCAAAUUCUAAGAAUCCCUUCCGAUAUCCUUAAACUUUGAAUUCAAAAUUUCAGAUCAUUCUCUUCGAAUAUCAACCAAGUAGAUAAGAUUACAAAAGUUGAACUACGUAUCAUGAAUGUUUGAAAACCACAAAUCAUUGAUUUAGGGUUAUCAGUUGACCCGAGCGAAGUGAGUGGUUGACAACAGAGCAACGAAAAGCAGAGAUAUCUAUCUAUCUAUCUAGCAUAGCAAAUAGCAAUGGCACAAAAAGGAACCCCGACAGCCAACAACUCAGAGAGACAUCACAAUCACGACAGUUGUUUGGGGCAAUCAAAUCAUUAGAAAAACCAAACAUUACAAAAUUUAAAUAAAACCCCAUUAUCCCAUCUCAUUUUUUCAAAAAAAUCAUUGAUCAGAAGAAUUUCCCCCUUUUUAAAAUCAUUGCUCAUCAUCUUCAAUUCCAACACCACCAUCCCCAACCACCACCUUUCAAUUUCAAACCCUAGACCCAAAUUACAGUUAGCCAUUGAUCUCUCCCCCCCCCCCCCCCAAUCCCUCAAAACUUUAGGAUUACAUAUUCCCCCUUAAAACAUUACAAACACAACGAAUUCACUCACUCACUACACUUAAAAUUGGUCAGCUAAUACAAAUUCAAAGCUACUCUCUUCUUUCUGGGCUUUAUUAUUUGGCACCCAAAUCCCUAAAAUUAAUUAGAAAACAAAACAAAUUCUAGGCAUAAACGGAUCCAUAAGAUAGAGCCAUCAAGAGAACCGCCGCUUGCUCUUCCUCACCCAGCUUCCUUCUCUGCUUCUCCACCGUCGAUCUCUGCAUCAUCACUUCCCUUCCCAACGCCAUCAAUCUCUGCUUCAACCCAUCUCGCAGCUUACUGUGGUUAUUUUUGCUACCGUCGUGAACUCCGCCGCCGCUGUUAAUGUGAUUGCUCACGGAUUUCUUCGCCUUCUUGUCGUUAGAGGAUGAUUUCGUUAAACCCAAUACAUCCCUUCUCUUCUUCCUGCUUCUGAUCCCACACGCGUUGCAAAGCGACUGUUUAAAAAAUAAUUAAAAAAUUCAUGAUCAGAUCGGAGAUCGGUCGGCUGAGAUCUAAUCAGGGGUAACGGGAAGACCGGACGGCUGAUAGAUCACCUUAGGUCCAGCUGGGCCGCCUCUCCAUAGAGGAGUUUUGCUGGUUCCGCAAUCGGCGCAUGUUUUCUUCUGUGGGCUCUCUCCUCCUUCCGGCGAGGAUUUACGGCUGACUUGAAGAACCUGAAGGGUAAAAGGGUCAAAUUUUUGUUAGUAAAUCGAAUCAAAAUAUACAGAUCAAGGAUUGCAUCAGGCUGCAAAAGAGACAGUAAGGUGGGAAACUCACCUUUUCACUCCGAUCGAGCAUUUUUUGUAGCUGUUGUACUCGAGAUCUGAUCGCGACCCAGGUGAGGAAUGGUGAUGAGAUGAACUGGGUAGUGGGCGAGCUCCUUGAUCGGAUACAGAAGUGGAGGUUGGGGUAAUGAAUGUGGAAGAUGAGAGAUCUGAGAAAUUUUGGAGGGAGAUGAUCAGAGUGAAGCUGAUCCGAUUCAGAUUUGGAGUGGGAAAUGGCGGGGAAUGGAUGAAUUGGAAAUGCGAUCAAAGGAGGAAGAGAGGAAAUGACGGGAAGAAGAUGCAAAGAUAGAUUUUGGAGAAGAGAGUGAAGAGAAUCCAACCGACAAACACACUACAGCAAGGCAGCAGCCGGGAUCCGAAAAUGCAGUUUAUAAAUGGGCAAGGCAAACCCGAGCCCGCCCUUGCAUUUCAAAUGACUAUAAUGCCCUUAUGUGUCGUACUUUUUUCAUCCAUACCAUCCCAUCCCGCCAAACCAAACUAACCAUUCCCACCUAUGGACACAAUUUGAAGGAUUUCAUUAUCAUUUUAUUAUAUAUUUGGAGAAAUAUAUCUAAUAGUAGAACUAUGAUGAAAGUGAAAUUUCAAGUUUAUAGAUCUAAUUCAUAUAAAAUUUUAUAUGGAUUAUAAUUUCGUAAAUUUUACAUAGAAUUUCAUCGCUCUUGGAUCAAGAAACUUUGGCUGAUGGCAUAAGUGGAGUCACCCAUAAUUUCGCCAUUGAAUACAUCCUCCUUACAGUUUUACGAUUCCCUCUCAACUUUUGGAUCGAGUCUUUUAUCAUACUCUUUUUUUUUACUGAUCAUCCAUUUCGAUUAUCAUACACUUCUCAAACCAUUUUUCUAUCUCCAUGUAUCUUGUAGCUAGUUUUCAAACUCUUCAUACCAAACGGACUCUCAAAUGUUUAAUAUUUGGAAUCCACCACUGGAUAAGUUUUAGUUACAAUUCUUCUUAUAAACUUUUUUCGAUUCUAGAUUUAUUCCAGAGUCCGGAGUUGGGAUGAGUAAAAUGGAACAUGAGAUUCUAAUAUUUGAAAACUUGAAUGUGAGAGUCUUUCAAAAGAGAGGAAAAAAUGGCGGGGAAUGAAGGAUCGGGGGGAAAAGAAAAGGCGCCAUUUCGGGUGAUAAGUUGUGAAAGAAACAGAUGAGGAAGGGAAAGGCGUUGGUGGAGGGAAAUGUUAACUUUUUUGGCGGGAGAGAUUAAGGUGUUUUUCCGCAAAAUGAAAAAAAAGGAGGGAAAGGGGAAAUUGUAGACUAUAGGGAAGGAGGGAGUGAAUAGGUACUACACUACACUAUUCUUCUCAUAACGGCAACUGAGGAAGACUCCACAACUCUCUCUUUGUCCCCCUCUCUUUCUUACUUACUUGGUUUUAUAUUACUAUUUUUGGGUUGAAAUUUUGAAUAGAGAAUUCAAGAUGGGCGUGUGAGGAUCACAAAGUCAAGGCACAAAAGUAUCGAACAUUGUUAACAACUAAAGGGGAUUGAGCGCGGUUGUAAAUUUUUCGAAUAUUGAAUUAGAUCACAGGCUUAUCAUGAUAGAGUGUUGUUUGUUAGUGUUUUUUAUAAAAAGUGUUGUUCUUUAUUAGUUAGGUUACGUACAAUUUUGAGUAAGGGAAUCGGGUUUGGUUUGCUCGUUAGUUGGGUUAGGUACAAAUUUUACGGAUUUGUGGAAGAAUGAUGUUUCGAAUUGUAUAUGAAUUAAGGUGGUCAAUGAGGCCAGUUAUAUAUGGGUCUAUUCUAGUGGGUUGUAGAUUGGUCAUCAAAUCGAAAGGAUUAGACGGAUCACAAAAUGACAUUCAAUUUGAUUUAUAGUCAGUCACAUGUUAGGUUUGGUUGAACUGUGUUGCACAAAGUGAUCAAGUUGAGUUAGGUCAUGAUAGUUGUACAAACUAUUCACUUUCCCUAUCAUCAUUUGGUUUGUUUUAAACGAAAAGGGAUAAUUUCAUUCAUCAUCACUUGAAACAAUAAUGGAGUAAUAAGUACAGCAACAAAGACCCUAUCUCAAGGAAGGGUGUGGUUACACAUAGACUGUACGAUCGAGUAUUGUGAAUUUAGUCAUGGUUUGCGGGAUGAAAGCGGAUGGGAUCGAUAUUCUCGUGUUACUUCAACAUUAGGUGAACUUGAUACAACAAUGCUUUAAUUUCCAAUGCUACAACCGAUGCAGGUGGUGUCUUUGGUCGCGACAUUGACCGAUUGGAGAGUUUUCGUUGAUGAACAAGUUAUAAGGCUCAGAUUUAUUGAUCAGUGAAAAUGGAUUCUGCUUUUUAAAACAACUUAUGCUCAGAUUUGCAGGCUGUAACUAUUAUAUCGGGAAUCAAUAUGAUCGGGACUUUUAAUCAAAAUUCCAAGCCUCACAGUCAAUUGAUUAUAAUUUCUACAUUAAAACUUUAAUUUCGUAAAAUUUUCAUGACAUUGCAUCGCUUUUAAGUCGGCAAACGUGGAUUAAUUGAGGCUCUUAAAUGACAAUUAUAUGAUAAUCUAGUCUUUGUGGUGCUUAAAUGCAUGCAACUGUGGCAGCAGAUUAUCCAAGUUGCUUUGCUACAACCACUUACUUGCCAAUAUCGAUUCUGAUAUAGUCUAAUUGAGUCAACAAUAAUCAUAAUAAAAUUGAUAUUCAAACUAACAACCACAUAUUUUGUAUUAAUCUGAUUUUAGUUUUAAAUUUAUUCCGUGAUAUGACAUGGCUUUAUAAAAAAUAAUCAUAGCUUUUAUCAUUAUAUCGAAAAAAUUGAAUAGAUGAAUCUAGCAAUAUAUAAGAUACGAUUUUCUUCCAUUAUGUAAUAUGAUGAGUUGUAUGUGCUAUAUAGGUAUUUAGUCCUUAGCGUAGCGGGCGAAUAUCUAUAACUUUUAUCUCAUCAUCUCCCCGUGAAUGUCCUCUCUCUUGAGAGGACUCCAAAAGCAAGAAAAUACGGACAAUAUCAUCGCUACAAUGUAUGAACAGACGCUUAAUUACUAGCAUAACUACGUUAUAUACAAUACAAAACUCGAGCCAAUCUCCAAGAUAACGUAGGAUUUAGGAAACGAGUCACUCACCUUGAAAAACAUUCUAGACGAUGGAAUCAAUAUAAUCCAUUCAUUUGAUUUGUUCUCCUAUAUCCUCUAGAAAAUACGUGACAUGGAAAAGGAAAGUGAUAGGUCCAGCCAGAUACCCCCAUCUCCCUAUUUUGGUUCUUGUGUCUCUGUAUACAUACACACCAGAGGACCACAUGUAUUUUAUUUCCAAGUUCACUCAUGACUUGCCCAUUUUGAAAUACUGAAUUUGAACUGGCGGGUGAAUGGAGCAGAGAGACAGCAGAUGAAGGAAAAUUAUUUGACAAGUGGGGGGAAAGCUUUUCAGUCACUGGGCAUCGGGCAAACCCCUCCGCUCUUAAAUGAUCUCCACUAAUAAUCACAACAUCAUUAAUGGCGUUUUAUGGCUCCCUUUUUGCCUUUACUGCCACUUCCAGUUAGUAGUAGUAAUCACGACGUUUGGAUGAAUUCCAAUACAAGAUAAAAAGAAUCGAACAUUGCCGCAACUUCCAUUCGUAAGGUGUAUUGGAUUCUAAUACGUUACCACUACACAACUCUAUCAUCAAAUUAUCUGCCUUUCAGUUUUUAGAAGUUCCCAACAGCAAUGUCAAUAAACCCGAUAUCAACAUGUACAAUCCGCUAAUGCAAUAAUACGGUAUCACGAACCAUGUGUGCUAUUUGUGAUCGUAUUCGGCCGGUACUUUAACCUACAACUAUAAGGGAUGUGUGCUCCAAUUGACGUGUGAUCCAAUGAAAUCCGAAGUCGAUUCUUCUAAGUAUUACAUAGAUGCGAAUAGCAAGGUCAUUUAGAGGUGGGUACAAAAGGUUUAUGUGAAGCUGUCAAUCCAUUAAGACUGUUUCAUACCUAUAAUUAAAAAAACAAUUAAAACACAAGCUGUAAGUAGCGAGGUAGGGAAGCUGGCACAUGACAUCUCUGAUUCGAGUUUUCAAGUCAAAAUAAUUUCGCAGAUCUUGUCCUAUGUUCUUCCUAUUAUUCUGCUAGAUUCCAUGCGCCCCCCUGCUUGGUUUGACUGCCGCACUUCAUUCAUUGACUUAACAAAAACCGUUUUCCUCGUGUGUGGUUUUAGUUAGUUAGUGUCCAAGAUCAAGCAUGUUUGUGGCUAAAAAGUAACGAAUUCGAAUCCAAUCGGACGAAACCUUUGUACCCUUGGUAAGGUGGAAGAAAUCUAAGUGUUGAAGACAUUAAAAAAAAAUACAGCCAGUUCCAUUUCUCCCAUAAAAUAACUGACUGGCUGACCAUCACAAUGCCACUAGAAUGAAAUACUCUCUGUAUGCGAGUUUUUAAGUUUUUUCAAGACACGGACGAACUUCAAACAGAAACUUCAUACAACGCAACCAGUUGUCGGAACUCUCUGUUUCGUUCUACGGGGUUUGACACCGAAGGAUCCUUCGCUUAUAUCUGGGGCGACACUUCUAGUGACUUGUGGAAACUUUUUACUCUAAAAGACCCGACCGAGAGAGGCACCUCCACGACGACCGACCAUAUGAGGACACUAGACCGACCAGACUCCGAAAAAAUUAAGGACUCUUCAACCUCACAUUUCUUAACCACCAUCUGAAUUUUUUCCAUCACACCCCUGCAAGUUUGUUGUAAAAUUAGACCGAUUUAACCGAGAUUCAUAGAUCAAUCAUUUGCAUGUGCAUUAAAGUUGGUAGAAACGUACCUUCAACCGAAGUUGAAGCCACCGGAAGGAACAGGGUGGUCAUUCCCACCAAACUAGAAACCUUGUUGCUGGUUACCGUCACCGGGAGGUAAUGUCUCGUCUUCUUCCUCAAGCCAAUACGUCUCCAAAAUCUUGACUGCCUUCUCGUAAAUCUCAUUGUUAUCAUGGCUCUGCAGAUUCUCUAUCUUCUCAAGUCCUUCAGCAUCAUCGAUCAUCUGGGCAAACACAUUGACUUCACUGUUUCCUGCGUUCUUCUCUGCUUCUCCAACCUUCAAGAUAUUCUCUAGCCCUUCAAGGCAUACUGUGACGAUUCUUGGAUCGGGGCAGACAAGGAGAUCACACAACGGUUUUAUGCAUCCGUGGCUCACCAGAUACCUAUCAAGCCGAAGAAUUGAAUCCAUGCAGGUUGAAUGUUAUAAUCAAGUGAGUGAAACAUCAACGUGAACAAACUUAUAUUAUAUGCAGUACAUACUUGAUUUGUUCCUGGCUACCACCAGAAGUAGCAUUAGAGAGAGCCCAAGCAGCUUCUUUCUUGAUAUCAAACUCAGCAUUUUGAAGUAAGUUAACUAGAGGUCCAAUGAGACCUGCCUCAAUGACAGCCUGUUUCACGAUAAUCCAAACUACAGUCGGUAAUCUAUUCCGAACAAACAAUGAGAAGAAAAAUACUUUUAGGGUAAUUAUGCAUUCUCAGCAACAAAUAUUUACCUGAAUCUGUUCCUUGUUUCCUGCUGUAAUGUUUGAGAUGGUCCAGCAAGCUUCUUUCUUAAUGCUCUUCUUAAAGUUUUGGUUCAAUAGGUUGAGAAGGCAAGGAAGUGCAUUAUGGCCAAUUAUACACUGUAAAUGAGAAAAGUGUACAUGUCAUUUUUCAGGAAACAUAUAGAAUGACAAAUAGGAUACUGAAUACAUGAAGAACGCAAAUGCUAUUUCGAUACAAUAAGAGAGACAAAGGUUUAUCCACUAGCAGUAACUUUUAGAUAAACGGAGCAAGUUUUCAUUAUCAUGCAACAAUAUUGCAUUUUAUUAUCCAUCGCAAGUUGCCCGCUAAUAGACAGCCAACACUGCAGGUGUGCACUUUUGAUAGAAAAUUAUGAUUGACAGAAACUAAGUAACCAUAGGAAGUGUUCCAUUGAGCAGCUACACAAUCAUAAAAAAACAUCUUCAAUCGUGCCCAAUUAAAUACCUGAGUUUGCGAAUCAUCCCCUGUUACAAUGUUUCCAAUAGUACGAAGGGCAGGCACAAGCACUGAUGGAGAUGGAUGGCUACAAGGUUAAAGUAAACCAAACUAUAAGUUGAUAUCAGACAGAUGUAAAAAGUUAGACAAGUACUUGAUAAUUACAAACUUACAGGAGAAGUUGAACAAGUUUACUGCAGACACCAGCGUCAAUCACAGCUUGGAUUUUAUCAUUUGUGCCAUCAGAAAGAUAGGAUAGCGCCCAGCAUGCAUCCGUCAGGACUUCCUCAUCAGAUGAGCACACAAGAUGUGCAAGUGCAGGAAGUGCUGGCCUCACCUGCCAGACAAAAAUGAUGAAUAAAGGAACUUCCAAGACAUUCUAACAAAACCUAGGCCUAGGCGCUGCCUUGGGAGAAAAAGGCUAACCUGGUCAAAAGGAGGUUGAGGCUUGCCCCUACAGAAGUUUGAUAAUGUCCAAGUGGCAUUCCUCAACAUUGAAAGCUUAGCAUGUUCAUUCAAUUGCGCCAGAAGCGGAAUCAGUGCUCCACGACUCAGAACAAGGUCACGGCAUUUUGGGGAAUCACCAGCAACAUUACCCAAAGCCCACACGGCCUAUAGUUCCACAAACGAAAAUCUUUUAAGUUCUGAUUAUUAAUUAAACUUAGCAAUCAUCAGGAACUAAAACAAGAAGGGUGGAAAGAAUUAUAUACCUGCUCUCGUACAUCGUCACUGGAAGACCCUAGAAGCUUAACAAAUAUUGGAACAGCAUCAUGAUCAAUCACAACUUUGGUAUUCUCAGAGGUACCAGACGCAAUAUUGGUGAGAGCCCAAGCAGCUUCGAACUAUGACACAAGUUAAUUAUUACCAAAUGAACAAUCAGUACCUAGAUAAAACGCAGUGUUAAUUAUAUAAUUAAUUCAGCUACAUACCUGAAGCUGAGGGAAAUCCUCCCUGACGAGAAACUCCACAAAGCGAGGAACGACACCAGACUGAAUAACCUCCUCGAUUGGAGGACUUCUUUCUGGAAUCAUCAAUUUCAAAUAUCAGACAUCAGGAGCAAUAGAAAAAUCAGAAGUUGUCGAAAAAUGAAAUUGAAAAAACUACGUCAAGAUUACCAAUUGAGAGAAGCUUUCGGAAUUGAGUUGUGGCUUCAAGCUGGAGAUUACCAUCAUCAGACCAAAUGCUAGAAACCAGAGCAGGCAAGCUUUCCAACUGCAGAUAUCGCAAUAAAAUUGCAUGUCAGAAACAAACUAUACUAGCAACGUCAUGAUCUCUACUAACCCUAACCCUAAGUCCAAGAACACUAAAAAGAACCGCGGAUCGCAGAGCAUACUCUCCUAGAGAACACAAACACAAAUCAAAGUACACACACGCAGCAACACCAUACCUUUUUCUCCAUAGCACCAGGGAGAGCUGAUGCCGAGAGCUGAUGCGCUUGAAGUCCUUCCCGGCGCUUCUUCAUCAAGUUCUCCUCGCGCUUGUUCUUCCGGAUCUCCACCAUAUUAUCCUCUCUCCUCCGCCGACCUUCAUCAGCGUCGACGGCGACCUUGUACCUGUUCCGACGAAUGUCGGUCCUGGCGUUUGGCCUCAGAGACAUAGUUACUUGAAGAGUUCUAGACACUCAACGAGACAGCCUAGAGCGGAACGAGAGAAAAAUCGAAGAAACGAUCAAGUCGGGGAGCGUUCAGAAACCGUAGAAGCAGGAAAAAAAGCCUUGAAGGUCGAUUGAUUAAAGCUUGAGAGCGACGGAAGAGAAGCGAGUCCGCCGCAGACUGAAACUAGAGACGGGGGAGAGAAUAGGAGCGAGAGAGCGGCUUUUUAUUUCAGCUGAUUUCAAAAAUACAAAUUCGAAUUUAUCCAAAAAGAAACAUUAUUGAAUAAUUGUAUACCUAAUUUGUAUUAAAUUAACAGAUUUAUUUUUUUUGUGUUUAAAUAUUAUGGAGUUCGAUCUGGCAAUUAUUACGUGCCAUUAGAUUAUUACGUGGCAUUAAUAAUUUACGAACGAAGAGCUUUUAGAAGUUAGAAUAAUUAGGGUUUUUGUUUACGGUUAACAGCUGGUACCAGGGAGGAUUUGGAUUUGGUUCUAGGGUUGGGUUUUGUGUGUGGUAUUAUUGGAUUGGGCCCAUUAAGUUUAAAUUGGCUUCUUCCUGGACUUUUGACCCAAUCUUCAGUCGGUCGAAGUAUAUUCCAAGAGGAUUAGGAUCCGACCGACCGUUUCCUUUUCCUGUAUGCCACAUAAAAAAAUUUCAUAUUUUAAUAAUAAUGAUGAAAUAAACUCACUUGACAGUUAAAGUUGUUUAACAUUUUUUCUCAUUCAAAUAGCUUCAUAAAAAGAGAUCAAGAUAGAAAACAGUAAAAUUUAAAUAUAUUAUUAUAUUUUAAAAUAAAAUUUUAUAAUUUCAGAGAGUAGCAACCUAAGUAAUAAUGCUUGAACUUCAUAUUGCUCAUUUUUUUUAUUAGGAGAAUGAGUACUGAUAAUACCUCUGAUAGAUAUUCAAAAUCGUAAAUAAUAAAAAAAGGCUCCAUUAUCAAGAGGCGAGCAAUAUAAAGUUUAAACAUUAUCGCUUAGGUUGCUAUUUUCAGAAGUUGUAGGAUCUCAUUCUAAAACACAAUGAAGCACUAAAUAUUGAGAGACACGAACAUCAAACAAAAAGACACACUGAAACCAAGCAUAAAGCAUUGAGCCUUCUUUCAAAAUAUUUAAAAAAUUGAUUGAUCUCAACACUAUUUUCGAGUUGCGAAUCCAAAACAAUUAAGUACUGGCUGAAUUAUAUAGCAUUUAAAUUGUGAAAAUUAUUCAUUUAUCUCUAAAUAUAAAGCACUGAUCCUUCUUUAUAAUAUUAAAAAGAUAAUUGAUCUUACCACCAUUUUCAAGUGACAAAUCCAAAACAGUUGAAUAUAUUGGGACAAAUUGUAUAACAAUUGAAUUGUAAAAAAAUAUUCAUUCAUCUCUAAAUAUACAGAAAAAAUAUAUAAUAUCACAAUAAACUCGAAGAUAAACUGAACCACAAUCUCAAAAAGACUUACCUAGAUCCGCCAAUGUUGCAUAGCACUCUCAUAAUGUAUCAUUUUGUGGGUUUAGACUAUCAAGUCAGUAUCGAUGGGUCACUAAUCCAUCAAUCAUCGUUUGCACACAAAUACGACAGUUUACAUGUAACUUGUCACACGUCUACAAAGGAAUCGUUAUUAAGUUCAAAAAGGGGAAAAUAAGGUGCCUUUCACCAAAAGGGAAAAAAAUGAUUGGAUUUACAGAUUAUAUGCAUUCUCCGUAUGAUAACGUAUGUACUUCCUCCUCCAGUAGUAGUGACCCAUUGUCAACCUUUAAGCUUUUGGCUCAAUAGGGCUGAUAAAUUUAUUCCCUCAUCUCCUUAAAGACCUCAUUUACAAGAACCCCAUUUGCUUGAUCAAACCAGGCGGCAAAGCGAUCGAAAGACGAUCAGCCUGGCUCUCCCAACGAACAGGGUCUUCCCUCUCCGCCGCCACGACGAUGUGAUCACGCCGCGGUGUUCUCGGCGGAGAAGCGUGGAGGACAGACACUUCAAGUAUCUGCCGCCGCACGUUUUCUUGAUCUUGUGAUAUUCUCUGCGCCCGAAAUGCAGUUAGGUAUAACCCGCCGGCAAGCAAUACGGUGAGGAGGGAAAACACUCCGGCAGCAGCGAAUACUCCUUCUCUGAUCACCAGGCAACUCUGCUUUGGUGUUCCCCAACUCUUCAGGUGUCCCGAUUCCACGCUCAGUCCUAUCAACAGCAGGAUUUCCGCCACCGCAAAGCUCACCCUGCAAAUUGAAUCAAAGGAUUAUAUUGAAUUAUAGUACCAAAUCAAAGGAACGGUAACGGUAAAGGUUUCGAAUUGCGGUACCAAGUAGUGAGGAAAAAGGCUCCAGCUCGCCAAGUGACAUCCUUGGAAGGGGCAUAGUUAGGGUCCCAAGCGAUGAGAACAGCAGGGGGAGCUUUGCUAACUGCGAUCAAUAGAUAAGUAUGUUCAGUCACCAUAGCCACAGCUAAUCCGAUAAAUGCGAUUGCUCCACACAGCAAUGGAGUUUCUCCACUGCCACUGUACACGCAUUGACGAUUCUCCCCCCACGUAGCCUGCCAAAAAAACACCCACCACCCAAAGAUUGAUUAUUUAUGGUGGUGGUGACCACCACCUCUUCUAAUUUGUCCCAAGUGAAUUUUUUUUCUUACCUGUGAACGAGAGGCUUCAGCUAUGAGGCAGAGAGAGAAGCAGAAGAUACCAGAGAGAAUUGUAAGGAGCAUAACUGAGACUGCUGUUGUGCUGCCCAAAUCAGAGUUUCCAGGACCUGGUGCGAGAUCGUCAUGGGUGACUGCUCUUCCUUGUGCCAUGGUUGGAGUUUGAGAGAACAGAGAACAACCAAUUUUUUAAUCUAAAGCUCCAUAAGAAGAAGAUGAAUAAGACGAAUUUUGAAGAUAGAUGCAAAACCCAUUGAUGGGGAGAAGGGAUCGGGCGGCUGGAGGGGGGAUACUGUAGAAUUACUUGGACGAAAGGUUUGCUUCAGAGUUUCAAAAGAUUCCUUUCUCUCUCAGGAGGAGCAGGGAACAGCCGACUGUAGGAGCAAAGUAUUUCAAACUAGACUAGAAGUUAUGUGGUUGCCGAUUAAUGAAGAAGAAAGAAGAUGACAUUAAUAGCAUAAGGAACUAGGCACCUGGUACUGCCUGACACGUGUGACUUACCUACUUUUUAGUCAUCUCGCUUCGUACUUUGGCUUAAAGGUUCGUUUUUAUCAGUUAUUCUCUAAUUAUCUCUGCUAAAGAACACUUUGCUUUCUUUCGGUACAUAAAUCCUAGCCUAAAUUUUACUUGUUACCUAUAAUAGGCCAACAUCUGAUUUGAAGAAUAGAUGCUUAGAUGCUUGAUCCUCAAUUGUUUUCUAUUAUUCUUUGGUGAUUUUUAGAUGCUUGAUUCUCAAAAAUCUUAAUCACUAAUCUAAGGCUGAGAAACCACUCCCAAUUUUGAUUCAGGUUGGUUCUUGACUGAGCGAAAUCAAAUUCGUUAUCAGACACUGACUGUUCUUUUUGUACUGCUAUAACAAUGAACCAAAGUAGCACCAGCAGUGGGCGGCUAUCUAAUUGGCCACUAUGUUGGACGGCUAUUAUAUUCUAUUGACGCAGUGACGGAUAGAAUAGAAUGUGGUUCUGAUGCUAUCCUAUAGUAGAAAAUUUUAAGCAUUUCUAAAUCUCCCUGCACUCUGACGUAUGUGUAUACAAUAAUCUUCAAGUUAAUGAACAGUUAUGAAACUCAAAAACGAAAAGAGGGUAACACAGAUAUUGUAGUAUCUUCAGAAGUAUAAAAUCUAGGUGCAUAGACAUAUCUGAUAAAGGGUUGACCUAUGCAUGUAUGCUUGUAAACUGUAAGCAUACUUGUCUUUUCUACUUUGUGCCAUGUGCAAAAUCUAUAAAACCACGAUUGUGCCUACUCAUAUUCCACCAAUGAAUUUAUGUUUCUGUCUUUCAUACAUGGAGUCCUUCAUUGCUAUGCGAAAAUCGUAUAAAUCCACGAAAGAAAAAGGUUUUAAUCGGCAUCUGAGAACCCCCUUAAGCCACCUAAGAAUGAUAUAUCCUUUGCUGCAUCUUUUGAUUGCUUAACACACAAGAUAAGGAUACUUAUUCCAUCAGUAAGAAUUUGCACAAGUUUGAUUCUUUUAUGCACCCGGAUCAGUAAAGCUUUCUAUCUAAAACCGACCUCAACAUAUCCCUUCGGUACCUAUCGUGUCGUUUUCAGAACAAACCAUUUUCAUUAUUCUAUAGAUCAUAGGAGAGUGACGAGUACCUUCUUCAUCGCUGAAUCCUGAUAAACUCUGUCCAGCAUUUCAGGGCUGCAGCGGAUAUGUCUUCGGACAAGGGCAAUGUUGAGGAGCUGGAGGAGCCCUGCACCAGCAACAAACACGCAAGUCUUGCUGACAGAAAACCUAAUGCACAAGGCACAGGGAAUUCUGGUUUAGAGAGAGCGCUUGCACAUAGAGCACUCUUUUGGUCACACAAUGGCAGGGUGAAGGGGAGAAAAUCUGUGAACAACAUUGCCAGAAUGUUGCCAAGCAGGCUAAGCAAGGUAUCCUUGGCAGAUGAUCCAGCUGACUAAUAAGUUAAACUGGCAAACAUAUGGAAAUUUAAACUUAUAUGUCACUGCUAUAUAUAGAGAGAGGAAUAUGUAAUGUGAUGUAUCUAUAUGAAAACAUUCACUGCCUGUAAGAUCUUAAACAUGUGGUCUUACUGUAGAAUGUAGAUCAGUAGAUGAGAUGCUAAGCUAUCUUAUUCUAACGGCCAAUAUAUUACACAAUCAGCUCCAAUUAUACGGCAAAGGGAACAAUAACAUCAGAAGGGUAAUUUAGAGAUUUUGAAGACAAUCACACAAGGAGAAGUCUAUGAAAUUUGAUAUGAUAAUGAGAUGCGAAACUUACUGCAGCUACAGCUCCUUUGCUCUAGCAAGGAGAAUAAAUCACUUUGCAUACCCACAUUUAUCUACAAUGUCUCUAAUCCGUCAAACUUCAAAGAUGUCGAUUGUGUAAGAACAUCAGGAUCUGUACAGCCUGAUGUUCUUGCUCCAUAACCCGCAUCUCUGGCUUGGUUCCAGCUCAGUAAUUACCAAUUAGCAGCAGGCAAGAUUGACAGCUAAAGAAGCGCAGAGAUUUACAGUUCCGCUGACUGUCAUCCGACGAUAAACCGCCGCGGUGACAUCUGGUGUGAAAUCCCUUCCGGUGCCCAGGCAAAUCAUCUCUUUAUCCAAACGCCAAAGUCCACGGGCGAGGCCGAUUUGACCUCUUCUAUGGGCUCCGUUGAGGUUUGUUAAAAUGGGCUUUCCAAGUAAAGGCUGAAUGGUUUGGCCCAUUUGACUUGUCAUUUCUUCUUUAAAUUCUUUUUCUUCUUUUACUUUUGGAUGAAUGAAGAAAAGCAAAAUGUUUUAUCUCUUCAGAUGAGUAGUAAACUUUAUCAUAAAAAAUAAAAGCAUAAUGAGCCACACAAAAAUGGUAGUAUAAUAUUUUUUGGAAAUUAUACAAUAUUUAAUAAAAAAUGGUAUUAUAAUUAUUAUCCCAGUUAUUAUAUAUAAUAUAAUUAAUUUUUUUUUGCUUUGUGCGUUUUAAUUUUACAAUACACUAUGUUGUAGUAAUAACUAAUCAAACUAUAUUUAGUAUAAAAAAUGAAAGUUUUCUCACUUGAUCAUUUGUACUUCACUUUAUCAAACAUGACAAAGUUCUUAAAUUAUCUUUUAAAUCUGUCACUCAUAUAUGAUCUUACAAUUGGAUAGAAAAUAAGAUUUCUUACCGGUAUAUAUUAUUUUGAUGUUCAACCACCAUAAAUAAAUCUGAUAAUAAACCAUUCUAACACCAAUAAUAACUUACACAAAUUUUCACCCCAAAAAAAUUGAAAGAACAUUCCCUUUAUUUUUAGCCCCUCCAAAUCAGAAACCCAUACAUUAAAAGCAAAUUUCAAAAUCAACGUAAAAACCUCAGGCUAAAAGGGUUAGAAAUUCCCCUCUAAAAUUCUUUCUUUCAUUUCCCUUCUUCUUCCCGCCCUCAAAUUCAAUAAAAAAAGAUGAAGGCGGCGAAAGAAACCAUGAGGGAGAUGGAAGAGUUCAGGAAGGCCAACGAUCAAAUGUACAACAACGUUGGCGAAUGGAAGUACGAGCCCAGCUCGGCGCCCGGCGACAAGCAUGUUUUCUCCCGAAACGUGGCCGUACAAGCUCCGGCGACGAGGUCCAAUAAGAUGAUAGUGGUGGCGUCCACGAUGCCUCCGUCGACAGUGGCCGUGACGGCUCCGAGGAUGGCCAAUAGCCACAAGGCGAGGGCCCAGAGGAGCGAGGGCGAAUCGAAGAGGCAGAGGAGGGUGGUGAAAUACAAAUCGUAUGCCGUUGAAAGUAGGAUGAGGGCUUCCGUUAACAGCGGCCUACGAUGGUUCAAGAACCUUGUAUGAUUAUAAUUACGGCGAUGAGCUAAUCCUUAUAUUUCAUAUUAAACUAUUAUGGAUAUACCGCUCAUGAUAGAUAUAUAUACAUAUGGUUUUUACCCAUAAAGGGUUUGUGUAAUAUUUGCUAGACGAAAACGGCUAGCUAGGAGUUAAAUAGUCGGCAAACUAAUUCAUGUAAAUAUUUACUUCGAAUGUUGGAUGUUAAUAUGUGUAUAUAUUGAAUAUUUCGAAAUAAAGAAUUGGAAAAUUAUGUUCCUUAUUCUGACUUGUGUUGGGUGUUCGGGUAUCCAUUAUAUUCCGAUUGUGGUUGGUUUUUACUUCAUAUCCUCUUCCAAACUUACAACCCUAAAAAUGAGCAUGUGCAUUGAAAUUGAAAACAGAGAUGUUUGGCGGUAAGAACAUAAAUAUCCCAAUUACAUCAAACAAGUUUCUGUGAAUGAAAAUUAUAGUUGAGAUCUAACUAGACAAUCGUUGAAGUUAGUUGAGAUGCAAAUAAAACUUAUUUGGUGUCAUUGAAAUAUGUUUUCACACUGAGAAUAAAAAUAUAAUUUGGCAUACAUACCUUAAAAAAAAGAUGUAUGUAAUACAAAUACGACAUAGUUUUUACACUUUUUUUCUCCGAUCAUUCAAAUGCGUCUUGACACAUUUUACAAGUCGAGAGAUAAUAUAUACAUUGCCGCAAUUGGUCAUAUACUAAAUAUAAAUAGACAUUAAGUUUGAUAGGAUAUUGCGUAUCAACUUAAUCAGGCGAUGUAGCUAAAAUGAUACAAAAUCGUAACUAUAUAUGGUGACAAGCGCAUAUGCAGUAAUCUAAAAGCCGUACCAUAUAUCAAAUCGGCAGAGCUAACUACAUAAAAUAUUACAAUGUUCAAACCAAUUAUUGUUAAAAUAUAAACUCGUAAGUAUAUAUGUAUGCUAUGAAAAAUAACCACUUGUUAACCGAUGUACGAGUGUGUCAAUCGAUAUUAAACCAUAUUUCAAUCAAUAUGUACAAUGGCCAUACUGAAAGUUGACAUGACAUGACAUUAGCAAUGUACUAUAAUAAGGGCAAUGUAAACCUUGACUAUGGACCAAAGGCAUUCAAUAAGAUUAACUCAUUAAUGUUGAUAUACGUACACAAGCAAGCUAGCUUUAUAUUUAGUUCAGAGGACCCAAAUUAAAGGCACACUAGCUAGUUGAAGACAUGGGACCUCGAGGUAGCAAACAUCUCUGUUUUUCUGCUGCCUACAGCCAAACAUAACUUCCUUAGAUCGAGUAGCAAAGAUAAAAGAAACAAGACAUUCACCAUCAUUUCUCUCUUCUUUAUGGCAAAGUUUUCUUAUAGUCAAUGUAAAGUUAUUUUUUGAGUUAUAUAUGUUCAUGUUUUAAAAGUAUUAAAUUCAAAUUCAAUAUAAUUUUUAUUUUCUUUUUUAUUUUAUACUGAUCGUAAAACCUAUUCAAAAUAAAAGUAAUGAAGUGUAGAUUCGGCCUAAAAAGUUCAAUCAAUUUUUAAAAGUGCAAAGGACAAAAUAAAACGCAAGUAGUGAUCACAAACGCCAUUAACACGAGUAGGUAUUAGCAUCAUUGUAAUGCUCGUAAGUCGUAUCGUACCGCCUUGAUCUUUAUAAAUAAUUGUUUAAACGAAAUUUAAGAUUGGACCGGACCAUCCGGUUUUAGGAACAAAAAAAAACAAAAUCUCCAUCUGUGUGGGCCGGGUCCGGACUUUACGACACUUGAUGGGGAAGAUGGAUCCAAUUCAGGAGGGGUAAAACGGUAAUCUGCGACCACGGACGGAUCUGGAUAUCUGGGAUAGCCUUUUUAAGUUGCAAUUUGUCGUCUCGUCUCGUUAACCGGGUUCUGGAUUCCGGGGCCCGCCCGUCCGUUUCCUUUUAAUUUGGUUUUCCUGGAUUUGGACUUUUCGAGACAUCCGCUCCUCAAAGUCUUUUUUUUUUUUUGCUUACAGCACCUUCUAAUUUUCCUUUUUUCCACACAACCAACGGUCACUAUUCGAUCUACGACUCAGAAGCCGCCACCUGGAUCCUCUCUUCCGUUCGCCGCAUGUGACUUUAUCACUUAUCGCACACAGCCGGAGAGAGAAAUAAAAUUAAUUAAGAAAAAAACCACUACGGUCGGGAAUUCGAAAUUUGUUCGUGUCUGGCAAAGAGACGUUAUAGCUUUUUGAACUUCACUCCACUCCACUCCACCGGAUUAAAGAACAAACCAUAAUACCUUAUUUUUAAACAUUUAUAUCCGUUCAACAAUCAAAGAUUAUAUUACAUUAAAAUGAAUGAUAUCCUCAAAGCUUAAAUAGUAGUAAUUGGGAUGAAUAUUGUUAAAAUAAUAAGUAUAUUAAGUUUUUUAUUACCGUUGAAAUUUUAUGGUUAUGCGACAAAACAAAUUUAAUUAUAUGUUAGUCGGGUAUAGCUAAUUCGAUUGAAACACUUUUAAUUUGUUUGAAACACUUUUAGGCCUCGUUUGGUACACGAUAAUAUUUGAGAUAUCGCGAUAUUAGAUGAGAUUGAUAUUCGGUGAAAAUAAGUAUGAAAUUAGCUGAUCAACCAACCAUGUUCCAUGCUUGUUUUAUAUUAGUUAAGAUAUUAAUAGUCUUCUACACUGUUGUGUGACGGUCUAUUAAUUCGAGCUAUCUCGUUCGUAGAAGAAUACCCUUCUAAAUUGGAGGAUGUUGUUUAUAUGAUCGUCAUUGAUAAGAUUAUGAGCCAUAUUAAAACACAAUAUGUAAUUCAAAAUGUCACUAGUUUUAAUCAAUAUUGUAUAAUAAUUUUAAAUAAGUAUGUACUUUCCAAUUUUCAUUGAAUGUGAUGAUAAAAUUAGAAAUAAUGUUUGUAAAAAAAAAAAGAAAAAAGGAAAAGAAGAGUGGGGAGAAGGAGGAGGGUAUUCAUGGCGUUUGGGUCCAUUUAAUGCAUUUGAACUAUUUGGACAGUUGGGAAAGAAAGACAGGACCUUUCUUCUUCUUCUUCUUUCUUGUUCUUUCAUAAAACCUCCGGAACGUCUCUUUAAAUGCUGCUUGGGUCUCAGAGGCCACAGUAAGAAAGACAAAAGCAUUGAUUCAAAACCCUUCAGCAGCAUUUACAGAAACAGAGUUCUUGAGAAGAGGAGACGACGACAGAUCAAGUGAACUUAGCUUGCUGGAGAAAGGAAGGUUUUCUCGAGGUCGAUCUGACCUUAUUCUAAUGUGGCAAAUCUGGGAAUCAAUGUGGGUAUUCCAAUCUUGAUCUUGCUCUCACCACUUUAUUUAUGGCCUCUGUUCAUCCCGAAAUUGAAUGUUUCUCAUAAAAGUAGCUGCUUUCAGCUUUGAUUGUCUGUCUCCUGCUUUCAUUUCGGUUGGGUGUCUAGAAAGUAGAAACAGCUGUGGAAUCUUUGAGAAUUAUACUGAGCUGUAGGUCUGCAGAGAAAUCAAGAAAUGUUUAGGGUUUUCAACUGUUAAUAUGGUUGUGCUACAUUAGGAUUGAGAUAAAAGGAUAACAAUGUAGCUUGGAAAAUUGCAGGGUUGAGGGAUUCAGUCAUCUUCUUGAGUAAGGGGAAANNNNNNNNNNNNNNNNNNNNNNNNNNNNNNNNNNNNNNNNNNNNNNNNNNNNNNNNNNNNNNNNNNNNNNNNNNNNNNNNNNNNNNNNNNNNNNNNNNNNNNNNNNNNNNNNNNNNNNNNNNNNNNNNNNNNNNNNNNNNNNNNNNNNNNNNNNNNNNNNNNNNNNNNNNNNNNNNNNNNNNNNNNNNNNNNNNNNNNNNNNNNNNNNNNNNNNNNNNNNNNNNNNNNNNNNNNNNNNNNNNNNNNNNNNNNNNNNNNNNNNNNNNNNNNNNNNNNNNNNNNNNNNNNNNNNNNNNNNNNNNNNNNNNNNNNNNNNNNNNNNNNNNNNNNNNNNNNNNNNNNNNNNNNNNNNNNNNNNNNNNNNNNNNNNNNNNNNNNNNNNNNNNNNNNNNNNNNNNNNNNNNNNNNNNNNNNNNNNNNNNNNNNNNCAUGCAUUCAGGUGAUCUGAAGCUGAUGGAGUCAUCUAGGCCUAGAAAGGCGGUAAGCAGACCGAUCGAGAAGUUCCAGACUGAGAUGCUGCCUCCGAAAUCGGCCAAGUCAAUCCCCAUCACACAUCAUAAACUUCUAUCGCCUAUAAAGAGAGCCAAUUUCGUCUCGAGUAAUACUGCUGCUCACAUAAUGGAAGAAGCUGCAAAGAUCAUCAUCGAGCCUAGUCCUGCAAAGCCAAAGAUGACCGGUGUUGGAUCUUCUUCAUCAGCACCACCCUUGAAAGUUCGUAACUUGAAAUCGAGACUCGAGGCUACUCAGAGAACGCCUAUAUCCGGCUCAUCUGCACUGAGAGCCACCCGCGAUAUGAAGGAGAAACUCGAACCUGCUCCGAGAACUUCCAGGACUGCAGAAUCAUUUCGAAAACCUGCCGAGUCAAACGCUGCUAAGUGCCUUAAGGGGCAACCUUUGAACAAAAGCUGGAACGGACCGGCUGAUUCAGCAUCUUCGAGAGUUUCUCAUGAACCUGGGGAAGGAUCAUCUUCUUCUUCCGGUCAAAAGAGCAAGGGAAAGUCUGUCUCACUGGCUGUUCAAGCAAAGGUAAAUGUACAGAGAAGAGAAGGGCUGAAUCCGAAUGGGGGUCGAGAUCUUGUACAGCAAUUGAGAGAACAAAGUGAAGAUGUGACAAGCCAACCAUUCAGGAGCGAAACGAAUUUCCAGAAGAGUUCUUCAGCUAAUAAGAGGCAAUCGUCGUCUCCAAGUGCUUAUGGAGUUCUUAGACAGAACAGCAAGAAACNNNNNNNNNNNNNNNNNNNNNNNNNNNNNNNNNNNNNNNNNNNNNNNNNNNNNNNNNNNNNNNNNNNNNNNNNNNNNNNNNNNNNNNNNNNNNNNNNNNNNNNNNNNNNNNNNNNNNNNNNNNNNNNNNNNNNNNNNNNNNNNNNNNNNNNNNNNNNNNNNNNNNNNNNNNNNNNNNNNNNNNNNNNNNNNNNNNNNNNNNNNNNNNNNNNNNNNNNNNNNNNNNNNNNNNNNNNNNNNNNNNNNNNNNNNNNNNNNNNNNNNNNNNNNNNNNNNNNNNNNNNNNNNNNNNNNNNNNNNNNNNNNNNNNNNNNNNNNNNNNNNNNNNNNNNNNNNNNNNNNNNNNNNNNNNNNNNNNNNNNNNNNNNNNNNNNNNNNNNNNNNNNNNNNNNNNNNNNNNNNNNNNNNNNNNNNNNNNNNNNNNNNNNNNNNNNNNNNNNNNNNNNNNNNNNNNNNNNNNNNNNNNNNNNNNNNNNNNNNNNNNNNNNNNNNNNNNNNNNNNNNNNNNNNNNNNNNNNNNNNNNNNNNNNNNNNNNNNNNNNNNNNNNNNNNNNNNNNNNNNNNNNNNNNNNNNNNNNNNNNNNNNNNNNNNNNNNNCUUUGAACUAGUCUGUUAAAAAUAAGCUCAUUUCCUAGUUGCUGCAGAAUCAAAAUGUGGUAUCUGUAUAUAUUUUUGCAGGGAGUUGAUGCUAUGGAAGAAUGUAGCAGCAGCAGCAAAUAUGACUGCAGACGUCCAAGUCCGAUCUCGGUUCUUGACUAUUCUUUCUCAACUGAAAGCAGCUGCACAUUAGAGAGUAUGGACUACAGUAGCAGUACAGAGGGUAAGAAUUGUAUCUAUGAAGCUAUAGUUGGUUGUCGAAUAGUUUUUGGGGAUAAAAUUCUCGUCUUGAUGACUUUAAUUAAAUGUUCAAUCGAAAUCUAUCAGGAGGCAAGCAGUGUUCAUCUUCCAUUCAAGCACAAGAAGUCCUUGGCCUUACCUUUCUUCCCAAGAAACAUCAACACCACCCAGACACAGAGCUACUAGAUUCUGCUUCAUCGACAAGCUCCAGAAUCGCGUCUCUCGCUAGUACAAACAGAUCAACCGGCAGUGAUAAAUCGGACUAUUGGGAGGUGGAAUACGUCAAACAAGUGCUUGUUUACCUGGACUUGAUGUUCCAUGACUUUGCCAUUGGCAGAUGCAGCGAGGUCGUGAAUCCCCACCUCUUCGAUCAACUGGUGGUUGGAAAUCACUUCGAUCGAACUAGGCUAGAAAAAAGGGCACUGUUCGACUGCGUGAGCGAAUGCCUGGACUUACGAUGCAGCAGAUACAUCGGCGGAGGGUACAGUGCUUGGUCGAAAGGGACGACAGUGAUGAGUAGAAAAGACAGAUUGGCUGAAGAAUUGCACAGAGAGAUUGUAACGUGGAGGAAAAUGGGAGACUGUAUGGUCGAUGAGCUCGUCGACAAGGACAUGAGCAGCCAAUACGGGAAUUGGCUCGACUAUGAGGUAGAUGCAUUUGGUGUUGGAGAAGAGAUUGAAGGGUUAAUACUUAACUCCUUGGUUGAUGAGUUAGUCGCCGAUAUCCGGCCCCAAAAACUUACAAACAAGAGGAGAUUCAUAUGAAGAUGAUUCAUAUGCAUUUUAAGUCUACUGGUUUUUUCUGCUAUUGUAAGGAACAACUGAUGAUUCUCUCUAUAUAUAAGUCAAAAGUUGUAAUCAAAGGACUGCAGUUAAACAAAAUUGCAGACAUUUUGAUGACCACCAUUUCCCCACAAACUAUGCACUAUGUUUACACAUCAAACACUACUGAGCAACUUAUGAUAGAUAGAAACUAGACGAACAUCAAUGUUUUCCAAAAGAGCCUGAAGAGAAACCUUGUGAAAUGUCACAGCAACGAUGGAGAAGAUGAAGCACCAUCCUAGAGCCAUGGGAAACUGUUGUUGUAGUCUACUUCAUGAUCCCAUUGGAUGUUGUCAAUCUGGUCCCAAUCCAGCCACUCUUCUUCCCCUCCACCACCACACUUAUUACCAUUGCUUUCACCGCCUUUAUUCUCAACCACCAUAUCAUCAUUACGCUUCACUGCCGAAUCUUCUACCUCGGUGGGAAUCAGUGAGCUCUUAAGACGGUUUAUCUCGCUGUCCAGCCAUUCGUAUGGUUCCAGAACAUCCUCGUCUCCCACAACUUUCAUCCCUACCCCAUCCAACGACAUUAAUUCACCUCCCCCGCCAGCGGCGGUGGGGGCGGCCCCAUCAUCUCCGCUGUUCUGUUCGGCGGAAUUAGCACUAAUUCCGCUCAGUGAAGCUUCCGACUUCCCGUCUUUAGACUUUUCGGCGGGUUGUUUUUUCUUAUUGGCACUUGAUUUCCGGCUUUUGCCUCUACUCGCGGCGGCGGGGGGAGGAGCGAUGAUGUCAAUGGAGGUGGUGGUUGAAUUGGCGGAGGAGGAGGAGGAGGCGGCGGAAGAGGCGGACGAGUGGCCGGCGGCGGGUGAACGGCGGCUGGGGAAACAGUAAAUUUUGCGACUGAGAUGAGAGUUCCAGUAAUUUUUUAUCUCAUUGUCGGUUCUUCCGGGUAAUUGGGCCGCUAUCAACGACCACCUAUAUUAAAUCACAACACAGAUUUGGGCCACGUUAAUUACGGUAAAACCACAUAGCUAGAAAACAAAAUAGUGAAUUGUCAAUUUUUCCGAAUUAAAUGGCUUCUACAAGAUAGAUACUUGUAAUUCAAUCAUUAAGAAAUAUCUAUCGAGUAACUCCACAAGUUUAAUGAGAUUAUUAAUUAAGUUUAUGGGUGUUAAUCACUCCAACAAAAUGCAUAGUUUUUUAAUGACCUUUGUUGAAUUUUGACUCGGGUGUCAAAUUCUAAACCAUUUGAUCAAAUGUAACUAGUCAAAUCAGUUAGAUCGAUAGAUUAGAUGUUGAUUUUUUGUUUUACACACGUGAAUCGUAUAUGUGUUCGACAUAAAUUUGUCGUAAAAAGGUCAUGAAAGAAACGACGACAAAAAAGAUGUAAAUCUCAUGAUUAAUCAUAUGUCCCUAUCGACACACGAUCGCCUUAUAAAACGUAACAAUCAAAUGGUAUAAUGGUAUAUGUGUUAUGCUUUUUCCCGGAAACAAAUCUUUGGCUGAUACUCCACCAUAUAUGUCAAUGACUAGUAUAUGGUUCCAUAUAUGUAGUAUUCCGUCAUCUCUCUCAUGCUAUUUUAUUUUAAAUAAAACAAUUAUAAAAUAAACAGAAAUACUUCAAAUAACGAUAUAUAUGCGCGUAUAUACAAACACAUACGUGAUAUUUUAAAUAAAAUAAAAAAAUUAACAAUAACACAAUUCUAAUAACAUCAUACAUCCAACACCCUAAUACGAAAUUUACGAAAAAAAGGAAUGAAUACCUAUUGCCAAGAGCGUUGUGGAGCUUAACAAUAGUCUCUUCCUCAUCCUUGGUAAUAUUCCCACGCUUCAAGUCAGCCCUUAGGUAAUUAAUCCACCUCAGCCUGCAACUCUUCCCACACCUCAACAGACCUGAAAAAAAAUAACAAUGAGUAUCAAACGAGCAAGACAAAAUAGUACGAUGACCAAAACGGAGAACAAAUUUUCUUAAUCUUUUUCAUUUACCUGCGUCCUUGGGGAGAGAGCGCCAUUUGCCUUCGCCGUUCUGGAGAAUGUACGCCGUCAAGAUCUGGUCUUCCUCCGCCGUCCAUCUCCCCUUCUUCAGGCCGACUUUCUCGCAGCACGGAGCUCUUCCCAUUUUCUCGGAGACAGAUGUGUAAAUUUUUUCACUUUGGUUUUGUUUCUGGAAGGAGGCAGAAGAGAAAAGACGCAAAGUUAAUGAGGAGAAGAUGACAGUAGUGUCGUCUUACUAUUAUACCCAGUUGGAGUGUGAGAGAUGGUGGUAAUAUGGACACGUAAUGGGGGAUACGGGGUGCCACGUAUGCUAAUUUUAAUUACUUUUGGUGUAUUUAAACCAGUUGACUUAUUAGGCUCGGUAAAAAUUCAAUUAGAUUCUGUCCAGCCCAGCGCAGAUUUGUUUUUAAUUACUGUAUUAGAACGAUAAUUUAUUACUUCCUUAUCUCGUUGUUUAUGGUAUAUGAAAAAGCUCUAAUAAGCAGUUACCAUAAUUAAUUGUUUCAGUUUCCCCCCUUGGUUAUUAAUUACUUUCCUUACUUAUUUUGUUGAGGUUUACAUUGUUUACUUAUUUGCUUUGUGGGUUAUAUUUAAGGUAAGAUGUAUCGAAUCGUUGAGGAUAAUGUAACCGUUUUUAUAGUGGUUAAAGUUUUAAAUUACGGAAGAUAAUAGUUCGAAUAGUUUGUUACUCGAUUGUUUAUCGAUUUGUGAUGUCGGUUAAAACCUUACUAGGUAUGAAAUCAAAGAGGAUUGUGGGUACGUAGCUAGCUUGGGGGUGGGGACGAUGGUUGCAGACGAGUACAAUUGCUGAUUGAUUUCAUAUGCGUUGUUCGAUCACCUUGUAAUUCUCCGUCUGCUAUGCUCGCUAGUGGUUAUUAUUUUGUGACAGGGAUGUUAAAUCCUCCUUCACGGUGGAUGAAGAAUCAACACUAACGAUGCAAUCACAUUUGCGAGGGGAGGGGGUAUGCGGUGGGAGUGAUCAAGAGGAAUAGAUAUAGCUAGGUGGUGGUGUUUCUUUAGCAAGAAAAUGGAUUCCUAUUUGGUUUAACUUUGUAGGGGGAUUUUAGCUAGACAUGCGCUACUUGUUGUCCUAUGUUUCGCUUUAUGGAUCGAGGUUUCGUAAAUUUCGACCUGUUUCGAUUAAUAUGCCUUCCGAUACUAAAAGACAAGGUUUGACCCUGACUUCUGUCUAUCGAGAUAUCCACUCGUUAAAAUUGGGGUGUUCAACUAUCAAGUAACAAAUACCAAACCACUCAUAUUUAUCGUAAUACAAAUAACCCUUGUUUUUGAAAACCCAACCGGACCGAACGGUCCGAUUGCAAACCAACUCUUAGCCCAAAACUAGUUUGACAGUUUGUGAGAUGGGUCAGAGGCGGGUAUUGACCCAAACUUGACCAAAACAUUCAGCCGGUUGAACUGAAAUUGUUGGGCCGGUUGAACUAUAUUUUUAUGCCUACUCUAUUUUGUAAAAGCUGUUGCAAGUAGGAGUAGGAUUCAAACCCUAAUCUUUAAAAUAGAGAUUAUGAGUAAUUACCAUCUCCGUUCAUGUCAUGAUUCGAAUAAUGUAUGCAUUUAAUUGACAAUAAUAAACAUUAUAACAACUAAUUAACUCUAAAAAGUAUUACAUCACUAUAAAUUAAGUAAAUUAUAUAUUAUUCAAUUACCCUUUAAUUAAUAAAAAGCUUCAAAUAAUGUAUAUAGUUUGAAACUUGUUAAAAAAAAUUAAUUAUUAACUAUAGUUUUGAUAAGUUAGAUUAUGAUAUUAAAUUCUUUAUCCCACCGGUCUGAUCCACCUCAAUAAAAAAAAAUUAUCCGCCCCCCUUUAAUCAUAAUUAUAUUUAAUAAUUAAAAAUAUCUAAUCUCGAUCGAACCACCAAACCCUAAACCGGUAAAUUCACCGAUUCAAUCUCCAAUCCGAUUUUCAAAACCUCAAGUUACUCCGCUUCUUCAUUCUAGGUUUAGCAUUUAGUUAACCGGUAAAAUUUGGAGACGGUGGAGGGGGUGGGGGGACAGGAAUUCGUGAAGAACAAAUGUAGGAAAUUACAGUUUCAGCGGUGAAGAAGAACCCAUAUAUGUACCUGGUUUCCCAAUUUGGGAUGGGACUUAGAGACAUACUCUAUUUAAUGUCGACGGUUGGAUAUUUUCUGAGAGAUAGCCGCUCUCUAAUAAAUAAUAUCUUUCUAUAUAUUAUACUCAUUUUUUUUUAAAAAAAGUAUACAACUGGGACCGCAACACAAGAAGACCUACCUACAUGCUUACUAAUAUCCAUAAUUAUUAUUAUUAUUAUCUCUGCGUCUAAAAAUGGGCUGCAGCUUUGCUGGAUGAUGGAGAGACCCUGAGAGACCUUUCUUCCUAUAAACUAUACAUAUUCCCAAACCAAUUCCUUCCCCUCUAUAUUAAUUUCAUUCUUUCUGUUUCUUCUGUUCAUCCCUUUCCAACAUAAAUGAACAGCAUGUUGAAUGCGUAUGAGCUGUUUAUAAGGAUUCUUCAUUUGUAUUAACUUGUUAUUAUGCUAUUAUUUCACUCCCAUAUAUCACUCAACUCAACAUGGCUUCCAUGUGGGUGGAUUGUUUUCGAAAAACAAAAAAUUAUCGAUGCUGCAUUUCAAUUUUGUGAUUUUUUUGGCUAACCAUGUACUCAUAAAAAAAUGUAUUUGUAAAUUGAUUAUUCGAUAUAUAGAUUUUAAAUUUAAAUAUGAAUCCGUACAUGUACGAAUAUGAUAAUAUGCAAAUAGUAUUUGACAAGCAUCAGAGAUUGUAGUGAAUGGGGGCACAAACGUCUUUUUUUAACUUACUUACUUGGCAAGUGUAGCUGCCAUUCCUGGGGGAAACGUUCACGUGGAUAGCUAUCUACUCCCCAGAAAAGCCUCAUUUUAGCGAGCCAGCUCUGUUGGGGAGUGGAUGAUUCAAUCUGCAGUGUAGUCAAAGUCAAAAUCAACUACUACUAUAUUAAGGGAUGGAUGAUGCCUAUAUGACCAAAAUGAACACUUUUUUAUUAUUAUGUAUGUAUCAAAUCAAUUUUAAACAAACGUGCUACAGUCAGCAUUUUCGUCACACUUAUUUUGUUUUUGUCCGGAGGGAGUCAUUCGCCGCCAAGACUCACCUUUUGCAACGACAGACAGUGAGUGUGGGUGGCAUCUAGGGGUGUAAAUAGGUUGGGUUGGGGUGGGUUUUAGAGGGUUGGGGUUGGGUUUAGGGAUUAAUAGGUUAUAAAUUUUGUUAACUCAGCCCAUCCUUUUUUUUAAUCUAACCCAAUUCAAUUCUAAUGGGUUGGUGUGGGUUGAGUCGGGUUUUAUUAUGAGUUAGACCAUCCUCCUAAUCGUCACGGCUGGAAAAACCCAAGGUAAGGAAAAGGUUAUUCUUUUAUUGGCGCAGUAGUCAGUAGAAGGAAGAUUAGGAGCUUGGAAAUUAUAAAGCCGAACGAAUUGGCUCCAUUGAUUUUCUUUUCUACUCUGUUUUCAUCCAUGGCCACUUCGUCGCAUCGUUUUCUGUCCGCACCAUUCACCUGCCAUGCCAAGCUUCCACUUUUGCUACUGUCAAAAUGGUCCUAUCUCUAUUUUCCAAAAAUGCCCUCCAACCUGCUGAUGAAUGCACACUUUUUUUUUUUUGGUUAUAUAUUUAUAGCUGAUAAGUGAUAGAUAACAUAACACAUAUCCUGGUCCCGGAAAUGAAGACGGCUGCAUGUGACUAGGCUUAAUUAUCACAUACGUACAUGCCCUACUUGCGUCAUGCUCUGCAUGCUAUACAUAGCUGUUGAACCUUCCUGACACUCCGGCUUUGGUCAACCGACGACGAAAUAUUCUACCGCCGGCCGACGAUAUUGCGGCCAUCUUGUAAUGUUUUCCCUACGGAGCAGUUGGAGAUGAUUCAGUCCAGAAGCUGCCACGUAACAUCAGUCACCAACACAAAUUUUGGUUACCCCUACAUGCAUGGAAUUGGACAGCAAGCUAAAAAGUAACUUUUUGAUUGAAUGAUUUCCACUAAUCAAUCAUUGUAUUAAAUAGAUGUGAGUACUUGUCAACUGAUAUAUAUAUAAACAAUGUUGACUUUUCAACGAUGAAACAUAUAUAUAAAUGCAUGCUAUAUAUUGUGAAAAUGAUGAUUAAUGAAGAUGACCCCUCCAAACUGUAAUCAACGCUUAACCAAAGCCCACUACAGCCAGUGAACUUUUAAGUGACAUCGAAUCGGUACGCUGGUUUGUGCUAUCAAGAUAUCAAAUGCUUCAGGUAACAUUAUAUAGGAAAGCAUUGAGUGGACUUGGGUGAGCAACUUUGCUUAGAUGGAUUUGAGCAUACUCAUCUGGCAAUUGAGCAAGAGCUAGCUAGCAUAGGCGGGGACUUGUGUCUAUUACCAAACAAAGUGAAAAUUAAAGGAUUAUUCCAUUGCUUCGGGAACUAAUUAACGUCUUCACAAGUUCAUUUCAGAAUCAAUGUUGUUAACUUCCACAACCAAAUAUUCCCGUCUGAUCACAUAAGAAGAAAUGCGGGUACAUCGCUGAUGAUAAUAUAUGCACUGCAAAGAAAACAAAGACCAGUAGCCAAAAGCCACUAAAGCUUACGAGUGUGGGGUGGAUGUAGGAGUUAGUGACUAGUUUGAAUGCUUCUUACCCUGCAAGCCAGAGUGGCUAGGACACUACAUUAUCUGUGUAUCAGAAGAGCACAAUAAAGCUGCGAAUUAGAAACAAUGUUACCCUUUACCAGUAAUCAGCACGUACGGUACGAAAUCCCAUUUGGUUCAUUAAGGCUAUAACUCAAUAUCAACAUUUGAAAUUUCAGUUAUAUACUACUUGAAAACAGAUAAUCUAUGAACAAAAGAUCAAUAGUCGUGAUGUGCUAAAUGAGGCUACGGACCCUACACUUUAUAUUCAGGAUGUGGUCGAUGUUUUCAUCGCAUAUUAUCAUUUCUGUUAUUCUAGCUUGAAAGUCUGGUUGAAGACUAACAUCAACUUUCUUCACACAAACCAGAAAAGUUAUCAUAAACCGAUCAAGAGUGCAAGAGAUCAGCAUAGAGAAGCUGGUUCCACUGAAGUGAGAAGCAGAGUAUCCACGGAAGAACACUCUGGUACGGCUAGCGUUGAUAUUGGAAUCAACCCAUUAAGCCCACGUCCACAGUGCUUUCUUGUACGCUUCACUCACUUGCAGCUUGAUGUACACGUGGCUCCCUUCUUGAUAGUAAUUCUUCCUACAACUUUAUAGCAACUAAGCCCAGUAAUUUAAAUCACAACAACACCAAAAUUGAUGAUCUUAAUUUAACCACUUACCCUCGGUUGGUUUUCUUGUGAGUCCACCAGUGUCCAGUGUUGAACACGAUGACGUCGGCAUUUCUAUAGUCAGAGAAGCUCCUCUGUAUCAUGUCAAGCCUCAGGGUUUCUCUUUUCUUCCGAUUCAUCCUUGUUUUUGUUGUUGUUCUGUUCGAAUCCUGCUUCCAUUCCUGUACUAGGAAUGUCAAUUUCACAAAGUCCAGCGAGCAAUUGAAUUCCUGCCAAUUUGGAGAUUGAAAUAUCAUCUAGUCACGAAUGGAACCAAAUUAGAAACAAACAGUACCGUUUAAUGGACUUACGGUGAAUUUCACAGAGUAGAACCCCUGCGUUCUGAACUCCCUUCUGCCAAACUCUUCAAAGAUUCCACUCUUGUUCUUCACCGAUUCUCGCAACGAACACACCAGAGCUUGCCACAUGUUCCUGCUCAAAGAAUCUCCCACGAAUACCAGUCUCCUCCCUCUCAGAAUCUCCAGCAUCUUUCUCCCGUUAAACCUGCAGGAAAAAAAAGAUAGUACUUUUUCCCCUGAUUUUGUUUGGAGCUCCGACGGCAGAAAAUAAGAAGAAGGAAAAAAGACAAGUUUGACCGUGGAAUGUUGCAACCGUACGGCUUCCACCGGCACCGGAGAUAACCCAAAAAGUCCCGGCCGUUCUUGAAGCAAUUGGACGAAUCGUCGAGGAAGGGGCAUGAACCGGGCGGGUAAACCGGAUCCCAGUGGUCGACAACCCAAUUCCCGUCAAAGAUAUUGCAUGAAGUGGGCCGAGUCAAGAACUCGUCUUCGUUUCGGGAUUUCCAGCGAGGAGUAAAUUUCGUAGCUGCGGCGACAGAAGAGAGCGUCGGGCAUUCCGAGAAGACGGGGCAAGUGUUGAAGGAAUCGACGGGAGAGAAAGAAGAGAGGGAUUCUUCGUGGUUUGCGUCGACGGAGAAAAGGCGGGAAGCGGAGGGAAUGGACGCGGCGCCAGCGCCGGAGUCAUUGGUGGUAGCGGUGAAGAAGAAGAAGGAAGGCGACAGGCAGAGGAAGGUGAUCAUCAAGAAGAAGGGAGUAUUUGCGUAGAGUGGAUUCUUGGGUUUGUGAGGGUGAUGAUCUUGAGCUUCGUCAAAGAUUCCAUGGCGGAAAAGAAAGAAUCGGAAGGAGAUUUCUUGUUGUAGUUGAUUGGUGAACAGAGUAAUUUCCUUCUGGAGGGAAGCGCGAGGAGGGAUAAAUUUAAUUUAAUUACGAAUUUUAAAUUUGCUGCUAUUGGGCCCGAUUGACCUCUAGGCCUAUUCCAGAAUCUUGUAGCUUGGGCCCAAUGGACGAAACCAGAGGCCUUGUUAAUUGUCGGUCUAUUUAUCCAGAUAAAUUAUACAGAUAUUAAUGAACUUGUACCACACUGCCAAGCCAAAAAAAACAAUACACUACUGCUAACUUCAACUUUGCUCAAUGCUGCAAUGAUUCACCAAGCCUGAGCAGCAGCAAUGGCGGAAACAAGAGCAGACAAGAAGAGAAAUCCACUGGCAGACUUCACAACAGUGCUCUGAGAAGCCUGAAGAUGUUCCGACACAUCGAAAUUGCCUCUAUCAGGACCAUCACUGCACCCUGCCUUCAUGGUGUCCUUAACAUCCUCAAUCGUGGCAGUGUUAUAGAAUACAAAGUUCUCCAUUAUCCCUUCGACACAGUCCAGCACCAAGUUAGUCUCCGAAAAGCAUGGCCCACCGCAGUAGGCGUCCACUUGAUCCAGUGGAACGCUCAGCCUCCCGCUCUCGUUCAGCCUGUAGUCUUCAUCGCAGGUUCUGUAUAUCUGAAUCAAUCAUAUUUUAUAACAUUAUGUUGUGAUAAAUCCAACUAACAAGUUUCAAGUUUCUUCCUUCUUUUCCUUAAUCUAGUAUUUAGUAAUGUUUUACCUUCCUGUCAUUGAAGCAUACCAAAGCUCUUGCGACGAUUUGGGCAGGAUCGUCAGCAUGAUGACUACUGCUCGUAUCAUCAUCGCUACCUGAAGAUGAGGAGGAGGUCGGAGAGGUUCCUGAGCUUCCGCGGUUUCCAACGUCCAAGUAAGGUGCAUCUACAUCUGCCUUUCCUGUCAUAUCGAUCAUCAGCUUUUAAAGUUCAAAUCUUUACUAACAAAUCGAAAACUGGUAAUGAAACAUACUUCAUAAUGAGACAUUGUACCUAGUUGGCAGCAGGAAAUGAGUAGUGACAGAAGAAACAGAACAAUGAAAACGAUCCUUUUUGUGGCUGAAUCUGCCAUGGAUAAUUAUUAUCAAGUUGUGUUUUUAAGGGGGGGCAGCAGUUGAUAGAACGGUGGGAGAAUAUGAAAUUGUGGUGUAUGGUCAUUAUUAAAUAAGAAAGGAGUUACACCAACCAUGGAAAACAAAAGCAUCAUUGGGUUUAUUUCCUUAGCUUGAGAGAUUGAUUACUUGGACCGAUUGGCAUAACUAGCCCUUUCGGAUAGACAAUGCAGGGAAAAACCAUUGAUUUGGUUUGUGAAAUGGAAUAUGAAUAUUCAGUCAUUUACUUGUGGGAGGAGAGAACUGAAAGAGAGUAAAGAGGUGAGGAGCAGUUAGAGUGCAAGUAACCAACUUUCAACCAGUAAUGGAAACUUAGUUCGUCACUCAAUCAAAUACUUGACUAAAAGUCUUACAUUUGCAUUCUUUGACAAUAAGUAGGUGUGUGCAUCUAGAAUAUGGUGCGUCAGAUACUACAAUAACAAAUGGGAAGCAAAGGAAUCGAUUGUGGAUUCAGAGACCUAAUAAGAAGCAAGAAACAAUUUGUGUUUGGAAUUGGUUUUCUUUAUUGAAUUCAGACAAGUUUCCAGGGAGUAGUAUGUGAAUAUAUUCACCUGCUUUGAAAUAUCAGCCCUGGAGUUGCGCAGUAGAUUCUGCACAAACAAAUUUCCAUCUGAAAAAAUAUGGAUUACAGCCAUAAGAUUCGAUUGAGUAAAGAUGCAAUGCUUCAUGAAGCUAACAAAACAACAAAAGGGGAAAAUAUUGAUUGACAAGUGAAACGUAGGGUCUUCAACAUCUCAAUCAACCGCGAAUUAGCGAACAAAACAGCUACCAGAAUUUCACCUUUCCGACAGACGGAGUUGGCUGUAUCGUGUUUCGGUAAACACUCAGCUCCUUUCCCGAGAGGAUGUUGACUAUGAUCGACUGGUUAUCGCCGGAAUUUGAACGGAAUCAGUUGGAAAUUGAUGAGUAUUGCAUGUCCAAGCAUUUGCCAAUGCCCAGAGGCCAACGACACUGACGUUUUGCACGGCCGGAGAUCCCCGGAGGUUCAAGGUGCCAGAAAAUGGGCCCUCAGCAGGCCACUAAAUAACUAAUUUGCGCUUAAAGGAUAGCCCAAGAAAUAUUGGGCUUCUACAGCUAGACAGUUCUUCCCAUACUUCUUAUUACCUAAGUUUAAUUUUUGUGACAAGGUGGUCACUUAUUGUAACAUUCCGGGUCGUGGUGAACUUAGGCCACGGUUUUUCGCUCCUCGACGUUCAAAGUCAGCCGGAAUUCGGAUUUGAGGCGAAAUCCAUCAGGUUUUGACAGUUCCUUACCUCUACAUUCGAAAUUUAACUGUUGAAAUUAGACGGAACUAAACCCCAUAAAUCUAUCAAAAUUAAAGUUUUAUCCGAUGAGGAUCUCCAAAUUAAGGCAUAUAUAUGAUAUAUUAUUGGGUGAUGAGAGGCCAUAGUAAAAGCUAUCGAUCAUGUUCCAAAAGUCGCAACCAAACUAUUACAAUAUUACUUCUUCUUCCUUCAUAUUUCCCCUCCCUAACAAAAAGGAUAUUCUAUUGACAGCUGAGAUAUAUUGGAUAUCUGUGAAGCCAAUUCAAUCGCCCCGCCAACCCACUCCUCCCCCCAACCCAAAAAAUUCACCUGCCAUGCACCUAAUCAAAACGACUCACCCUGCACCAACCACAACAGGGGAAAAUGUCGCCAUGGUUACCGUAAGAAACAAGUUAAUUUCACCAAGUUUGGUGAAACCAAACAGAUAAGACUUUGAAAUUAAACUGGUUCUUAUACUAACAUUAACGUUAGUGGUGGUUGUGGUGGAUGUACAAGCUGGCCUUCUAGGCGGUAGCUGCUGAUGUGGCGUUCUCUGCAUUCAACCAAAAUCACCUUCUUCCGUUAAAAAAAAAUUAACUAUUUACUUUGCUAAGUAAAGUAAUUACAUGGUAGUUUAAUAAUUUACCUGUAAUUUAGGUUGCAAGGUUUCCAUUGCUACUACCGUCGACGUCUCACUACUUGUCCCUGAUCCUUGCUGCUCCCAUGUUCAUGUAAGAAACACAUCAAAUCCAAUAUAUAGUUUGGGUUGGAUCCGUUCAAUCGGUUCGGUCAUCGAUGGGAUAGGUUAAGUCAGGGUGAUUGGUUGAGUUGAAUCUCAUAUGAAAUAGGUUAUAUGAUAGUGAGUAUAAAUUUAUUUUCUACUUUAUCCCUUCAUAUAUCGUAAUUUGAUUUAAUUUUCGAAACUCAAAACUCAAUUAUAUUAAUUAUACCAAAAAAAUUGGAAAUCCAUGUGUGAGCAUUUAAAAUAGGACGGCAGGCUUAUUUAUUUGAGGGGAAAAAAGGAAUUUGAUAGGGACCAUGCAUGUUAUAGAAAGUGGACCAAAUCUGGAGUUUGGCAUAGUAACUAAUAAACCAAUAAAUUUGUGGAAACUGAGUCUUUAUUAUUAUAAUAAUAAUAAUAAAUUACUUACCUUACAAAGAGCCCAAUCCGCCGAAUCGAAGAAUGCACGUUCAUUGUCCUGCAUAAUAUCACCAAUUUCCCAAUUCAGCACCACGUUUAACAUGUCAUUAAUUUAUUCUGAUUUCCGUUUAAUUGUCCCUUCAAUUUAAUUAGCAAUUAGUAUAGAAUCACCUUUGCAAUCAAUGGCUUCUUCUUUGGUGCAAGCCCACCGUACUUCUGUCCAACCUAGUAUUAAGUACCCACAUUUAAUCAGUACACGUAAUCAUCAUACCAUAAAUCAUAAGAUUAGAACGUGUUAACAAUUCAGUCCACUAUUCCAGCAAUUUAUUUAAUCGAACCGGACUUUGGUCGACUCGAGUUAGCAAUCAAUCAAAAUUAAAAUGGAAAUCGAGCACGUGAUUCGGAGCAAGUACAGAACGAAAACAACAAGGGAGUGUUUGUCUCUGUGUCUAAUCUGAAAGUUAAAUUUUCUUCCGAGGGUUUGGUACGCCGUACGCCACAAAAUGUCUGAGUUGCUCUGGUUCCCCAAUCCACCCGUUGGGGAUGGCAGGAUACACGUGUAUACACAGGCACCAAACAAGGCACUAGCAGCUUCUUUUUUGCUUUGCCACCGAGGACGUCGUAUCAACAACCUCAAAGGGCCCUACUUUACUAAUGAUAACAGGUGAUUAGUGACGGAAACUGGUUAGGUUGGGAAAUUGAGUUUGGUUGGUAAUUAUUACGACGAGGGGGCAGCGGUUACGCAACAAAAUGAAAAAACCCCACUUAAUUAGGCGAUUAGGUGUCCUAAUUAGGCCCUAAAGAAAUGUUCAAAUGUAUUCAGUUGAUGAGAGAGAAGAAAAAACAGAGUACCUGGAGGAGGUUUCCGCCGCAAUCCGCCAUGGCUCUGCUCCUGUGGAAGAAAAAAAACAGAGACAUACCGAAACAGAGUUAUGGAUAACAGAGAGAUGGAGAUAGACAGUAAAAGCGAAACGUAAAGGUGGGGCGGGGGGAUCAAAGUGAGUACGUUACAGACACAACGGAUAAAAAAAGAUGGUAUCUUUGUGAUGAAGAAGAAGCAGAGAGAGUGGGGGAGAAGCAGAGAUGGGUUUUGGAAUACCUGGUGGAGAAGAGAAGAGAGCUCCUUAAAAUUCGGGAGAGGGGGGGGGGGAUAAGGAUUCAGAGAGUGGGUUUUCAAUUGGCGACGAAGAGAUAUAUAUGAAGGGGAGGGGAAAAGAGCCGAUACAAAAUAGGGAAGAUAGAUUGGUUUGGCGAAAUAAAUGAAAAAAACAAGGGGAAACGAAUGAUAUUGUUCCAAGGACGGACCGACAAAAUUUGAGUGUCCAUUUUGAAAAUUGAUGAUUUGGUUAGACGGAGGGUUUGAACAACCUUUUUUACUGUAAUUGUUGUAUUUGUGUGGCAUUUAGAUACAUCCAUUCGGAAAAAGAAUAUUCUAAUUUCAACAUUUACGGUUGUCGGAUUCGUGGUUUAUAUUCAUACAUCUUAUAGUUAAUUACGGUUUUUUUUUUGAGAUUUGAACAAUUUGAAAAUUAUUAGUUUGAUGACCUCAAAUGGAUGUAGAAUGUUUAAAAAGUUUUGUUUUUUUUAUAACCAAUCAUUGUUGGCAGUAACUCAACUCCCAAAGUAAAUCUGUUUUCAUUUUGAAAGUUUCUUUUUGGAUCGUAAAUUUUAUCGUUUAGUGACGAUUAUAUAACUCCUAAAAUUGGAGGCAUGUGUCGAAGUAAUGUCUAUGAAAGUAAAUCUCUAUAUUAGAGUAUUGCUAACAAGAAAUGCUACUUUGAGUAUUUUGUUAAUUCAAACGCUCGAACUAUCUAAACUCCUAAAAGAAGAUUAUUAGCUAAAGGGAAAGCAAUUGAAGUAAUUAAUCAACAUGUAACCGGGUCAUCGACAUUAAGAGUCAUCUAUAUUUAACGUUUUUAAAAAAAAUAUCUUAACGUCGUUUUUUUCAUCAAAAUGUGCUAAGUCGCAAUUUUCGCAACUCGCCGUUGGCGUUUUCCGUUAGAAUCCGUCUACUUUACCACGCAGAUCUGCCACACAUACAUGUCACGCCAUCAUUAAUCCUAAUCAUUACUGAAUAUAUAAAAAAUUAUUUUUUUUUUAAUUUUGACGGUGAGUUGUGAAAAUUGCAAUUCAGACCAUUUUAAUGAAAAAUACAAUAUUAGGAUAUUUAAACAUAGAAAAUUCUUAAUGUGAAUAAACCACACGUAACCAGAUGUUUGAACAUUUUAAGAUCGUAAGAUACAGUGAUAUUGUAUUUAGGACACUGAUAUUAUAUAGAAGCGAGAAAAAUAGGAGGGGGUGGGUUGAAAGUGGAAGCAAUGUUGGGUAUGUGGCUGGUGGGCAAGGAAGGACUUGUGAAGCUACUAUUGUAAUUUGAAUUAUGGUUUCACUUCGCCAACACAAGCUACAUAAAAACAAAACAAACCACAACAGAGAAAUACUGUCUUUACAAAGGGGGUUUUGUUAAUUAUGACCCCUUCUCCAUUAUAAUACGUUUUAUUUUCAUAAAAAUAUGAAUAUUUGAAAUUUAAAUUGAGUGAACGGCUAAUACAAAUACAAUCUUUUAUGAUAAAUUACAUAAUGUAUAAUCUGAUAUUAAGUUGCUUAGAUAUCUCUCGUAGGAGAGCCGUGAAAUUCUAAUCGCCGCCACCAUAACACCACUGCCAACUCCACCACCGCGGUUGCUACCAAUCCAUUGUUUGCGCAAGCAACGAAAUCGCCUCGCCCUAUGUAGCCGACCGGAUAUGCACCACUGCAACACCCACCUAGCCCAAGCUCCGCUAUCAUCACCAACAAUCAAGCCAUCCGACACUCUCCAUGGUAGCCGUCCAUCCAAUACCACAUCCGCAAAAUCACCUAAGAAGCUAGGUCAGGGUUCCGCUUCUGCACCAUCAGUCGAUAUACUAAUGGGGACCGGUCUACCACACUCACCAGAUUGUGCCAACCAACUAAGAUCCUUUUACCUUUCUUGGUGGUUCCAAUAAGAAUGUACGUACAUCUAAUUUUUUUAGGUUUUUUUUUUCAAUAGUGAUAAUUUCGUGUUUGUUGUUUUGACUUUAUUUUUUUUUGUUUUCUUUUAUUUGAAACAUUUUUGAAUACCACAUCCUUUUGUCAUAUAUCAAUUAUAAAAAAAGAGGAUUGAAAUCUUCCUGCUUACACAUAUCCACAACUCAUACCACUAUGAUUUAUGGGGAUUACACAUUCUCUGUACAUUCUCCAAUUAUAAUUAUUUUGGGAGAUACUCUUUGGUUAAAAAAAAGAUGCAGGAAGGAAAAAUAGACAGAAUAUCCAGUUUGUGGUUAGAGUUCAAACUAUAGACAGUUUUACAUGGACCAAAAUGAGAUGGGCCCAUUUCCAUGCGUUCGGCCCUUUUCUUUCAUCUCUUGUACAAUAAUACAAAAGUUGACGUUGACUUGACUGUAAAAUCUAAAUUCCCACAUGCCUAACUAUUCAGGUCAUUUCAACUCAAGCGUGGUUGUUAUUAGCAAUUCUCAUGAAAGCAAUCAUCAUUCAUGAGAGACAAGACCAUAUAGCUGCUGCCAUUUGUUUCCUCUGCUAAAAUUUCCCUCCCUUUAAUGAUUCACGAAUAAUCUCAACUAUUUGGAUCUAUUCCCCACAGCCUUGGCUUCCUUUCAAUCAACUUGUCCACAACAUAUAGGAAUCGAAUCUCCCCACUCUUCGAGUUGAGCCAUAAUGUCUCAGCAAACUCUUCAAAACAAUCGAUUUCUGCAACUGGGUUUAGAAUAUGACAAGCAAGUAAACAGAACAAUCAAACCUUUCUUUUAAUCUCUAGUCCAUGAGUACAUCCUCUGUUUUCCUCGAGGCAACAACUUCAGGUUUGUUUCACAGUAGAAAACAAACAAACGACAAAAUAGUAAAGCAAAUCUUCGAAAUCCUUAUCUCACAGUUGCUUCCCUAUGAACAAAGAAACUGCAAACCCAGCAGAGGGAACCCUUAAAAGCUGGUCAUUCACUCACUCACUCCUUAUUGACCAAAUCAUUUUCAAUCUUAGUAUUCUAUUCUGUUUACCAAUCUUUGCCCCUGCCUCCUAUCUUACAUUUGCUAAGAGCAAAAGAAUCAGUUUCCAGUUUAACUUAUAAUGAUAAUAAUAAUAAUCAUCAUCAAUUCAUCAUCGUAAUCAUGCCUUGAUGAUCGCAUUGGAACCCAAUUGGAUCAAAACCGAAUGCUUGAGAUCACCGAUGUGAAGAUGAUGCUGACCGAACGGAAUCCUCCGGUGCCCGUACUGGUCAACUACGCUCAGGUGCUUACACACCCGGACAUUGACCCGAACCAGUUUGCUCGACCCGGCCACCAAAUUCACCUUCUCGAACCCGAUCAGCUGUUUGUUAGCCGACCACUUAUCACCCUCUGGCGGGCUGGAGAACACCAGGAGUGUGUGGAUUCCGUCCACGCUUCCGGUGUUCUUGACAUCCACUUCGAUAUCCAGGGACAUCGCGUGGCUUUCGCAGUCUGUGUGGAUGGUUCGGAUCGCAGCCGAGGAAGGUAGUGAAGAAGUGUUGCCCUGUUGUAGAGUUGUGAGACUUGUGGUGGAGAGUGGCACAUUCACUUGUUUCGGACCGUUGGAUAUUGCCACCCCGAAUCUGGCAUAUGUGAGUCCGUAGCCGAAUGGGUAAACCACGGGUCCCUUGUAGAACCGGUAGGUUCUUCCCGGGUAGCCUCUUCUAGGGUCGGGUCUCAUUCCCAUGUCCGUCAUUGGUACCUUGGAUAUGUAGUUUUGCGGGUACCAUGUCAUCGGCAACUUCCCAUCUGAAAGAUUAAUUAAACAAACAUAGAGUCAAAAAAGUAAUCAGUUUGUAGGACACUAAUAGUUAAGUGAUUAGUAUGUUAAAAAAGCUGGAUCUUACGUGGAUUGGUAGUUCCGAACAAUACAUCGGCGAUUGCAGUACCGCCGGCCUGACCCGGAUACCCGGCCCAUAUAAUAGCGCUUAUUCGUGGAUCGUUCUUUGCGAAUGUGACAUCAAUUGGGCUUCCGCUCAUAAGUACCAAAAUGGUUGGGCCUUUGGAAACUCGGGCCACUCUGGAGAUAAGCUCUUGUUGGUGACCUGGCAACAAGAGACCCGACCUAUCCCUAAACUCUGCUUCAAUGGAUUGGUCGAGUCCCAUUACCAGAACAGUAGCGUCCGCCUGCCGUGCAAUCAACUCCGCCGCGCUGAAUUGUUGGUUUCCGGCGCAGGUAACGUCGGAGCAUCCCGAUUGGUGAAACGUCCUUGCAUAUCUGGCGAUUCCUUGCAGGGGAGUCGUGUAGCCGCAAGCAACUCCGGCGUAAUUACCGAUCAUGGUGACGGUGACGUCUGAAUUGGGGCCGAUGACGGCGAUAGUGCGGUGGCGGGUUGUUGAAAGCGGCAACGCCUUGCCGCGGUUCUGAAGAAGGACGAUACCUUGUCGGGCUGCAUCGAGGGCCAGCUGGUUAUGGGCUGGAGUGCAGACGUCAGUUGGGCCCAAAUGCCCAAAAGGCUGGGCCGACGGUUCUCCGUCAAACAUACCCAAUCUCAUCUGGACAGUUAACGUGUUAGCCAACGCCAGGUUAACGUCUUCCUCGGUUAACAGCCCGCCUUUAACGGCGUUCUCCGUGUGGAUUGCCAAGAACGGGCCACAAUCCAAGUCCAACCCGGCUUUAAUGGUGGCUGCAGCGGCUUCUUCUGGGGUCUUGGUGAAAUGUUGGUUGUCGUAAAGAACCCCAACUGAGUCACAAUCCGAGACGAUGUACCUAUACAAAAUUUGUAGAAAUAUCAAUCAAACUAUCGAGUUAACGAAACAGAAUCGUCCAUUGGUGUAUGUACUAUACGAUCAACCGACCCGUUAAGGUGCCAUUGGCCGCGGAUGGUGCCCUUGAGGAGGUCAGGGUCAGCGCAAGUGGGCUUGCCGUUGACUUGAUUGUAGGAGCACAUAACACUAGCAACAUUGCCUUCCAUCACGCAGGCCUUAAACGGCACGUCGUAUGUAUCCGCCAAAUCUUGCUUGCUCACCUAAUGAAUUAAAUAAUGGAACAACCAAAGAAUAGAUGACAGGUCAGAACGCAGAGUUAUAACGUGAUUGGGAAUCAUAUCAUAUAUUAGUUAUUUAAUUAAACUAUCAAUUUAAUUAAGAUAAGGCGGUUGUGAUUAAGACAUGGGAAAAAAGAAGUGUCGAUAAUGGAAGGAACUUUAUUUUCACUUGGUUAUGUCCCGACAAGAGGCAUUUGGUUGGGAUUAUCAAGGAAUCAUUGGAAAAGAAUUGUCCACGUAAAAAAGUAGGGUCCAUAUUAUAUGCCAUAUUGUGAGUAUUAUUUCCUCGUCUUGUGUCUACAUCAAUACAGUUACAAUAGGAAAGAAUAACCUCUGUUUUCUCACUAAUCCACCAAAUCAAACCUUAUCCAAAAUAAGGAUCAACGUAAUUUUGAACUCAGAUCAAUCGGGACCAUAUGCUAUGUUUUGGGCAAGUGUACAGCCCCACCAAAUGAGUUCCAGCUGGCCAGCUAUGCCAAAUAAUAAUUCAUCCAUUUGUCACUUUCAUAAUUUUUGUAACUAAGCUCAAAGUGGCAAGCCAUUUAGAAUCGGGCUAGCUAGUGGGUGAAAGACGUGGUGUUUAGUAAUUACCUGGGCAUUGAAAUGGUAACGAUCCACGCCGUUCCAGUUAUCGAGAUCGUAAGCGGUGUAGUGCUUGCAGCAGGCGGCCACUUUGAGCCUGUUCCCUGACACACUUUGGAGUCCUUUGACGUAGCUGGCAGCGUACUUUCCGGCGAGGUAUGGGUCCUCUCCGGGAGUCUCUUGGCCUCUCCCCCACCGUGGGUCCCUGAAUAUGUUCACGUUCGGGCUCCAAAAUGUCAGCCCUGCCGCCCCUCCGUUGUACAUCGCCCUCGCCUCGUCCGACACCACCUGCGUCACUCAAGUAUCCGGAUUAAUUAGUAACCUUUUCCAAUAUCAAACUAUAUAUAAUAUACUAAUUUUUGUGCUUUAUAAAAUUGAUUGAUUAUGUUGGACCUUAUCCGAUUCGACGAAUUAGACUUAGACAUCAAGUGUGUUUAACAACUAAAUUGACAAAAAAAAGUCGAUGACUGAUGGUUACAUGAACGGAUGAAGGUAAUCAACGCAAGCAACUUCAAUUCAAAUGUGUCCAUUUCUUUGUAACCAUGCAAGAAAAAUCAAAAGGUUAAGGUGGAAAAUAUAAUAAAAUUAAAAAAUUAAAAGUAAUCCCCGGCCCCGGGUAUCUUUUCGGUUGGAAAAGUUUAGGGAAUUGGGUAAUUGUCAUGAGAGUUGUAUGUGGGCCCAAUGGACUGGAUCCGUAACACAAUUGGGCACGUAAAUGGUUCAAGGGUGGUUAGCAAUCAACAAUCUAAUUUAGUACAUUUAGAUUGAUUAAACACAAUUCUCUAUGGUACAAUCACAUCAUUAACGCCGAUUAAUUAGUUUCUGAAACAAACUAGAAAAAGCUACAAUUCUGUGAUGCAAUCCUAGCUAGAUCAAUUACUGCCCUUAAUUACUGAUUUGGACUCACAAACUAAUUGGUUGUUGGGCCGGUGAAAACUAUAGUAAAAGAUAUAUAAGUGUACGACAUCAGCAGUAAUAAAAAAGAACAAGACAGUAACUUUUAAGGUAGUAUANNNNNNNUCCCCCCCCCCCCAUGCCGAUGAUGCCACCCAAAAACUUAACCCACACACUCACCCAUCAUUAUACCCAUCCGUGACUCAAACUCAAAACCGAAAUUCAAAAGUUAAUAUUUAUACGUACCCGGCCGAUUUGCUCCCAAAGGGUGGAGUUGAAGGAAGCGGCGGGGGGGGGGGGAAGAGGGGAGCGGGAGGGAGGGGGGGGGGGGAACCGGCAACAUGACAGCAGNNNNNNNNNNNNNNNNNNNNNNNNNNNNNNNNNNNNAGAGCCUCCGACCACCACUCGUAGCCUUGAAUCCCGAGCCUGGGAACCGCCGCAGCAUUGUUGACAAGCAGCCUGAUCUUCUCCUGCAAUGUCAGCCGUCCGAUCAAGUCCCUCACCCUGAUGUGCAACGGCACCCGAACCCUGCAGAACUUCAGGCUCCGGGUUCCGGGGCUACGAGGGUCGCAGGCGAACGGCACCCUAGACUCCGACGAAUGAAUGAGGAGGAAGAAGAACAGGAAGAGGAAGGGUAGUGUCGUUUUGGUCUGAGCCAUUGUGUUGUAGUGUCGUUUUUGGGUUUGUGGGUAGUGAUAGUGUGGGAGAGUAUUUAUAGGGAGUGGGAGGAGAGGAGAAAUGGAGAUGAAUAUAAGGUUGCGUUUGGAUUGGCGAUGGAGGAAAAGUCAUGUUUGUUUUGAUGAUUGGGUUUCCACGUCAAUAUUGUUAGCCCAUCAAAAAGCUUCACACUAGAUAAGUGACUAUGUUUUUAGAUUGGUCAGUAGAGCACGCAUUUCGCACUUAUUUUUUAUAAAAAACAAAAUUCAGAAACUAAAAUUAAAAAUAAGAAUUGCCCAUAACCAAGCACGAUUUUGAACACUAUCAAAUCAUAUAUUUCUGAUUCAUUAUGUCUUCUACAGAUAGUAGUUUGGAAUACAAUAAGGUGGUAACGAAUUUUGAUAUAAUUUUUAAAAAAAACUUCUCCUAAUAAUUUGAAUUAUUAAAAUUUAAUAUAUAGUGCAUUUUCUAGCGAGCGACCAGGACCUACGGACUUAAGGAGUAGUGAUAGUGGAUAAAAAAUGGGGUCACGGACCACUGAGAAUCUGUUUCCAGUCAGCUGGUGGAAAUAUUGAGAUCUAAAUAAUUAUUGGUAUGGUAUUUAUUUUACUUAUUUUUUGGCUUCACGUUCCACCCACUCUGAAAUGAAUUUGUACAUAUGCACAUUUCAAGUAUUCUCUCCUAGUUGUUAGCUAGGCCCAUUAAACAACGAGGCAUCCGGCAUCCCCCUAAGAAAACAGCGACCAUGCUGUGUUAGCUUUUUGUUUUCUAUCCAAUCCAUAAUUCUUUUUUAUCGUUGUGUGUUCAAAUCUUUAAACGAUCAUAUACUCGACUUUUCAUGAUUCCAAUAUUAAAAGUUGGUUUAAACACAAUGUAUGAUGGACAUGUGCAAACUUCAACUUCAUGAGUUGAUUUUCGUUUGAGGGGGUGUGUAAAAAAAUGAUAUGUCAUAAUAGAUUGUAUAUCAUUCACGCUCCGACUAUGAAAGUUCAAUAAUAUAUAUAAUUCGAUCGGAUCAUAAAUUCCUAAACCCAUGUUUAGCUAAUCAUAUAUUUACCUUGGUAAGAGUUCACGCUUGCAUGCACGUGAGAUUAGAUGCACGGUAACAAUAAAAAUUGAAGAUAAUCUCGUGACUGUCGUCGCUCUGUGAAUUUCUUUUCCCGCCCGCCACAGAGUAAACGGAUAUCUUUUUUGACUUUUUUUUUAAUUUUGUCCUACUGACAAGUCGGACAUCAACUUGUGUUCUUCUUACAGUCUUGUGACUCGAGUACUGAAUCACUGAUCAUACCCAAUAUUUACGGUGUACCACUGUACUCUGCCUGGUAAUUAAUAUGUUAAUGGAACUUGAAUUCCAAUCACAAUUUUUUUAUGAGGUGGACAUUGGCCUUCGAGAUCAAAUCCUUACAUAUAAAGAUAGAUUCAAAACGAUUGAAUAUACCGGAUUAAAUUAUAUAAAAAUGAAAAACAUUAUACAUACAAAUAUUAGAAUUAUAGACUCAACAAUUCAGUAUUAUGAUACAUUAGUGAUCGAUUUCCAGUCCAAUGGUACAUUUUCGAGUCAUUAGACUGUGGGAACCAAUCAACCGUAAAAAAAAAUUAAUUAGAUUAUAUAAACUAAGUAUCAAACGUGUCUGCAUGCAAUCAUGUACUUAAUUAGUGAUGAUAAAGCGAUUGGUUUCUAAUUUUUUAUUGGUUUUGAGUAGUAAGACACAUCACUUAGCCCUUUUUUUUAUAUCUGAACACAUCAUUGAGCUUUUCAAUUACUUGGUGACUACUAUGUGGAAAAAGUCGCCAUAAUUAUAUACGUUUAAUCAAGCAUCUAAUUAGUAAUUAACAACCAAACGCAAGAAAUUAUGGGAAUUUGAUUAUGCUGUGGAGGAAUCAAUCAGUUAAGGGAAGAAAUUAAAUUAAAGCCGGUACCGAAUUUGUGAUGUUACACCACAACCACAUAGAACAUUAUUAUUUUUCUAAUGGCCGAAUGAAAUUCGUUACAUUUUUUUAUCGCACGGAAAAAGUGUUCAUUACGGGUUGAAAAAUUACGUUAAUUUGAGCACAACAGAUCCAUAAUUAAUCAUCUUCCAACAAUUUGAGUUAUUGGAAUGUAACAGUUUAUGUACCAAGUAUCAGGUCCUAAUUUGAGUAAAUGGUCGUGAAUUCGAAUUUCCACAAACCCCAACAUCAACAGUUCAUUUAAACACAAAGUAGUGGGCAUGUGCAAACUUCAAUAUCGUAAGUUGGAUUUUAUUUGAAAUAUUUGGAAAGCAAGAAAUGAAGUGGCCUUCCACAAUAUUCUUCUGAUGUCCAAAUCUUGGACUGCUGAUAACUGUAUAUUUGGUAAAAGAUUUUCAAUUUCUUCAUGGGUCUAUAUAUGUACCCCAACCAUGUCGCUUUAUCGACUUCUCAUACGCAGCUUCUCCACUGCCUCUAAUGCAUAACCAGUGGACAACUUUUUGUGACAUGUACUUUCUUAAAUAUUUGGUCACACUUCUUUCGGUAAGAUCGCAUCGUUCUUUCCUCGAAUUGCUUCGUCUUGAGAUGGAAUAGUUGAGAACAACUUAAUUCAUAUACCCAAUUCGUUAUUGUAGGUGACAAUGGAGGUCACCUAUAUUGACAAGUUAUCUCAAUGAUAUAUUUCAUCGUUGUACCAUUUUCUAUGACCAAAAGAGUGGAAGUUUGGGAUAGCACAAGUGAAUCUGGUUGUCUGUUUCAAAAGGAUGAUAGACAUGAUGACAUUACUACAUCAUGGCCAUGGGGGUGGGGGAGGAUCAAGUUGAUGUUCCUUAAUUGUAACGAACACAGCCUUUUCGAUCCCCACUUCUCCUAACUUCUGUCCAAUUCGUGGAAUAUAGCUACCACCUACCUAUAUAUGUCGUCAUGAUCUUAUAUAUCAUCAUUCCACCACCUGAAUCCCUAAUUAUUAUUUUAUUUUAUCCUCUUGGGUUAAUAACAUAAAUGAUAUUUGCUUUAUUAAAAUUGUACAUUUUGAUAUUUUACUUGUCAAAAUGGUAAAAGGUAUGCGCCGGAUGUCAAGACGGUGAAAAAAUUAUUUACUAAGUAAUUAAUAUAAAUAAGAAAUAUUUAUAUUAUUUUGCUGUCUGAGAUAGGUGAUUGGGAUGCUAUGUAAGCGGUUAAUGGAAAAAAAAUACGAAAACUAGUUAGAUAGAAAGAUCAUAAAAUUAUGUCUAAUAAGUUAAGUAUGAAUUGAUUACAAUUGAUAAGUAAAAUAUUAAAAUAUAUUGUUUUAAUGUGUAAGCUACCAUGUUUAUAUAUAAAAAAAUGUAUAACCUACCAUUUAUGUGUUAGUUCCUCAUAUAUAUAAAAAUCGUUGUAUUUUAAAAAUUUGAAUUAUUGAGAGGAGAUUUUAAUUGGUAUUUAUAUUAUUCACUAACAACCAUGACCUAUACUGAAAUGCCAGGAUCUCACAAAUUUAUGCCAUAUCGUGGAAUAUUAAGGAGAUGUCCGAGAUCCUAUAAUUUCGCUAUAGGUCAUUCCGCAUUUAACUACGGGACCAUCAAUUACAUACUAGCUAGCUAGCUUUAUUUAGGCUUUAGCGUAGCUACCAAAUAUGUAACCGUGCACUUUCUGAUGGAUCAAUUGAAACUUAAAUCAUUGUUCUUGUCUUUUUUUAGUUUUUGUUUUACCUUUUUCUAAAUACUUGACCUACUACUGCUAGUGAUUAUACAAACUUAAUAAUUUAUUUGUUCAUGCAUGCUUUUAAUAAAUCAUUGUUGUCUAUGUGAGAUCCGGGGAGAAACAUAAUAUAUGAUGAUCAAUUUAUGCAAUUGGGACAACGAACGAAACCGUAAACCCUAACUCGCAUGCACCAACAAAUCAAACGAAAGCUUCAAGCAAGAGCACAAGGAAUUGGUGACGCAAUUUGGAAAAUUCAUACUCUACAAAGUAUCAAGAGGAGGAGAGACUCAACCCAAAGUAUAACACGAGAACGGUAGAACCCACGCAUGGGAGGUCUUGAAGCGGCAUGAAAAGCUUCAACAACGAUCCGAUCAGGCGAUACAAGCACCGUCAUUCACAAACUCUAACGGCAAUUCAGAGCUUGCUACCUCUCGGGGAAGAUCGUACGCAUAGUUCGCUCGUACAAGAGAAGCUAGUGGCUUCUAUAUCAAGGGAAAGUAGGUAAGCGCGACAGCGGUUUCGAGUGUGUAUAGCUCGAAUUGGGCUUCGGUCGGUCUGACCAAACCGACCGAGACAGGAAACCAGGCAGCCGGGCCCGGGUCAUCUAGCAGCACACCAAAUUAAGAGUGAUUUAUGACAGGUGUAUACAAGUUGAUGGCAUUGAGUAACAUAAUUACAUCCUUGUGAAGACAUGAAGAUACAUGAGUGAGGUGGUUCGUACGUGUCUUGGUUAAUUUCAUUUUCAUAGUUUCCCCACGUCCAAAAUCAUUGUUUGGAUUUUUCUGGCUAUAGUAUUUGGAUUAGGGUUAUAUAUAUAUAUAUAGCUAGGUUCCGUGUCAACCCAAAACGUAUUGAAAAAAUUGAUGCCGAUUUUAUCUUCUGCCUCAUUAAGGAGUCUACUAAAGUAUACUACUACAAUAAGGAACUGUCACUAUUCUCUCAACUUGAUUAACCGUACCCUUGGCAACUCAUGAUUCAUUCCAUGAUCGGUUUUAUUUACAUAUAAAUAACUCCUUGACGGGCACACCAUUUAUUGAUGUGGCCGUCAGGUAAACUUCGAAGCUCUCGGCCAUUAGUCCAGGUGAAACCGGUAAUACCAUCACAGGGGUGUUGAAAUGAUUGUGCAUUUCGAGUUUCGAAUCCAAAAUCUCAGGGAAUGAAGUUAGGAUUAUAGUUACAAAUACAAGUGGGCCUCCCCAGUCCCCUUCCCAACCCAUUUUUGGAUUUUGAACUUCAAUACUAUGUAAUUCUCCUCAUAUUUAUUGGCUGGUUAAUGUGGCUCAGUGUAUCUUAAUAUCUGUACUAUUCGGCUUAGUAUAUUGUACCAUUAUGGAUCCGCCGUUGAGUCAGAUGCUACGUACAAUCACUCGACUACAACUUGUUUGACUGAUCAAGGUUAUUUAGUACCCUAUCUAUCCACAAACAUAUAUUCCUGAUCUGUCUAAAUUAUGAAUUAGACUGCUUUUUUUAGAACGUUUGUGGCACUGUCUCGUAAUCGUGCACAACAAACUAUAAACAAAUCAGCUGCAAAAUAUAACAACUAACUCUCAAUUCUCCUUGUUUGUCGAAAAACAUAGAAAUCUCUGGAAAAACGAUCUCAAAUUAUUUCUGCCGAAUUAUAACACUCCAUAUCUGAACACAAUAACAUCGAUCCACAUGAGUGGUGUGAUCUGAAUCAACCAAACUUGAGGUGAUGAGUUGGGUUACGUUUUGAUAGUUACAAAUGAAAUGCAUCAUUCUGGACAGGGAAAUUAAAGGAAAGCGUCAUGGGAAGUUUGCGUCUGCUUGAGGACUUAGCCAACAAAAAUUAUCCUCAUUGGAUAUCUUCUUCAAUUUAUCGUUACGCAACAACAACAUCUUUCAACAAACUUAACUUACCCGCUUUAUAUAUCCACUUGAGUUCAUAUAUAACAAGAUGGUUUUAGGCAUAUCCGUUCAUACUUUUAAUGUUGAGAAUAUCGAUACCUUUUAAAGUACCAAAACGUUCCUCAACUCUCGAAAUUGAACCACCACCCUUAUUAUAGUACCUAACUACUUACAGUGUUGAUGAUGUGCACAAUUUCGCUGUCAGGAAUUAUGCUCAUUCCCCCUUCAAAUCAUAUACUUGUGAAAACAAAAGAGAAGAUACCUAGCUAUCAAAGAGAUAAAUAAUAAAUCAAUUGAAGAAAAUAGAAGUGGAUGAAUGAUGGGUGACGUGGCGAAGAGAGACAGGCCCAAGUUGGCCUAACUGGAUCAUAAAUAAGAUGGACCCACCACUCCCCUUGCGAUAUAUCUUCUCUUAUAUUGAAUGAAUGAACCAAAAUUCUUAUCUGUCAAGUCUUGAAAUUAAAUAAAAUAAGAUUGAUCGUGCAUGGUCAUGAGACGUAACUCGCCACAUACAUAUCUGGAGCGAUAAUAUAGAUGGAGAUGGAAAUGUUGUUUAUUUAAUAAUAUCGAAAAUCUCAUUUCUUCAAAAUAAUAAUAUUUGUACAUAUAUAUAUAUAACGGCUGCAAAAGGGAAGGACAGAUAUAGAUGAUGGGGUGUUUGGAGUGUUCGGAUGUAACUACGUAACAUUCUUAUCCUUAGAAAACAACUGUAUCCAUGGAUGAAAUCAAGCUCCAUUUCAAUGGAUUAGAUAAGCUUUGCCAUCAAAGCAGCACUAUCAUCUAUUUCCAAAUGCCAAUAUAAUUGGUCGCGAAUUAUGUGUUGAAUUAUUAUUCAUUUAUCGAAUCUUAGGUAUUAUGUUCUUC
Molecule: long non-coding RNA, 115371 nt
Filed under: Linum usitatissimum (flax)
Lineage: Eukaryota; Viridiplantae; Streptophyta; Magnoliopsida; Malpighiales; Linaceae
Description: long non-coding RNA (LUSI_LNC003284)
Source: RNAcentral